RNAcentral lists this long non-coding RNA (115512 nucleotides) under Vitis vinifera (wine grape). RNAcentral's name for it is "long non-coding RNA (VVIN_LNC007084)". Lineage: Eukaryota; Viridiplantae; Streptophyta; Magnoliopsida; Vitales; Vitaceae. The record is from RNAcentral.
UAGCUUCAAGGAGGAUUUGAUCAGCAACAUACAAGGCAUGCUGGGCUUGUAUGAAGCUGCACAUCUCAGGGUUCAUGGAGAGGACAUACUUGAAGAAGCACUUGCUUUCACCACCACUCACCUCAAGGCCACGGUAGAAAGUUUAGGAUAUCCUCUUGCAGAACAAGUUGCUCAUGCCCUGAAGCAUCCCAUUAGGAAAGGUUUGGAGAGGCUAGAGGCAAGAUGGUAUAUAUCUCUCUAUCAAGAUGAAGCUUCCCAUGAUAAAACUUUACUAAAGCUGGCAAAGUUAGAUUUCAAUCUAGUGCAGUCCCUGCACAAAGAAGAGCUAAGCAAUCUUGCACGGUUGGUUUUUAAAUCACCCUUCAUGCACUCGGUCAUUCUUACAGUUGAGUGUGCUAAUUAUAUAUAUUGAUGUAUUUUAGGUGGUGGAAAGAAUUAGACUUUGCUACAAAGCUACCUUUCGCACGGGAUAGAUUUGUGGAAGGCUAUUUUUGGAUACUUGGGGUGUACUUUGAGCCCCAAUAUUCACGCGCUAGAAGAAUUUUAACCAAAUUAUUUGCCAUGGCUUCCAUUAUAGAUGAUAUCUAUGAUGCAUAUGGCACACUUGAAGAACUCCAGCCCUUUACAGAAGCCAUUGAGAGGUUUGAUACACGGAGAUUACCCAACUUGAUUGAGUAUUAUAUGUAAAUAUACUUCUAAUCAGGGUUGGGUAUUUUAUGUUCAGGUGGGAUAUUAGCAGCAUCGAUCACCUUCCGGAGUACAUGAAACUCUUCUAUGUGACACUCUUAGAUCUGUACAAAGAAAUCGACCAAGAGUUGGAGAAAGAUGGAAACCAAUAUCGGGUUUACUAUGCAAAAGAAGUAGUAAGACACCUUUAACUCUAAAUCUCCACAUUUUGCAUUAUGAUAUUUUAAUGAGUCUCAUACACAUAUAGAUAUAGCUAAAACUUGGAUGAAUGUUCUUCAGUUGAAGAGUCAAGUUCGAUCUUACUUUGCUGAGGCGAAAUGGUCCCAUGAAGGAUACAUACCUACAAUAGAAGAGUAUAUGCUUGUUGCACUCGUGACCGCAGGUUCCUGCAUACUUGCAACCUGGUCUUUCAUUGGAAUGGGAGAAAUCAUGACAAAGGAGGCCUUUGAUUGGGUGAUCAGUGAUCCUAAGAUUAUCACAGCUUCAACUGUAAUUUUCAGACUCAUGGAUGACAUCACAACACAUAAGGUAUGGUGAAUGUACAGGAAUUGCUUCCAAAGACAGGAAAUGAGUUAGUAGGGCUGUUGGAUCAAGUUGUCAGCUUGAUAUGUUAACUUAGUGAACUUCAACCCAAUCACCUAAUAACAAAAUUUUUAGGUCAAAUUUUUAUCUUUAGAGUGAGAAAAUAAUAUACUCAUGAUUUUCCUAAACUUUUUUGUUAAUAUUAUGCAUGCAGUUUGAGCAAAAAAGAGGGCAGGUGGCCUCAGGCAUUGAAUGUUACAUGAAGCAAUAUGGUGUCUCUGAGGAACAAGUGUACAGUGAGUUCCACAAGCAAGUUGAGAAUGCAUGGCUGGAUAUUAACCAGGAAUGCCUCAAACCUACUGCCGUUCCAAUGCCUCUCCUCACUCGUGUUGUCAAUCUUUCACGAGUCAUGGAUGUCAUUUACAAGGAGGGAGACGGGUACACACAUGUUGGGAAAGUGAUGAAGGAUAAUAUUGGAUCUGUGCUCAUUGACCCCAUAGUAUGACCAAAUGGAGUUAUUUAUAAUAAAUCAUUAUAAUAAGGUGUGUUAGAGAAAUCCGUAGAAUAAAAGAUCUACGGAUUAUUACAAAUGGUGUCUUAAAUACAGUUUUAGUGGUCAAGAUCUAGGACUGAGUUUUUUCUUGUUCUGUUUUCAACAACUUAAUAACAACCUGUAACAGCAAGCUAGUACUGAGAUCCUCAACUCUGAGUUUGUGUCUUAAGGCUGGAAAAUUGGAAGUAGAGAUGGCCUUUAUGAGAACAUCAGCUAUUUGAUCUUGAGAUUGCACAUGAUGAACUUCUAGCUCCUUUUGCAUCACUUUCUCUCUAGCAAAGUAGAGAUCCAAUUCAAUAUGCUUUAUUCUGGCAUGUAGUACUCGAGUGUAAGCUAACAUGAUAGUACUCAGGUUAUCAUUAGGAACCUGUAAUUCAAACAACAAUGAUUGUAACCAAGAUAAUUUUGUUGUUAAGUUGGCCAAACUGCUACACCCAUCUUGGCUUUGGACAAAAGAUCUGCUAUAUACUUAGUUUGGGAAAGAUGCAAACCUUCUGAAGUUUGCUUGACUUGUAUUCCCAAAACAUAAUCAACUAAGCCAAGAUCUUUUAGAGUAAAAUGAUCAUGGAGCUUAUCAUUCAACUUUUGUACUUUUAUGUCAUUGCUUCCUGUUACAGACUAGAUAAAGUGGAAUGUUGUGGAGUGAUGCUACAAGAGAGACUGAUCUGACUUUGCNNNNNNNNNNNNNNNNNNNNNNNNNNNNNNNNNNNNNNNNNNNNNNNNNNNNNNNNNNNNNNNNNNNNNNNNNNNNNNNNNNNNNNNNNNNNNNNNNNNNCACCAUAGGAUAAACAUUUCAUUAAAGUCAAAGCUUGCAACUUGAUAAAAGCCAAUUUUCGUUUUGUAUUGCUUCAUCAACAAAUUCAAGUUGUACAGCAGAAUAUAGACUUUAGGCUUGUAAAUGACAACCUUGGAUCUUGUAAUCAUGUUGUGUGAAUUGGUGAUAUGCAACCUGUCCUUGUUAGGUAAGACCGAAUCAAACAAGUCAGUAGCAUCAACACAAAUGGCUGAAUUAGGAAUACCAGUACAUAUAGUAGAGUCUGGAGAUUCAACUCGAUGACCAAGAGUUUCUUGAAAUUGGUUGAAAACUAGAAGAUGAAGAAGUAGAGUUGGAUGGUUUUAUAGAAGAAGAUGUCAAAAUUAGAAGUUUGGCUAGUGUGCAAUGUGAGUGAAAGUAGAGGCAGCACAGGGUUCUAUUAUAAACAACAUUUUCUCGACUUUCAUAUUAAUUUUUUUUUAAAUAUUGUAAACUCUUUGAACAAAAUUAAACAAUGAAAUAUAGAAACUCUAAUGAAACUGUGGACCCCACAUUUCGUACGAUACAUUCCCACUCGAUGUCGAGCUCAAUUUUUUUAUUUGAAAAUGAUUUUAUUUACUAAAAUAAUGAUUUGGAGUCGCCACUUAUUUUUGUUUUAUUUUUAAAAGGGCAAACAAAAUAAGAAAGAAAACCUUAAGUGUGACUCCUUAUUUUGGAAAAUGUGAUCUGUGAAAAAUCGGAUCAGGCUCGAGGGUCAGGUUACUUAUCGAGAAGGUACGGUAAAGACCGUAGCACCCCUCUAAGUCCCUAAAGUAGAGUCUCUACUAAUAAAAUGAAGCUGACGUGACAAUCAAUAGGAAAAUCAAUGGAUACUUAGGGUGAUCAUGCACAUGGGAGAAUCAAAACACUCAAUAAAGGACGACAGAAGUGAGAACGAGGCAUACCUUGGCAUCAAUCAAUCAAUGCGCUAUAAAAAAAGAGGGUUAGUAUACAAUUAAAAGAAUAAUCUCAUGCAUGUCAUAGAGCAGAAUGAAUCAAUCAUGUGUGAUAAUCAAAUCAAUCAAUCAAUCAAUCAUAAAAUCACUUAUGUAAGGCCCCCACCGAAGCCCGUUUAUUUUGCAUGAAUUAAUGUCACAGAUUCCAUUAUUCUGGAAUUAUGAAAAAUUCAUUCAUGCUUAUUAAAAUCAAGAGGAGCGGAAGAUUGUUUGAAAACCAGAGUGGAAUUAAAACUAUUUGAGAGAAAAUUGGAUUUUUGAAAUUUAUUCGAAAAAUUUGAGUCUCGAAGAUUACUUGAAAAUUGGAGUUUUAGAGUUUAUUUGAAGAUCGGACUUUUGGAAAUUAAAUGUGAGAAUGAGAAUUUUAGAAAUUACAUUUUGAAAGAGAUUGAAAUUUUGAAAAUGAUUUGAGAGUUCGGGAUUUUUUUAAAAAAAAUUAAAUUACGAAAAUUGGGACCUUGGAAAUUAAAAUUUGAAAGAAAUCAGAAUUGAAAGUUAUUUGAGAAGCAUAAAUUAUGGAAAUUUAAUUAUAAAAAUUGGAAAUCUUGGAAAUCGCUCGAAGGUAGAAUUUUUAGAAAUGAAUGAAAAUAAUAAUAAUAAUAAUAAUAAUAAUAAGUAACGAAAUAAAUGCGAGAAUUGGAACGUUGGAAACUGGAAAUUAAGUUUGGAGAUGGGAAAAUUGGAAUUUCAAAUAACUAAAUUUAGAAAUCGGAAUUUUGAAGAAUUAGAUUUUAAUAAUUGAGAUUUUUAAGAGAAAUAAAUAGGUAAAUAUGGAAUAAUGUUACUAAUUAAUCAAAACGAUAUUUGAAUGGAUGAAAGUGAAUAGUGAGAUUUUUGAGGUUGGAAAUUAAAUUUGGGUGAUUAAGAUAUUUUAAAAGAAACAAACAGAUAAAUAUAGAAUGAUGUUACUAAUUAAUCAAAAACAAUAUUUGGAUGGAUGAAAGUGAAUAGUGAGAUUUUUAGUUGAAAAUUAGAUUUGGAAGUUAGAUUUUUGAUGAACUUUAAUGAUUGGAAUUUUUUUAAAAGAAAUGACUAAAUAAAUAAAUGGAAUCGUAAUAAUAAUGACCAAAAUAAUAUUUAAACGAACGAAAGUGAAUAAUAGAAUUUUUGAGAUUGAAAAUUAAAUUUGGAAGUCAUAUUUUUUUAAGAAUUGAGCUUUAAUGAUUGGAAUUUUUAAAGGAAAUAAAUAAAUGGAAUAAUGCUAAUAAUAACGAAAAUAAUAUUAAUUAAAUAAAUAAGUGUGAAAAGUUGGAAUUGGAAAUUGAAAAUCGGAAUUUUGAAAAAUUGUUUAAAGAUGGGAUUUUUAAAAAUAAAUAAAUAAAUAGAACGAAAAAUUAUUUAAGGGUGAAAUUUUAAAGUGAAUAAAUAAAUAGAAUAAUAAUAACGAAAAUAAAUAAUUAAAUAAAUGAACGUAAAUAUUAGAAUUUUGAAAUAGGAAAUUGAAUUCAGAGGUCGGAAUUUUGAAAAAUUGUUUAAAGAUGAAAUUUUAAAAUAAAUAAGUGAAUGAAUAAAUAGAAUAAUAAUAACAAAAUAAGUAAUUAAAGAAAAGAACGUGAAUAUUAAAAUUUUUGAAACAGGGAAUUAAAUUCGGAAGUCGGGAUUUUGAAAAAUUGUUUAAAGAUGAAAUUUUAAAAUAAAUAAGUGAAUGAAUAAAUAUGAAAAAUUUUUUAAAGAUGGAAUUUUAUUUUUAUUUUUAUUUUAUUUUAAUAAAAGAAAAUUAAAUUUGAAAAUAAUUAAAUUUUAGGAAGUCAAAGUUUUGAAAACUAAAUAUUUUUUGUAAAAAAAAAAAAAAGGAGUUUUUGAAAAAUUAAAUUAAAAUUGGAGCUUUGAGAAAUUAAAUUAAUAUUGGAGUCUUGAAAAAUUACCUUGAAAUUAAAAUUUUGGAAAUGAAAUCUUUGACAUAAGAAAUCGGAGAAAACUAAGGAAGUAAUAACAAUAAUAAUAAAAAGGAAAUGGCCACACCAAACGUGUACAGCAAGUCCAUAAGGAAUAAACAAAUGAAAAGAAAAAAAACAAGCCCAUUCUCCAAUGCACCUCUCUGCCAUACCCACAAUAGCCAUUCACUUAAUGCCCUGAGGAUACUCCAUUUCUUUCCUCUGUUUUCCUCUGUUUUCUCUCAGUUUCUCUCCGAAUCACAGUCAUUCAAGUAUAAAAUAAGACGCCGAUCAAUAAGAUCAUUCUUAAAGUUGACUUGACAGAGCAAGAUUUCCUUAUCAGCUCCCACGAGGAAUUAUUGCUUGGAGAAGAAUCAAGGACAGCUUUGUAUGCAGGAUUUGACAUGGCUGUAGCAGCUAAAACACCAACAAGCUCACCAGCAGGGAAGAAACGCUGGGGGUUAAUUCUAGUCUUCACUCCAUACUCAAAUUGGAUAAUUGAAUUGCUACAAACAUUCCUCACUGUACCAUCAUAACAGAUAACAACAUCUCGAAGAAUAGCCAUUAAGUUUUUAGACAAGGUUCUUGGUUCAGACAAGCCCCUUGAUGAUCGUACAAUUAUUUCUCUUGUGGAAAUUGAAUGGACCAUUUCCUCAUAAGGAUAAAAAUACAUGGGCAUGAUCUCCAAAAAAAAAAACAAUUGCAGUGAUGAAUCUACACUCAGAACAUUCCAAAACGAAAAAUAAAAAUGCACAAGUAGUCUUCAAGUGUCAAAGGAAUCCACAAAUGACAAGAAACAGAGGAGAACAGUUCAAAAUGGGAAAAGUAAAAAAAAAAAAAGGCAGAAACCAUACCUAGACUAAAAGAAUAAGGUCGAAUGGAUCUUCUGAUUCUCCUCAACUUCCUCUCCUCUCUGUCUCGUUCCCCCCUGCACCUUCAAGCUCCCUCUUGACUUUUUCUUUUCACCAAAAAAAAACUCUGUUUUUUUCUUCCUUGGCAAGCCACUACUUGCUUUCCUAUUCAUCCCUCAGCAAGCAUGGCAUUUUUAACCACCAGCAUGGCCGCCAUCUCCCUCUUGCUGCUACCUGUCCAAUGCAGCUGCCUUCCAUGCAUAGGGAGGUCCCCCCCUACUUAAACAAUGGAUGGAAAAUUUCUCCCCCGGGUGGUGCAAAACAAAUGAAAUACAAAACCUUGGUCUUUGAAGGGGUCUACAGAAACCUAAAAAAUAACUUUUGACUUCUCCAAAAUUAAUUCAAAUAGGAGCUACAAGUAUAUUUAAUAAUAACUUUUGGAAAGUUUAAAGUUGUAACUUAUUAUUCGAACUAUUUUCCUUUCUAAAAAAAGGGAAAAAAGAAUAAAGAAAAACAAAGAAGAGGUUGUUUUUGAAGAAAUUUAAAAAUCAGAGAGUUACUUGGAGUGACUUUUUAAAAUGCCACCAAAAUAUUAUUUUGAUUUAUAUCUAAAUACUAACUCACAAUCCACAAAACUCAAAAAGUAUCCCUAAUAGAAGAUAUUAUCAAUAAAAGGGUUGAUGAUAAACACUCAUAUUUAUCAUUUGGAUUUGCAUAUCUAUAGGAUAAACACUCAUAUUUUUCUUCUCUAUUUUAUUUUUAUUAUUAUUUAUUUUCUUUCUUUCCUUUCUCUUUAUCUUCUUAUAGUUUUUAUUUAUUUUAAAAAGCUAUUAUUUUUGUAAAUUUAUAAAAAUUUUAAAAUAAUAUUAUUGUAAUCAUUACCUUUAAAAAAUAUUAAUUAUUAUAUUUCUUAAUUAACUUCUUUGAAAAAAAAAUAGAACAUAAGAAUGAAAGAUAUGUGAUUUUUAAAAGUAUUUUUUGAGGAUUAUAUCUUUUCCCAAGUUUUUAUCAAAUAAAUAAAUAAAAUAUGAAAACAUAUCAUAAUUAUUUUUUAAAAAUCUCUAUAAAAUUAUUUUUAAGAAAAAUUUUAUGAAACUUUAUGUUUUCAAGAAAAAUAAUUUAUUGUUAAGAAUAACUUAAAGAUAUAAUUAUUAUUACAAUAUAAAAAAAAAAAGUAUUGCAGGAUAUCGGGGAAAGUUCUUACUUCUUAGAUGCAUAUAAAUAUUCUUAAUUUUAAAAUUUAUAUUUUAGGGCAGGGGGGGAAAUUACGUGUCUGAAUGAAUUUCUGUGAUUUUCGUUUUACCCAAACAGGUUAGUGUUACCAUUUACCAUUUAGGGAUUUUCUUUCUUACCAAACAGGACAGGGAAAAGGACUGUUAAUUUCCGAGGGUUUGUGGGUUAGAAAAGCACUGUAGGGAUUCGGCAACCACAUCACCGCCAAUCAUCGCCGCCACAGUCAUUCACCAAGGCAACGCACCAUGUCGAGGUAAUUUGUGUGUCUUCUCCUUUCUUCUUCUUCUUUCUAUAAAUGGAUUGAGUGGGGAUGUCUGGGAGAGCCAGAGAAAAGGGAUUUGGAUCUGGACCCAUGGCCAUUUUGGAGGUCCAAGGGCCAAACCGACUUUCCCACCCUGUUUGGUUUGAUCUCAGUUUUACCGUUUGAUUUAAUAACGGUAGCCUUCUGAUCUGAUGAAUUUGAAGCUCAGUAAAGUUAUGCGUAAUUUUUCAGAAAUUUAGUGGUUUAGCAAUGAUAUAAUUACACCCCUUUUCGUUAUAGUGAAAAUCAUUUGGUAGAUAUGUGAUUUCUUUACUCUGAAAACUGUGGUUUAUGUGAUAGGGUUUUUUAAGAUUUAAUGAAAAAUCGAAACUCCAAUAAAUGAUGAGUGAUUUUGAAGAAAUGUGGUCGUUUAACAUGUGAUUUGAUGAUAACCCUUUGAUUAUAUUAUAAACCAUGGAUGGGUUUUGUUGAUAAAGGAUAUGAUUGCAAUGAAAACAGUGAUUUAAUGUGAGUUGAGUGUGAGCUUUGAUUUAAUAUCCAUGCACACAAUAACAUGAUUUAACAUCCAUGCACACAAUAACAUGAUUUAAUAAACUUAUAAACCCAAUCAAAGGCCUCUUUUAUUAUCAUUUCUCCUCUUCCAAAUGAAAGAGAGGGUUGUGGCUAAGCUUACUCGUACAACUUGCAUAUAUUCCUCUAUGGUAGGUACAUGUCCUUCAUGGAACCAUUAUGCUUCGUCAAAGUAAGAGUCAACCUGAAUUUUCAUCUCACAAACAUUCCUCAAUGUUACGUACUUGUGCAUAUGCUUUAAUUUUUUGCUUGAUUCACCUACAUAACUCAAACUUAACACAUUUUUUCACGAGAUCAGAUUGAAUAUAAGUGUAUUUAAGUUAAAUUUAUAUUAACCUACGUAAUCUAUUGACUAAAUAAGUUGUUUUAUACUAACCUGUAUAACACAAAUUUAAUCCGAAUUGAUCUAAUUAUAAGUUCAAUCUAUUUAAUCUGAUUAUUUAAAAUUUGAUUUUGAUAAAUAAAUCAAAUGAGUUAAACAAGUUAUAUGGUGUAUUAUAUGUCGAAUAAUUAGGUUAUGCUUGGGUUUAUGUUUUGAACCCAAUUAUUAUCUGUAUUAUAUUUAAGUUGAUCUGUUUAGUCGAAUGUCUGGCCACUACGGAACACCAUCAAGUAAAAAUGGCACUUACCGCUUCUUUUGCAUAGUGGAAGCAAUUUGCUUUUCCUUCUUUGUCCAUCUCUUCCUCAAUUUCUUUGUAGACAUCUAAGAGUACCUGAUAGAUCACUUCCAUGUAUUCUGGCGGUUGACUGUUGCUUUCAUCCCACCUGAGGAUAAAUGAACAUCCAGGUCUUGAUUAGGUUUAAAUCAACGCAAGUACAUAUUUCAAAAUUGUGGACAAAAUCAAGGUGGAUUAUUUGCAGAGAAGAAACCUCUCAAUCACUUCUGCAAAAAGCUUAUGUUCUUCGAGUGUACCAUAUGCAUCAUACAUGUCAUCUAUAGUGGAUAUUAUGGAAAGUACUUCGGUCUUGAAUAUUGGGGCUCAGAAAACAUAGCAAGCACAAAGAAGUAGCUUUCCACCAGUCUAUCUCGAGCAAAUGGUAUCUUCAUGCCAAGGUGUAACGACCCGCACCCAACCAUGUAGAUAUUGUUCGCUUUAGGCCCAAGGGGGCCCUCACGGCUUUAAAACGCGUCUACUUGGUUAAGAGGAGCCUCUACAUAUAUAGCGCCAGGAACUUGCUCCCCUAUCCGAUGUGGGACAUNNNNNNNNNNNNNNNNNNNNNNNNNNNNNNNNNNNNNNNNNNNNNNNNNNNNNNNNNNNNNNNNNNNNNNNNNNNNNNNNNNNNNNNNNNNNNNNNNNNNGAGCCUCUACAUAUAUAGCGCCAGGAACUUGCUCCCCUAUCCGAUGUGGGACAUUACAAAUACCUCCCCAUGCAGACACAACGUCCUCGUUGUGUCCCAUGGGAUUGCGGGGCCAAACAGACAGACACCCCUUACGGAGCCAAACAAACCCCCACACCGGGGUCGGGGAUCGGCUCUGAUACCAUUUGUAACAACCCGCACCCAACCAUGUAGAUAUUGUCCGUGAAGGCCCAAAUUGUAAUGUCCCACAUCGGAUAGGGGAGAAUGUUCCUAACGCUAUAUAUGGAGAGACUCCUCUUAACCAAGUAGACGCGUUUUAAAGCCGUGAGGGCCCCCUUGGGCCUAAAGCGGACAAUAUCUACAUGGUUGGGUGCGGGUCGUUUCACAAGGUCUAGUUCUUUAUGCCACCUAAAAUAAAUUAACAUGGUUAGCAAUAAGAGAAAGAUUGCUCAGCUCUUCCUAGUGCAGUGACUGCACCAGGUUGAAGUCUAACUUCGCCAGCUUCAGCAAAGCUUUAUCAUGCGAAGCUUCAUGUUGGUAGAUGGAUAUAAACAACCUCGCCUCUAGUCUGUUCAAACCUUUCCUAACGGGCUGCUUCAGGGAAUGAGUAACUUGUUCUGCAAGAGGAUAUUCUAAAUGUUCUACGACCGACUCAAGGUGAGUGGUGGUAAAGACGAAUGCUUCAUCAAGUAUUCCUUCUUCAUGCACUCGGAGAUGUGUGGCUUCAUACAACCCUAGUAUGCCUCUCACAUCAUUGAUCAAAGAUUCCUGGAAGCCCCCUUUUUCAUCCUUGAACUUGUUGAAUAUAUCUACAUUUAUUCACAGAAAUAUGAUAUAAAAGCGUUCCAGAAUAAGAUUGUGAUGAUGUUAUUAAGAUUUCAUUUUACCUAAUAGAUGAUAGUUCAUCCCUUACCACAUGACAUAUUGAAUCCUUGUUGUCUUAGCAGUCAAAAUUAAAGAGAAACAUUGAAUCAAUCAUCAUCUUUAUGAUCAACAUUAUAAUAGAUAUCAUAGAUAUGUUGCAAUGCUUCUUCUAUCUCUCUUUCAAAGUGGUAUGCCACCCCAAGCGGUUGAAUUCGAUUAAAAUAGUUCAAAUGUUGUGUGCGGGUUACCAGCAGCAGCCAUUAGCCCUCUUCUCACUUCCUCUUUCAAAUCUUCAGCCUGCUGCUCUUUAUGGCCACGGGCUAUCUGCAUGUACAGCGAAAUUGCAUACACAAACUAUUGUUUAGAAAAACAUUGGAUGGUUAAGAUGUGUUAUAUGUGUAUAUAUAUAUGUCAGAAAUUACGUCAUCAGCUAGAGUGUAGCUAACGAACCUCUCACCCCAUAUGCUAGGGCCAAAAUCUGCCUUUGAAACCCGUAACCCCAAUUUCUAGAGUGGGAGUUCUCCUAGGUUUCUUACCUAUUAUAGUUGGAUAAGGCUUGUCUUUUGCUGAAAGGCAAAAGAUAUCUGAAAAAAUAAGGCUUACAUUAUAAUAGUGAUGCAAUUCUUCAAUUUGGUUUAAGAUAAUAGUUCCAAAGUCUGUAGUCAAUUUCAAGUAAAUUGGUAACUAUACGAUUAUUGUAUCCACAUAUGCCUAUAAUAAUGUGUUAUUAACAUUUGAUAUAUAAAAAAUAGUAACAACAACGAUAUAUAUAAAGAAGUUUGAGGAAUACAUUAUAUAUGCAAGAGAAUGAAAUAGUAGAAGGCUUUGAGGAAUUAUCAUUGUUGUAGCUAGGAAAUAUACAUACAAGGGUGAGAAGGAAAUAAAUUGCUUUAGCUCAAUUUUAAUUAUGGUGAGUUUGAUAGUUAUUUUAGAAAGUGUUUUUAAUAUUACUAACACUUAAAAUUUUUUAUAUUUCAAAUAUUAGAAAGGUUAUAAAUGCUAUCUAAAAUUACUGUCAAACACACUCUUAAUCAAUUGAAUUAUGCUGAUAUAAAUGAAGAGAAAUAAACGGUGUUUCUAUUUUAUAGACCAAACAGUGGCUAAAUGGUUAUGUGAACAUAUACUAAUAGUUAAUAUUGGUCCCUUGAAUGUAUAAUUUGGUGGAAGGAAGACCAAUUGCAAUAGCUAGUCUUGCAUUGUCAUAUUGGUCUCAAAUGGCGAGCGGGUGAUUUAGUUGGUUAUGGAAAUAGUUGUGUAUGUGAUAUUUUAUAUCGGGUAGAGGAAAAAGUUCUCAAUACUAUAUAAGUAUCAAUUUCUCUUAACUCUAUAGAUGCGUUUUAAAGUUAUGAAAGUUUCUUUAGACUUAAAGUGGAUAAUAACUACAUUGUUGGGUGUGAAUAAUUACAAAUGGUAUUAAAACUGAUCUUCUACUCUAGUGUGAGGGUUUGUUUGAUUCAAUUGGAGGUGUUUGUCUAGUUGACCCUAUAAUUUUAUGGGACAUAAUAAGGACAUCGUGUCCCAAAGUGGACAAUAUUUAUACGACUGGGUGUUGAUCUAUCAGUGCUCCUCAAGAUGGUGAAGAUCAUGCAAUGCAUUGCUAGCUUGAAGCAAAAUUCCGUGAGAACCUUUAUUUCUUGGUGAGGGCUUGGUAAGAAUAUCCUAUACAUUUGAUACUUGAUUCAACGAACAUAUCAUUUUCCAUGUUGUAGUUGAUUAUACAUUUUGAUAAUUGGUUCAAUGAACUUCAUCAUUUUCCAUGUUUUUGUCUAUAUAUUAUACAUUUCAUUAUUGAUUCAAUGUUGUACAACUUUGAUAAUAUAAGAAGACUAGUACCACUUUGCAGUGCCUCGUAGCAUGCUAUAUGUGAGCGGAUGUGAAGUUUGGGAAAAGUCCAAGGGAAAGGAAUCAAAAGUCAAAACGGGAAGAAAAGUAAGCGAAAAGAAAGUGGGAAGGAAAAUGAAAUUAAAUUCAGGGAAUAUGGAAUUAGGAUUGGAAAAUUUUCCAUUUUAAUUAAAAUCAAAAUCCAUUCUUUGAGGAUUUGAUUCUUUUCUUUCAUGUUGUGAUUUAUGUAUUCCAAUUUUCAUUUCGUUUUAUACCAUCAGUAGCUGCUCAAUAAUUUUAUUUAUUUUUUCUAUCGGGGUUCUUUCAUUUUUCAAAAGAAUGAAAAAAGGUGUAAAUAUGAUGUAUUUUUCUUUUAUUUUCUCUCCACUACUUAAAACCGAUACAAGAAAAAAAAAACAUCUUUAAAUAUAAUUUUUUUUUAAAUUGUAUUUAUUUUUAUGAAUUUUUUGAACUUUUUAAAAGUUUUUAAUUAAGCAAAUAGAUUUCAAAUAAAAUAAUGCUUAAUAUAAAAUUUUAUUAAUUUUUAAAAAUAAUUUCAAAAAAAAAAAAUCAAUUCAAUUAGUAUUAAAAUAUCAUAUAACUCAAAACGGAUAAAAUUAACACUAGAAAAUCACAACCCUAAGUUCAUUCUAAAUCCCUUUGCCAAUUAUUUUAUAUAAUCAUAAUUUUGUGAUUUUUUUCACUAGUUAAAAAAUUUCAAAUUAAACAAAAUGUAAGACAAUAAAUUCACUAACCAGUUUAAUAAUUUUUAAAAAUAAUUUAAAAUUCAAAUAAUGAUUCAAUAAAUACCAUAAAUAUAUUAACAAAAAUUGAUAUAAAAUAACUUUAUUUUUUUGUUUUACAUAAAACUAAAUUUUUGUGACUUUGUACACUUAAAAAAUAAACUUCAAAUCAAGCAAAUCUCUAUAUUAAAUUUAAUGAUAAGUUUAAUGAUUAUAUAUAAAAAUACCAUUAAAUGUUUCACUACAAAAGAUUCAUUACAUGUAUGAAUACAAUUUUACUAUUUUUCUUGUACACAAAACAAUAUUUAAAGUAAGAUAUAAUUAAUGUUUUAAAUUCUUUACUGAGUUCUUUUGAUUUUUAAAAAUAAUUUGGAAUUCAAAAAACUGGUUAUAAAGAUUAAAAAAAAUAAAUUAUAGAAUACUUAAUUGAGUAUUAAAUAUGUGCAUAUAAUAAAAAAAAAACUUAGUUCAUGUAUAGGUUCAAAAAUUAAACUUUAUUUGUUUUUAAAAUUUAUUUAAGAUAAAAUAAUAUUAAUAAAUAUGAAUUAAAUUAUUAUUAUUAAAUAUUAUUUAUUUGUACUUACAAAAUAUUUUUUUUUAAUAAGAUUUGAAUUAAAUUCAAUUUACAUUACAUAAGUUGACUUGAUAUGUUUUUUAUAAAAUAAAAUAAAAACAUUUUUAAAAAUAAUUUACCCAAAUGAGUAUUUUAUUUUUUAGAAAGUGUAUAUAAAAUCAACUUACAAAAGGAAUCAAAAUACUUCUUAUAAAAGAUUAAUUGAAAUCUCAUCACUUGAUAGUGAUAUUUCAUUUCUAUAGGAAUAAUUUUUUAUUUGAGUGAAAACAUGAGGGUGAAGGAGAAAAGGAAUAUGAUGUUGAUUUGUGUAAGCCAAACAUUGCCUAAUUGUAAUCAACCAUUUCCCAUCUUAUUCAUUGCAUAAUUGUACGCCAAACAUUACCGAAGAUUGCAAGCUAUCUUAUUCAUAUAUUGAGUGCUUGUGUACUGAGUUACAGUUCUCGUUACCAGCAACAUGUCUACUGAUUACUCAGCCUGUUCUCCAGCCCCAGAUGCUAAUCCAGAGACUAAUCGCCGGGCUGCAAAUUUUAACCCUAGCACGUGGGGCAAUAGUUUCAUCAUGACCAACUCUCCUGAUGAUGAGGUAAUUUUGUGAUAUAUGAAGUUUGCACAACCAUCUAAAGAUUUUCUUAAUUUUUGUUCUUGAAAUUUAUUGAUGCAGAUAACUCUUGCCCAUAAAGAGCAACAGUUGGAAGAUCUGAAGGAGGAAGUGAGAAGAGAGCUAAAGGCUGCAGCUGGUGACCCUUCAAAACAGCUGAAGUUUAUCGAUGCAGUUCAACGGCUUGGGGUGGCAUACCACUUUGAAAAGGAGAUUGAAGAAGCAUUACAAAAUACCUAUGAUAACUAUCAUUGCAUUGAUGACAUAAAAUGAUGAUCUCUAUGAUGUUGCACUUCGAUUUCGACUACUAAGACAACAAGGCUUCAAUAUUUCAUGUGGUAAGCCUCAUGAAUAUCAUGUAUUAUAAGGUGCUUGAAUAUCAUCUAGCAAAGCUCACAUAUAACAUUCUAUGUUUUGGUGAUGAUUACAGAUAUAUUCAACAGGUACACAGAUGAAAAGGGAAGGUUCAAGGAGUCUUUGAUCAAUGAUGCAUGUGGCCUACUAGGCUUGUAUGAAGCUGCACAUCUCAGGGUGUGGGAAGAAGAUAUACUAGAUGAAGCACUUGCUUUCACCACCACUCACCUCAAGUCUAUGGUGGAACUUUUAGAAUACCCUCUUGCAGCACAAGUCACUCAUGCUUUAUACCGGCCCAUUAGGAAAGGCUUAGAGAGGCUAGAGGCAAGGCCUUACAUGUCUAUUUACCAAGAUGAAGCUUCACAUAGUAAAGCUUUACUGAAGCUUGCAAAGUUAGAUUUCAACCUACUUCAGUCACUGUACAAGAAACAGCUAAGCAAUAUCUCGAGGUUAGUUUUCAAAUCGUGUAUGAACUCAAGUUCAAACAGUUUACUAGGUCCUUUAUGUGAGUUAAUGUAUUUUCUCAGGUGGUGGAAAGACCUAGAUUUUUCUUCGAAACUACCUUUUGGAAGAGAUAGAGUGGUGGAAUGCUACUUUUGGAUAGCAACAGCUUGUUUUGAGCCCCAGUAUUCAUAUGCUAGAAGAAUACAGACCAAAAUACUCGCUCUGAUAACAAUUAUUGACGAUAUGUUUGAUGCAUAUGGGACACUGGAAGAACUGGAGCUCUUUACAGAGGCAAUUGGGAGGUUUGAUAUAUGCAAAAUUUACCCACAUCCAAUGAUUUAUUUUAUUUUAUUUUAAUUUUUAUAUGUUUGAACUUUAAAAGGGAACUUGGUACUUGAUUUUCAGGUGGGAUGUUAACAGCAUAUAUCAGCUUCCGGAAUACAUGAAGCCAUGCUAUCAGGCAGUCUUGGAUGCCUACAAAGAAAUUGAGCGGAUGGAGAACAAAGAAGAUCAUAUUGUGUUCACUAUGCAAAAGAGGCAGUAAGGGUCUGAGUUCUAUCUGUGCCCCUAUAACAUGUACUGCACACUAGAGUAAUUAUUUGUUGGCAAUGGUUGAACAUAUUUCAGAUGAAAAGGUCUGUUCGAGCUUACUUCAAUGAAGCCAAAUGGCUACAUGAAGACUAUGUACCUACGAUAGAAGAGUACUUGAGUGUUGCACAAGUUACCUCUGAGGUCACCUUGUUCACUGUCAUCUGCUUUGUUGGAAUGGGAAGGAUGGCAACCAAAGAGGUCUUUGAAUGGGUGUGGAAUGACCCAAAGAUCGUCGGAGCUUCCUCCAAAAUUAUGAGGCUCAUGGAUGAUAUGGCUUCACACAAGGUACUAUGUUAUAUUACAUAUCGCAAAGACAACGGGAUCUUUAUAAGAAUUUAAUUACCUUUUUGGUAAACAUUUCCUGUUGGUUUUUGUGUAGUUUGAGCAAGAGAGAGGACAUAGCGCAUCAAGUGUUGAAUGUUACAUGAAGCAACAUGGUGUCUCAGAGCAGCAUGCAUACCAAGAGCUUAACAAGCAAGUCGAGAAUGCAUGGAAAGAUGUAAACCAGGGCUGCCUUAGACCUCCUGCUAUUCCAAUGCCUCUCCUUACACGGGUUCUUAAUUUCGCACGCACCGGGGAUUUCAUGUACAAAGGCCGUGAUGAUAGGUUCACGAAUGUUGGAGAUGUGAUGAAAGAUAGUAUUGCAUCACUGUUCAUAGACCCUGUGCCAAUAUGAGCCUGGAGAUUUGCAAUAGGCUUUCUGGCUUCUGUUUUAUAAUUAGCCCUUCUAGUUUGGGGUCUAUGUUGGAGAGUAUGAUAUACAUAUAUAUAUUAUGAUAUCAAUGCUAUACAAAAUUCUCAACCAUAUUAAGGCAAUGACAAAGUCACAGUGGGAAAUGGUAAGAAUCUGUUAAUCACACAUGUUGGAUCCAAGACACUACAUUCUCAUCACCAAGCUUUUCAUCUAAAAACCAUCUAUCACGUUCCUCAGCUUACCACAAACCUCAUCAGUGUAUGAAAGUUUUGUUCAGAUAAUCACAUAUUCAUUGAAUUCCAUCCUACUUUCUUUUGUGUCAAGGACCAAGCCACCAAGAAGAUUCUGAUCCAAGGCACUAUUGAACAUGUGCUCUACAAAUUUCCUAGCUCUUCUCUUCCACCAUCAUCUUCCUCCAUGGCUCUCACUGCUUAGUCUACUGCUGACAUCUCCCUAUGGCACCAAAGGUGUUUUCCUAGCUCUUCUCUUCCACCAUCAUCUUCCUCCAUGGCUCUCACUGCUUAGUCUACUGCUGACAUCUCCCUAUGGCACCAAAGGUGUGGUCACCCGACAGCUCCAAUAUUAAGACAUAUCCUAACCUCAUGUAAUGUUCCUUAUUCUACAAACAAGUUCAAUCAAAUUUGUUGUGCUUGUCAGCUUGCUAAAAGUCACAAGCUACUGUUGUGGAAACUCCUGCCUUUCCUGCACCUCUUCAAUAUUCUUCCCUACCACCUCUAUCUCCUAGUUCCAAUUCCCUACCACCUGCCACUACAUCAUCUAUCCAGUUUCUACCUCCUCUAAUUCAGGAUCCCUCUACUGCCUCCCCCACCUCUGCUCCACCCUUACCUUCCUUCCUCAAUACUCAUCCCAUGGUAACCCGUUCAAGGCAGGCAUCACAAAACCCAAGGCUCUUCUUGCAUCUACUCCCACUAAACCCUACACUUUUCGACAGGAUAUUAAGGAUCCUCAAUGGCAACUGGCAAUGGAUGUUGAAUAUCAAGCUUUACUCCGUAAUAACACUUGGUCUGUGGUUCAUCUCCCUUAUCAUGGGAAUAUUAUUGGAUGCAAAUGGGUGUUUCAAUAUUGAUCGUCACAAGGCUUAUCUUGUGGCCAAGGGUUUCACCCAAACUCAGGGAAUUGACUAUUUUGAUACCUUCGAUCAGCCCUAUAGUGAAGUCGACCACCAUUCUUAUUGUUCUCACCCUUGCACUUUCAUCCCAAUGGUCCAUUUGACAACUGAACAUUCAAAACGCAUUUCUAAGUGGUGACCUUCAGAACCAGGUCUUCAUGCAACAACCCCUUGGCUUUGUUCAUCCUCAACACCCAUCUUACGUCUGCUAUCUUCACAAAACCCUUUGUGGUCUUAAAAAAGCUCCAAGAGCUUGGUUCCACAAACUCAAUACCUCUCUUACCACUUGGGGAUUUGAAUCUUCUUGCGCAGACACCUCUUUAUUCUUCAAACAUGCCACAUCUGAUGUUCUCAUUCUUGUCUACGUUGAUGACAUCCUCGUCACUGGUAGUUGUGCCUCUCAGGUUACCUUUUUUAUCUGUCAGCUCNNNNNNNNNNNNNNNNNNNNNNNNNNNNNNNNNNNNNNNNNNNNNNNNNNNNNNNNNNNNNNNNNNNNNNNNNNNNNNNNNNNNNNNNNNNNNNNNNNNNGUAGUUGUGCCUCUCAGGUUACCUUUUUUAUCUCUCAGCUCAGCUCCACCUUUGCUCUUCGUGACCUUGGUUCCCUUUACUAUUUCUUUGGCAUUGGGGUUACUCACAGUACUGAUUCUCUUCAUCUCUGCCAACAAAAGUAUGUGCAUGACCUACUCACUGAUAACCAAACAGACUCUACCCAAACUGCUACCCGAACUGCCCCUCAUUCUGUUGUAACUAAGCAACUGUGUAACCCAACUAAACAACUGUGUAACCUCUCCAAACCCACCCUAACUGAUCACUGUACUGAGCCUAUAAAUACCGGUGUCAAUGUAAUCUUGAAAUAACGAGAAAUAAUUCUCUUUUCUCUCUUCUGCAUAUUUUCUUCUCAGCUACACAAGCUUAGCUGUCAUGGUAUCAGAGCAAGCCCUGUCUUCCACUUGCACAGGCUCCCUUUUCUCAUGCCAUGCUUGCUGCCGCACCAGAUCAUCAAGAUUCUUGGUUCUUUGACACUGGUGCAACUCACCACCUUAGUCAUUCUGCUCAAACUCUCUCUUGUGUUCAGCCAUAUUCAGGUACUGAUCAAGUCACAAUUGGUGAUGGCAAUUCGUUACCCAUUCUUAACACAGGUACCAAGUCAUUCUUCUUCCCUUCCAAGACCUUUUCCUUAAAUCAAGUUCUUCAUGUACCUCAUCUUUCCACCAAUCUCAUCAGUGUCUCCAAAUUCUGCACAGAUAAUGCUGUUUUCUUUGAGUUUCAUUCCUCCUGUUUCUUUGUCAAGGAUCAGGUCACCAAGAAGAUUCUUCUCAAGGGCUGGCUUAGGGACGGUCUGUAUGAGUUCUCCUCCUCAUCUCCUCCUCAUGCGUUUGUGACCACAGGCUCAUUUUCUGAUGGUGCAAUUUGGCAUUCCCGUCUUGGACACCCAGCAGUUCCUAUUCUUUCUAAGGCUUUAGCCUCUUGUAAUCCUUCUGUUACAUUACAGAUUAAUAAAAUUGCUCCAUGUAUCAUUUGUCCAUUGGCUAAGUCUCAUUCCUUACCUUAUUCUUUGUCAUCUUCUCAUGCCUCUCACCCCUUAGCCCUCAUUCACACUGACUUGUGGGGACCUGCUCCUUCUACCUCUAUAACAGGAGCCCGUUACUUUCUUAUUUUUAUUGAUGACUAUUCCAGGCAUACCUGGAUUUAUUUCCUUUCCACCAAGGACCAGGCUCUCCAAUCUUUUAUUACCUUCCGCAAGAUGGUAGAAAACCAGUUACAAACCACCAUCAAAUGCAUUCAGUCUGAAAAUGGUGGAGAAUUCUUGGCCUUCAAACCUUACCUUGAAGCUCAUGGUAUUCUUCAUCAGUUUUCAUGUCCUCAUACACCUCAGCAAAAUGGAAGAGCAGAGAGGAAAAUUAGACAUCUUGUUGAAACCGGUCUUGCUCUUAUGGCUCAAAGUUUCUUACCCUCCAAAUAUUGGACAUAUGCUUUUCAAACAGCAGUAUAUCUUAUUAAUCUUCUACCAGCCAAACUUCUCCAUUUUCAGUCACCCACUCAAACCCUUUUUCAUAAACUUCCCAACUAUCAUCAUCUCCGAGUCUUCGGUUGCCUGUGUUUCCCAUCCUUACGUCCUUAUACACAACAUAAACUCUGCUAUCGCUCCACUGCUUGUGUCUUUCUUGGAUAUGCACCAGCUCAUAAAGGUUACUUAUGUCUUGAUGUCUCCACUAAUCGUAUCUACAUUUCCAGAAAUGUGAUCUUCCAUGAAUCCUCUUUUACAUUUCAGUCUUCAUCUCCUCCAUCUUCACCCUCUCCAGACCUCCCGUCUUCUACACAUGCCUUAAUCAAUUCACCCAGCUUGUCUGCCCCUUCAUCACCAGCUGUGUCCUCCCCUAUCAUCACUUCUGAUUCUAUCCCUCCACUAAUUCCGGUCCCCUUUGCCACCUCCUCUCCAGCUGCUCCUUCACCACCUCCUUUACCUCUCAACACUCAUCCCAUGGUGACCUGAGCAAAAUCUGGCAUUCAUAAGAAACGAAGCUUUAUUGUGCAGCACACAACAGAACCUCGCACUUACAGUCAAGCCUCUAAAAAUGACUCUUGGGUUCAGGCCAUGAACAGUGAAUAUCAAGCUCUUCUUCGCAACAACACCUAGAGUUUGGUUCCUCCACCUUCAUCUGCUCACAUUGUUGGCUGCCGUUGGAUCUACAAGCUCAAAUAUCGCCCUGAUGGAUCCAUUGACAGACACAAAGCUCGUUUAGUUGCCCAGGGAUUCACCCAAACUCCGGGGAUAGACUACUUUGACACAUUCAGUCCAGUUGUGAAGCCUUGCACCAUUCGACUUAUCCUUGCUUUGGCAGUCUCCUUUCAAUGGUCAGUUCGGCAAUUGGAUGUGGAGAAUGCUUUCCUUAAUGGAGAUCUGGAAGAAGAGGUUUUUAUGACUCAGCCUCAGGGUUUUGUCAAUCCCACCUAUCCUACAUAUGUUUGCAAAUUACACAAAGCAUUGUAUGGCCUCAAACAAGCUCCUAGAGCUUGGUUUCAAAAGCUUCGGAUUGCCUUGCUUGACUAUGGUUUCCAAUCUUCUCGUGCAGACACUUCUCUCUUCAUCUUUCACACUGCAACUGAUAUUCUCAUUCUACUGGUAUACGUAGAUGAUAUCCUGGUCACUGGUAGUAAUCCCACGUUGGUUUCUCACUUCAUCUCCUACCUCAGGACUAAGUUUGCACUUCGGGAUCUUGGACCUUUGUCAUAUUUUUUGGGUAUUCAAGCUCAACAACUUGGCUCUGUCUUGCAUCUUAAUCAGCAUAAAUAUAUUGCUGAUCUUCUCAACCGCACUCAGAUGGAGACUUCGAAACCAGCUCCCACUCCAGGACGUCUCGGUCGUACCCUCUCUCAAUCUGAUGGUGUGUCUCUGUCGGAUCCAUCAGAAUAUCGUCGUACCGUAGGAGCCUUACAAUAUGUCACUCUCACCAGGCCCGACAUUGCGUUCGCCGUGAACAAAGCUUGCCAAUUCAUGGCAAAGCCUUCUGAUGUUCAUUGGAUGGCUGUUAAAAGAAUUCUACGGUAUUUAAAAGGCACCAUCCAUCUUGGUCUUCACUUCCAACCUGCUGCUUCAAUGGAGCUUCAAGGAUACAGUGAUGCUGACUGGGCAUCUUGUCCAGAUGAUCGUCGAAGCACCAGCGGCUACUGUGUAUUCCUAGGCUCGAAUCUCAUCUCAUGGUCCUCUUCUAAACAACGACUUGUCUCCAAAAGCAGUGCUGAAUCCGAAUAUAGAGGGUUGGUAUCCCUCACGGCGGAGUUGGUGUGGAUUCAAUCCUUACUUCAAGAGCUCUGCUUGCCUACCUCUCCACCUAUACUAUGGUGUGACAACCAAAGUGCAGCUCAUCUUGCUGCUAAUCCGGUCUUUCACUCCCGUUCCAAACAUAUCGAAUUAGAUUUACACUUCAUCAGAGAAAAGGUGUUACGCCAAGAACUUCAAAUCUGCUAUGUUCCCUCCGGUGAUCAGCUUGCAGAUAUUUUCACAAAGCACCUUCCUAUUACACAAUUUUGUAACCUCCGUAGCAAGCUCACAGUCACCUACCCGCCUCUGAGCUUGAGGGGGGAUGAUAACCAAACAGACUCUACCCAAACUGCUACCCGAACUGCCCCUCAUUCUGUUGUAACUAAGCAACUGUGUAACCCAACUAAACAACUGUGUAACCUCUCCAAACCCACCCUAACUGAUCACUGUACUGAGCCUAUAAAUACCGGUGUCAAUGUAAUCUUGAAAUAACGAGAAAUAAUUCUCUUUUCUCUCUUCUGCAUAUUUUCUUCUCAGCUACACAAGCUUAGCUGUCACUCACUCGUACUGCCAUAACUGAUACUAAACUUGUUCUUACACUGGGUUCCUUGGCUUGGCCAAGCCUCUCUCUCUCACUGAUGGUGAUCUACUUCAUAUCGCAACAUUGUUGGCGCAUUACAGUAUGUUACUGUUACACGUCCAAACCUUUCUUUUGCUGUUAACAAGGUAUGCCAGUUUAUGGCUUCCCAACGACCACCCACUAGCUGGUUGUCAAUAAUAUAAAAAGUAAUUCAAAAUAAAAUGAAAAUAUAGAUUUAAAAUAAAAAUAAAUAAAUUAAACAUUAAUAAUUAAAAUUUUAAAAAAAGAUAAAUAUUUUUUUUUAAAAAAAGUUUUCAAAAAAAUCUCAGAUAUUUUCAGAUAUAUCAGCGAUAUAUCCGAUAUAUUCGUCGAUAUAUUUCCAAUAUUUUAAUAGGCUUCUUCUACUGUUUCGCGCGUCACUUCACGUUUAAUUUUUUUUGUCAAUUUAUCGGUUCUAAACCGAAAUAUCGACGAUAUUUCGAUGAUCUUUUCGAUAUUUUUUCGAUGUUCCUCCCAUUCGAUAAUCGAUGUUCAAUAUCCUUUCGGGGUUGUCCGAUACCCGAUAUAUCGAUGAAAUAUCAUUGAUAAAAACCGAUUUUUCAAUCCAUGCUUAAUAGUGGGUUUCCCUUUUGGCCUCUAUUCUUUUUCUUUUUUAAAAAAGAAUCCUUUCCGAUUCUGUGGCCUUGAGUGAGCACUAUGUAUUUCAACUAUUUUGACAUGUUCAAAAUAAAUUACUAAGAAUUUAAAGGGAAUUUGUUCGACAAGUACUUUUUUUUUAAACAUAUUUAUUUAUACCUUGUUUAGUUUAGAUUGCAUUAUUUUAUGUAAAUAAUUUAUUGGGUUUAUGUAAAUAAUUUAUUGGGUAUGGUAAUUAUUUUUAUAAAUGGCUAAGUAGAUUUAAUUUUAAAUAUUAAUUUAUUGAGCAGGAAAAUUAUUUAUUAAAACAUGGUUUAACAACUAUGCGAUGGACCUAACUUAUUAAACAAAAUAAACCAAUACUAUAUUAUUAUAGCUUAAAUUAUUUUUUAAUGGUAGCAAUGUUGAAAAACCUAACCUAAUGAGAAAAUAGUAAUUAAUUAACAUAAUUUUAUAUUGACUUGUAAAAUUGGGCCAACAUAUAAAUAUAUUGAUGGUAACAAGAAGACCUACGUUGAUAAUGAAUCAUCAAUAUUAGUCUAUGUUGUCAACUUUGGAAUAUUAAUAUAUGUAUAUGAUUUUAACAGGAUGUUGUCAUUAUAUCUUUUAGAUAUAUAUAUAUAUAUAUAUAUAUAUAUAUAUAUAUAUAUAUAUGACAUCUCAAUUAAUUACGCUAACCCUCAUUAUCAAUAUAAGUCAACGUAACCAAAUCCUUCUUCCUUGUAGUGAAUGUUAGUUCUCAUAUAUGGAGGUAGGUAUGGAUGGUCCAAUUAUCUUAAAUUUCGUGUAUCUUUAUUUUAUGAUUUGUUUUAUAUUUUUAUUAUUUUGUCAAUAUAAUCGUUUUCAUGAUUAGGAAUUAGAGAAAAGUUUGUAGAAGAUUUUUCCAAAUUUGAAAAUAACUAUGUAAGAAAUUCAACUUAAACACGUUUCUUUGUGGAAGAGUUGCAUUGGCAAGGAAAUUAGAUACUUGUCUUUGCAUUGGCAAGGAAAUGCUACACACAUUCAUUGAACAAUCUUAGGCCCAUUUUUCCAAGCAGCCUAGCACGUUGAUUGAAUUAAACCCCUAUGGAUUGAUAUUGAUUGGAUCCAUUACCCGUCAUGCAUUCAAUCCCAAAGCGUUGAUUAUUCAAACUCUAUGAAAUAUAGGUUUCGCUGAGUGGAGGAGUUCAAAUACAUUAAAUUGAUAUUUUAAGUAAAUAUAAUGCGGAAAAUGAAACCUACUAGAUCGAUAAUGACCACUAGCUGGCUGUCAAGAAUAUAAAAAGUAGUUAAAAAUAAAAUGAAAAUAUAGAUUCAAAAUAAAAAAUAAAUUAAAAAUAAAUAAUUAAAAAUUUAAAAAAGAAUAAAUAUUUUUUAAAAAAAAAUUUCAAAAAAAUUGCUGAUAUUUUAAGAUAUAUAGGCAAUAUAUCCGAUAUAUUUGUCUAUAUAUCCGAUAUAUUCGUCGAUAUAUCGUUGAUAUAUUUUCGAUAUUUUGACAGACUUUCUCUAUUGCUCCGCGCGUCGCUUCACACAAUUUUUUCUUUGAACUAUUGGUUCCAAAUCAAAAUAUUAAUGAUAUUUCAACGAUUUUCUUAAUAUUUUCCAAUAUUCCUCCCGUUCGAUAAUCGAUGCUCAAUAUCCUUUCGGGACCGUCCUAUAUCCAAUAUAUCGAUAAAAUAUCACCAAUAAAAACCAAAAUUUCAAUCCAUGCUUAAUAGUGAGUUUCCUUUUGUUUGGCCUUCGUUUUUUUUUUUUUUAAAAAAAAAAAAAAUCCUUUUCGGUUCCAUGGCCUUGAGUGAGUACUAUGUAUUUCAACUAUUUUGACACGUUCAAAAUAAAUUACUAAGAAUUUAAAGGGAAUUUGUUCGACAAGUACUUUUUUUUUUAAACAUAUUUAUUUAUACAUUGUUUAGAUUAGGUUGCAUUUUUUUAUGUAAAUAAUUUAUUGGGUAUUUGGGAAUUAUUUUUAUAAAUGGCUAAGUAGAUUCAAUUUUAAAUAUUAAUUUAUUGAGCAUGAAAAUUAUUUAUUAAAAUAUGGUUUAACAACAAUGCGAUGGAAUCGACUUGUUAAACAAAAUAAACUAAUACUAUAUUAUUUUAGCUUAAAUUAUUUCUUAAUGGUAAUAAUGUUGAAAAACAAAUAUCAAUAAAAACUAACCUUAAUGAGAAAAUAGUAAUUAACAUAAUUUAUAUUGACUUGUAAAAUUGGGUCAACAUAUAAACAUAAUUUUAUAUGCAUAAAGUUAUAAUUAAACUUCGUAAAAUUUCAAGGUAGAUUGGAAGUAAAUUUUUUUGUUACUUGAAAUGUUUACAACUUCUUCCUUGUAGUGAUGUUAUUUGUAAUAGAACUUCCCUGCACAAUCGUUUCCAUGACUGGGAUUGAAUUAGAGAAAAUUUUGUGGAAGAUUUUUCCAAAUUUGGAAAAAUCGCAUGUAGAAGAGUUGCAUUGGCAAGGAAAUCUACACACUCAUUGAACAGUCUAUGCCCACUUUUCCAAUCAGCCUAGCACGUUUUUUUUAAUUGAAUAACCACGGAUUGAUAUUGAUUGGAUCCAUUAUCAGUCAUUCAAUCCUAAAGCAUUCAUUUGUCAAACUCCAUGAAAUAUAGGUUUGGCCGAGUGGACAUUUCAAUACUAAACUUGUCCAAAUACAUUAAUUAAAUUGAUAUUUUUAGUAAAUAUGAUGCGCAAAAUGAAACCCACCAGGUCGAUAACGACCACAUUACAAACUGAUCUGCAGGGUAGUUAGGGCAAUCCCUCAAAAUUCAUAAAAAAAGAAAAAAAAAAAGUGAAGCAAAUAGAAUCAAAUAGUAGUUCUUAUGUUAUUUUUUCAAAAAAUAGUUAUCGAGUCUGGAAAUGGGUAUUUUUCAUUUACUUGAAGCAGAUUGAGGAUCUGAAAAAUGAAUUGAAAAUGGAAUUAUACGUAGUGUUGACUAUAAGAAUUUCAGUGGAUUCAAAAAGCCCCAAUUUAUACCUUAGCCGCCCCUAAUAGUUUCGGCUCUUGCUUCAUAAAUUUAGCCAAGGGACUCGUGAAAAAACUUUUUCUUUCACGUCAUCAAUCCCUUUCAUACACUACUUUCAACGUUAUUAUUUUACAUUAUCUUCAACAAUAGAACAUUUAGAAUAUCCUCUUGCGGAACAAGUUGCUCAUGCACUAAAGCAGCCCAUUAGAAAAGGUUUAGAGAGGCUAGAGGCAAGGUGGUAUAUGUCUAUCUACCAGGAUGAAACUUCGCAUGACACAACUUUACUAAAGCUGGCCAAGUUAGAUUUCAAUCUAGUGCAGUCCCUACACAAGGAGGAGCUAAGCAAUAUUGCUAGGUUUGCUUUCAAAUCACUAGCAGAUAUACCUAGUCACCUUCUCAUUUUACCAUGAGCUAAUUGUUUUAAUGAAUUUUAGGUGGUGGAAAGAAUUAGACUUUGCUACAAAGCUACCUUUUGCGAGAGAUAGAUUGGUGGAAGGCUACUUUUGGAUACUUGGGGUGUACUUUGAGCCUCAAUAUGUCCGGGCUAGACGAAUUCUAACCAAAACAAUUUCCAUGACAUCCAUUAUAGAUGAUAUAUAUGACGCAUAUGGCACAUUUGAAGAACUCGAGCUCUUCACCGAGGCCAUUGAGAGGUUUGAUUGAUGCAAAUUACCAACCUUCAUCAUUUAUACUGUAUGUGAUACUUAAAUCAAGCCUGGUUUUAUUUUCAGGUGGGAUAUUAAUAGCAUAGAUCACCUUCCAGAAUACAUGAAACACUGCUAUGUGGCACUCUUAGAUGUGUACAAAGAAAUUGAGGAAGAGAUGGAGAAAAAAGGAAACCAAUAUCGGGUUCAAUAUGCGAUAGAAGCGGUAGGACAUUCUGCAUCGACUUUGUUUUGUAUAGUAACAUAUCGUAAGGAUAUAGAUGUAACCUGAUUGAAUGUUUGACAGAUGAAAAACCUAGUUAGAGCUUAUUUUCAUGAGGCUAAAUGGUUCCAUGAAGGACGCAUACCAACAAUGGAAGAGUAUAUGAGGAUAGCACUGGUAACCUCAGGUUACUACAUGCUUACAACCAUUCUUUCAUUGGUAUGGGAGAAAUUGUAACAAAGGAGGCCUUUGAUUGGGUGAUCAGUGACCCUAAGAUUAUCACAGCAUCAGCUGUAAUUUGUAGGCUCAUGGAUGACAUCAGUUCACAUAAGGUAUUGUGAAUAUAGUAUUACUUGUUAAGCUAUAAUUUGACCUUGACCUUAAAGCUCAAUCAAUUAAACAUAUUUACUGUACUCUUCUUCUUAAACUAUAUAUGCAGUUUGAGCAAAAGAGAGGGCAUGUUGCCUCAGGCAUUGAAUGUUACAUGAAGCAAUAUGGUGCCUCUGAGGAAGAGGUAUACGAUGAGUGUGGACCCGCAUUUUUCACGUGCGUCCCCACUCGAUCAGCGAGACUCGCUUUUUAUUUAUGAAAAAUUAAUUUUAAAAAAAAGUUGGAGUCGCCACUUAUUUUAUUUUUAUUUUAAAGGGAAAAUAAAACAAGAAAGAAAAACCCUAAAAAAGUGACUCCAUAAUUUUUGGAAAAAGCAUGUCUUUGAAAAACCCGAGUCUAAGUCCGGGGAUCAGGUUACCUAUUGGGAAGGUACCUUUAAAAGGUAGCACCCCUCUAAGCCCUCUAAAGGUCUCUACUAACAAAGUUAAGGGAAGUGUGGCCAUUAAUCAGUUAAUUAUGGAUACCUAAGUAGGCUAGGUGAUUUCAAAUAUUGCAUGCCUAAAGAGAAAACAAACCAUAAGAGAGAGUCGAAGUGCGUACCUAAAUGGCUUCUCAAGCGCUAUCAUGAAACAUAAGAGAUUAGUUUGGAAAUAUGACACAACAUUUGUUUUAUCUAAGCAAAUCAAGCAUAUAUCAAAACACCCAAAAAUCACAUCAUGUAUGGAUAUAGUCAUCAAUAACGCAUGUGUCCAUGGAAUUCUCAAAAAUAGGUGUGAAGGAGCGUACCUGGAUGGCGAGCUAAAACGCUACUAUGGGAAACAAGAUUGCUUAAUAAUAGGUGCAUAAUAAUCUCACGUAUCUCAAAGAGAAAGCACAAUUAAUCAAAUGUCAAACAAACACUAUUGAAGAGGAUAUCAUGAAUGUCGGGCCCCCACCAAAGCCCUAAUUAAUUUCGCACGAGUUGAUUCCAUAAAUUCCAUGACUUGGAAUUAUGGAGUUUGUUCGUGCUUGAGAAAAUCGGAAAAAUCAAGAAAAUGGUUGAAAAUAAAAAUAAAUAAUAAAAUAAAAAAAAUAGUGAAAACUUGUGCCAGAAGGAAAAUGGCAGCAAAAGGGUGUUGAAAUCUGGAUUUUAUUGCCUAGAGAAGGUCUAAAGAUGAUUCUCUAAAAUCAGGAUUAUUUGGAUGAAAACGAUUUUGAAAACACAAUUCAAAACACGUAAAAUCAUGAGGAAAACAAGAGGGGUGAGAAGGGAAGAGAGUAGUGUGCACCGAACUGGUCAUGGCGAGUGGGGUUUGGGGGUUUGGCUGUGACUGCGUUGCUGGUGGUUAUAGGCGCUGCUGUCAUUUUCUCUGAAUUUUUCCCUCUACUCUCUCGUAUGCAUUUAAGUGCUUUACAUCACUGUGUUCUUGAGCUUUUCCCCAUUUCUUCUUAUACCUUGACCUGCCACCUCUGCUGGUGUGUUCUGUUGAACUAAGUAAACUUGCUGGCGCGUUCUGUUGAACUGAGUGACACUAUGUCUGCUCUCAAAUUUAAAUCCUUUAACCUUAUCCAUCAAUAGGGAUGCCUGAAUUUCAGGAGCCCGCAACUCAUUCGGCAAUGCUGAGGGAAAUGGCGUUGUAAAUGUUGCUUGAGGAGAAGGCUGCUGUGGAGGAUGUUUUAUUAUAUCCUUGCUGACAUAUUGACAUGGCGUGAGAUGAUACACCAGCAAUUUGAGUAGUUUGUGGUCAGCCCAAUUGAGGUUGCUUUCAAACUUUCGCUACAAAAAAAGAAGAUCGAAGAUGACGAAACCCAUGUGAAUCGCUCUACGGUUCUGGCAGCGAAUGAGGAUUGGACAUGCAGAUUCUGGAGACAGUGACUUGAAGCUUCUUGCGAAUCUGUAGCAAGUUUAAUCAGACCACUCUUGAGGGCAACUUCUUUCUUCAAACAAAGUCAUGCAUUCCAGAGUACGCAGCUUUCCUCUUUCUGAAGUACAGAGCAUGCCUAAGAUCUAUGUUUGGGGGCAAAAUGUUUUCGUAAUCUGCAUGGGAUUGCGCUUUAUUGCUUACAAAAACAUCAUUGAAUCUCACCGUUCCAGAAUGGCACAUAAACAGUAGCGGACUUUGAUGUUAUCUUCAUUCAGCUGUUAAGUGACCAUCAUUAGUCUUGUUUCUAUCUUUUAGAACAUAUACAGGGAUGUGCCUUAGGAAGUCCUGCAUUGCUUGCAUCUCGCUUGACCUUUUGCUCAAUAAUUCAACCUGAGUACGGGGUUGAGACAUCUGGGUUGCAAAGGUGACUAUGGACUGUACAUUCGCUUGUUUCUCUUCCCACUAUUUUCUGAAUCAAAUUACCUGCUGCUGUAUCUAUUGAAGCUGUAGCCUCAUCUAACAAUCUCUCAAAAGGCAUAAAUAUCAGAUUCUUCAACUAUGCUAUUCUCAGAUCACCUCAGCAGUAUAAGGGGUUCUAUGCAUUUAGGAACCAUCAGCAAUGCUUGGAUUUUUGGGAUAUUAUACAGAACAAAGCAAAGUUGUGCGACAUUUCCCUUUGAUUAUGAAGAUGAAGUCGAAGAUGGCAAAAUUUUGUAAAGACUUUCAAGGGGAUUCCCUCCACGUUUGUCAUCAAAGAUGCUUUUUGACGAAUUUCCCAUAGUCAACUUGAUUAAGGCAACAAGAACAACUUUUUGCUUACUCUAUGAUGCAGUAUUAAGCAUGUCAAACAAUGAGUGAGCCACCUGCUUAGCUGACUUAAAAUCUCUGAUAUUCUCAACAUCGAGAGGCUCAAGUGAAGCUCUACUGAAUAUAACAUUUCUUGACUCCAAAUGUAACACAGUUAUCAGUUGAUUCACGGAAUUGAUUGAUGCUUCGCAAUGAAGAAAAUCAGGACUGCUAAAUAGUAUUUUCAACAAUUCAGACACUAUGGCCUUAGAAGGGUCUUGAGGGCUUAAAGACAAGUACUUGGUUAGAGCACCCAAUGCUCCAGCUUCAGCCAUGAUCAGUUUGUUCGCAUCAGACAUUAGUUCAAGGGGUUUGGCACCUUCCCUCACAUGCAUCUCAGAAUGAGCUUUCAUACACUCCCAGUAGAAAUAGUUUCAGAAUCUGCAUUUAUUAUAGUGGCUUUAGUUUCGAUGUCGUCUUUUGAGAGAGUCAUUUUCUACCAAAAUCACAAUCUAAGCAAUCGUCAAGCAUUAGGUUGGAAUUUCCGUCACAAAUGAAUUUCUUGUUAGCAUCAUUAGUAAUCUUCAGCAAUCAAGCUCACUGAAUCGUCUCCUGAGUACCCAUGACAGAAGAAAGCUGAUCAUUCAUGGCACCCAAGACUGAGCCAUGGUGAUAACUAUUUAAAGUAGUGUUUGAAUUAGCUGAUCCGUCAAGACUUUGAUGGGAUGAUACAUUCCUGAUGGGUUAAGUGUCAUCAGUUGACAUGGUACUAUUGCUUACAAAAAAUUAUGAGCCCAGGUUCUUCUUCCUGCUAUUGUCCAAUUCUGUAGGAGUAAUCUGGUCUUUUCCAGUUUAUUAAGCUCCAUCAUGCCUGCCUCAAGAAGGGCCUUUGGCGUAUAUGUCAGUAAGUUCAAGUCUGGACAGUGUCCUAGUAAACAGAUGCCUUCCCUGAUCUCUAUCAGUAUGCAUCCUCUGAUUAGGAUUGAUUUCUGGACUGAUCUGAUCAAAGAUCCUCGAACUGUUUAAAGUCCCAUGAUUCUUUUGGCUUUGAGAGUCUUCUCUGGUUUUCCGUGCUCAAGUAAUCAAGCAAAUUGUCCCACAUGAAUAGAAGAUGCCACAAGUUUAGCAGUGCAUUUUUCAUCAGUAUUCAAAUCAAACAUUGGAAUUUUCUGUAGGUUGGCGGAAUUGUUGGCAAUUUCGACAUCAUAUAUUGCAGCAAGGCCGAAAUUCUGACUUACACUUCUAAGUGUUCCAGAGAACUUAGUCAUGUCUGCCUCCUAUGUCAUCUCUUGAUAAAUCUGGUUCUCUUCAAAUGCUUCCGAAGGUUGAAAUUAGUACCCUUGUUCGUCUCAAGGAAACAAACCGAGAGGUUUGGACAGUAGGAUCUGCACUUUCUCCACAGAACUGGAGCACCUUUUCAGAAGUCCCUUCUUUGGUCUCAGCAAAAGACUUUAGAGCUUCAACAAGAAAAGUAANNNNNNNNNNNNNNNNNNNNNNNNNNNNNNNNNNNNNNNNNNNNNNNNNNNNNNNNNNNNNNNNNNNNNNNNNNNNNNNNNNNNNNNNNNNNNNNNNNNNNNNNNNNNNNNNNNNNNNNNNNNNNNNNNNNNNNNNNNNNNNNNNNNNNNNNNNNNNNNNNNNNNNNNNNNNNNNNNNNNNNNNNNNNNNNNNNNNNNNNNNNNNNNNNNNNNNNNNNNNNNNNNNNNNNNNNNNNNNNNNNNNNNNNNNNNNNNNNNNNNNNNNNNNNNNNNNNNNNNNNNNNNNNNNNNNNNNNNNNNNNNNNNNNNNNNNNNNNNNNNNNNNNNNNNNNNNNNNNNNNNNNNNNNNNNNNNNNNNNNNNNNNNNNNNNNNNNNNNNNNNNNNNNNNNNNNNNNNNNNNNNNNNNNNNNNNNNNNNNNNNNNNNNNNNNNNNNNNNNNNNNNNNNNNNNNNNNNNNNNNNNNNNNNNNNNNNNNNNNNNNNNNNNNNNNNNNNNNNNNNNNNNNNNNNNNNNNNNNNNNNNNNNNNNNNNNNNNNNNNNNNNNNNNNNNNNNNNNNNNNNNNNNNNNNNNNNNNNNNNNNNNNNNNNNNNNNNNNNNNNNNNNNNNNNNNNNNNNNNNNNNNNNNNNNNNNNNNNNNNNNNNNNNNNNNNNNNNNNNNNNNNNNNNNNNNNNNNNNNNNNNNNNNNNNNNNNNNNNNNNNNNNNNNNNNNNNNNNNNNNNNNNNNNNNNNNNNNNNNNNNNNNNNNNNNNNNNNNNNNNNNNNNNNNNNNNNNNNNNNNNNNNNNNNNNNNNNNNNNNNNNNNNNNNNNNNNNNNNNNNNNNNNNNNNNNNNNNNNNNNNNNNNNNNNNNNNNNNNNNNNNNNNNNNNNNNNNNNNNNNNNNNNNNNNNNNNNNNNNNNNNNNNNNNNNNNNNNNNNNNNNNNNNNNNNNNNNNNNNNNNNNNNNNNNNNNNNNNNNNNNNNNNNNNNNNNNNNNNNNNNNNNNNNNNNNNNNNNNNNNNNNNNNNNNNNNNNNNNNNNNNNNNNNNNNNNNNNNNNNNNNNNNNNNNNNNNNNNNNNNNNNNNNNNNNNNNNNNNNNNNNNNNNNNNNNNNNNNNNNNNNNNNACAGAUCAUCAGCCAUAGGAAUACCAUCGGUGGUUGACGUGGAGAGCUUCUCUGCAAUACCCUGAACCUUACCAUGAAUUUUAAGCCUUUUAGUCAUGACUUUCCACAAUUGAUCCCAACUCAUCAGCACAAAUUUGAAAACCUGCAGCUGUUACUUCCUCAGGUGCAAUGUAGUCACUGGACAAACCAUGAAUAAACUGAAGUGCGGCCUGUGAAACUAGAACUGCUACUCUAAACUUCUCCUCAUUGGAACGUCGAAUAGUUUGAGCUUCGAAUCACUUGCUGAGAUUAGCAGUGAAACGGGACCUUCGCUUAGGUUUUUAACAACCCAGCGAAGCUUUCUCCGUGUGAGCUUUAGGUGGACUUGAAGCCUGAGCUUCCAGAAUUGCUUGGUUAGCUGUCUCAUAAUAACCAGCUGAGCAGCAGAGCUUUGCAUAUUGAAGCCAGCAAUCACCAACUUGAGCACCAAGACCGCUUGCACCAAGAACCAAUCUUUGUAAAGCCAGAAGUGACUCUCUUGCCCAAAGGGAUGGCUGUGUAAAUCUGAGCUGAUCUCCCCAAUUUUCCAUCAUUUUUGUGAAUCUCAGAUCAGCCAAAUCGAUUGAUUUCAGCAACAGCUAGAAGAGCAAUCAGAGCUCGUUUGGACAGAGCAAUUUUCUCAGCAACUGAGAAUUGGUCUUUCUUUAUCAGGGCCUGAGGAAUUUUCACAACAUCCAUGUCAAAGGAAGCAUUAUUCUCAGAGCUGCUGCAAAGUAAACCUUCCUUGUCAGUCCCAUCAAGGUACUCAUCCAUCAAUUCCCACUUGCUAAGCCUCCAUGCUGCCUAAACACCUUGUAUGCACCAAGUUUUCUUGUAUUUAUGAAUUUUAGCUAUUAAACCAUCCACGUGAAUAACCAUAGUCUGAAAGUGGCACAUGUCAGUAAACAAUUAAGAACAUCUGAAUGCCUCUGUACUGAGGUAGGCUCCAUCUGCAAAGCCUGCUCUGAAGAAGUUAAAACUUCUGCCCAGUUUCCUGCUUUCUUGUUGAUUAGAAAGCUGGUCUUGCAAACUUAAUGACGUGUGCAAACANNNNNNNNNNNNNNNNNNNNNNNNNNNNNNNNNNNNNNNNNNNNNNNNNNNNNNNNNNNNNNNNNNNNNNNNNNNNNNNNNNNNNNNNNNNNNNNNNNNNNNNNNNNNNNNNNNNNNNNNNNNNNNNNNNNNNNNNNNNNNNNNNNNNNNNNNNNNNNNNNNNNNNNNNNNNNNNNNNNNNNNNNNNNNNNNNNNNNNNNNNNNNNNNNNNNNNNNNNNNNNNNNNNNNNNNNNNNNNNNNNNNNNNNNNNNNNNNNNNNNNNNNNNNNNNNNNNNNNNNNNNNNNNNNNNNNNNNNNNNNNNNNNNNNNNNNNNNNNNNNNNNNNNNNNNNNNNNNNNNNNNNNNNNNNNNNNNNNNNNNNNNNNNNNNNNNNNNNNNNNNNNNNNNNNNNNNNNNNNNNNNNNNNNNNNNNNNNNNNNNNNNNNNNNNNNNNNNNNNNNNNNNNNNNNNNNNNNNNNNNNNNNNNNNNNNNNNNNNNNNNNNNNNNNNNNNNNNNNNNNNNNNNNNNNNNNNNNNNNNNNNNNNNNNNNNNNNNNNNNNNNNNNNNNNNNNNNNNNNNNNNNNNNNNNNNNNNNNNNNNNNNNNNNNNNNNNNNNNNNNNNNNNNNNNNNNNNNNNNNNNNNNNNNNNNNNNNNNNNNNNNNNNNNNNNNNNNNNNNNNNNNNNNNNNNNNNNNNNNNNNNNNNNNNNNNNNNNNNNNNNNNNNNNNNNNNNNNNNNNNNNNNNNNNNNNNNNNNNNNNNNNNNNNNNNNNNNNNNNNNNNNNNNNNNNNNNNNNNNNNNNNNNNNNNNNNNNNNNNNNNNNNNNNNNNNNNNNNNNNNNNNNNNNNNNNNNNNNNNNNNNNNNNNNNNNNNNNNNNNNNNNNNNNNNNNNNNNNNNNNNNNNNNNNNNNNNNNNNNNNNNNNNNNNNNNNNNNNNNNNNNNNNNNNNNNNNNNNNNNNNNNNNNNNNNNNNNNNNNNNNNNNNNNNNNNNNNNNNNNNNNNNNNNNNNNNNNNNNNNNNNNNNNNNNNNNNNNNNNNNNNNNNNNNNNNNNNNNNNNNNNNNNNNNNNNNNNNNNNNNNNNNNNNNNNNNNNNNNNNNNNNNNNNNNNNNNNNNNNNNNNNNNNNNNNNNNNNNNNNNNNNNNNNNNNNNNNNNNNNNNNNNNNNNNNNNNNNNNNNNNNNNNNNNNNNNNNNNNNNNNNNNNNNNNNNNNNNNNNNNNNNNNNNNNNNNNNNNNNNNNNNNNNNNNNNNNNNNNNNNNNNNNNNNNNNNNNNNNNNNNNNNNNNNNNNNNNNNNNNNNNNNNNNNNNNNNNNNNNNNNNNNNNNNNNNNNNNNNNNNNNNNNNNNNNNNNNNNNNNNNNNNNNNNNNNNNNNNNNNNNNNNNNNNNNNNNNNNNNNNNNNNNNNNNNNNNNNNNNNNNNNNNNNNNNNNNNNNNNNNNNNNNNNNNNNNNNNNNNNNNNNNNNNNNNNNNNNNNNNNNNNNNNNNNNNNNNNNNNNNNNNNNNNNNNNNNNNNNNNNNNNNNNNNNNNNNNNNNNNNNNNNNNNNNNNNNNNNNNNNNNNNNNNNNNNNNNNNNNNNNNNNNNNNNNNNNNNNNNNNNNNNNNNNNNNNNNNNNNNNNNNNNNNNNNNNNNNNNNNNNNNNNNNNNNNNNNNNNNNNNNNNNNNNNNNNNNNNNNNNNNNNNNNNNNNNNNNNNNNNNAAAGACCAAAUAACCAGCAGAAAGAUCCUCUAUUUCCAGAACCAUGCUUCUCAAUCUGUCCUUAAUCUGCAUAUCCUUAACAAGCGAAUAAACAGCCGACAAGCUAGAAUUUUGAAACGUUUGUUCUCUUUGCUGAAUCUCAUGACUGCAUGCCCAAGCUUUGGAAUCACCCCCAUAUAAAGAAUUGAUGGCCAUAGGACGGAUAGGAAGAAAAGCAAAAACAAGUAUGGUAGAGAAUAGCGGAAACGAUGGGAAAACGGACAUGGGAGAUUAAAAGAAAAUAAAGCCACAUCUCAUAAUUUUUCAAUAGGCUCUGGUUAGUGGGAAUAGGCACAGAGAUAUAUGCUUCCGAAGGCAUUAAUGACAUCCAAAAUCAAAACAAGGCAAACAGGCAAGUAACCAAUCUCAACAAAGCAAAUUGUGGCCCUUUUCAUCCACACAAAAAUCAACAAAACAAUUAUAUAUUCAGGAAUCGAACUCACGGAAAAAAAUCAAAUAUAGGUAAGAAUUCCGAAAGCAACGAGGUGCAUACCUGGACAGCUUUGGUUGCAAUGGCUCGGCUUCUGGCUAUCUUUUCUCUUCCUUCUGAGGACAAUUCCCAGAUAAAAAUCCUCUUUUUUGCUUGUUCUUUCUUCCUCCUCCUCCCUCUCUAGACUCCAAUACGUGCUCUGCCCCCAAGAAAAAUCCUCCCUUAAUAAAAAAAAGCUCCCCUUUUUCUCCUUCCUCUCUCACGUAUAUAUACGCCUUUCCCUAAAACUAAAUCUCCCUAAAAAAAGGCCAAAUCCCCUAUUUUCUCUCUUCUUUUCUCCUUAUCCUUUUUUAAAUCUUCCAAUUCAAAAGCAAUCUUCCCAACUUCAAAUUCUCCUCCAAAACCUUCCAAGGAGAGUCCCACUUUCCUUAAACUCCAAUGGUAAGUUUCCUUGCAAAAACAUGAAAUUUUAGAAGUUAAAUAAUUGCAUGAAUAGAUAAAUAAGUAAAUAAAUUAGAAAAUGGUAAAAAUAAUAAAUAAAUAAAUAAGUUGAGGAAAAUAAUAUAAAGAGGAAAACGAAAUAAAAUAAAAUAAAAUUAAACAAAUUAACAAAAAAAAUGGACCCUACAAGCCAUGCAAACACGCAAGUCAAAUAAGUCACGCUAAAAAUGUCCAAAUGGGUCAAGUGUGCCUAAACGGGCCUAUGAUGAGACUAAGCGGGCCUAGGGUGGUGCCUAAUGGGCCAAGUGUAUCUAAAGGCUAUCCUAAAAAAACAAGAAAAGCCUAAGUCUAAAUUAGGGCUGCCAAGGGUCACGAUAAGGGAUCAAAUAAUCCUUUAACCAAAGUCUCCAAGGUGACUCAGAAAAAGGUAAGUCGUACGAGUAGUAAUGGGCCACCAAGGAACUACCGUGGAGCACUGGAAGUGGAUUUAAAGACAUGUGCUAAAAGGGCAAAAUUGAGGGUCUACAAUGAGUUUCAGAAGCAAGUUGUGGAUGCAUGGAGGGAUAUUAACGAGGAGUUCCUACGACCUACAGUUGUUCCGAUGCCUCUCCUAAUGUGUGUGCUUAAUCUUUCUCGAGUGAUGGAUGUGAUCUACACGGGGGGAGAUGGGUACACUCAUGUUGGAAAAGUGAUGAAGAAUAAUGUUGCAUCACUGCUCAUUCACUCUAUUGUAUGACCAAAUGGAUCAAGUUGAUCACCAUCUACAUAUUCUGCCUUACCUAGGGAGUAGGAUGAAUAAAAAUUAUUGUAAUAGUAUGGGAGAGACCUAUAAUGUUUGCUACUCUAUCUCGGUUUGGUGGUGUUUUACAUCAUACUAUCAUUUGGGCCAAAGGUAUUAAUGUUAUUGCGUUCUAAAAACUCCAUCCUAAGAUGCAAACAUAAGCAGGUUUUUUUUUAUUGAUUUUCGUUUUCUAUUUCUUGCAUCCAUUUUAAUAUAUGUUUAAAACACAUGGAUCAAGUUUGAAACUUUUUUGUUAUUCAAAAAUCGUGUCAUGGAGAAAAUUCUCCAUGGCAAAUCACUUGAUGGAGAAAAUUCAAAAUACAUCAUCAUCAUGAUGUAGAAAAUCACUUGACCGAGAAAAUUCAAGUAUAAAAAUCACAUGGUGUAGAAAAUUCUCCAUAGAAAAUCACAAGAAAAUUCAAAAUACAUCAGCAUCAUGAUGUAGAAAAUUACUUGACGGAGAAAAUUCAAGUAUAAAAAUCACAUGGUGUAGAAAAUUCUCCAUAGAAAAUCACGAGAAAAUUCAAAAAACAUCGUCAUCGUUGUCAUCAUCCUCCUCCUCCUCCUCCUCCUCCUCCUCCUCAUCAUCAUCAUCAUCAUCACUAGACAUGCUAAAAGUUUUGUUUCAUCAUCAUCAUCACCAGACAUGCUAAAAUGCUAAAAGUUUUGUUAUAUACCAUGUAAAAAAUAUAAGUUAUGAUCUUAUAUAAGGUACCAUGCAAAGUUUAAAUUUUUGCAAAACGAAAAGAGAAAAAAAAGGAAGUUAUGAAGAAUCAAAUCAAUCAACUCAUCAUUUUCCAAGCAAGGAUUAAGAUAUUAAAAAUUACAUAAAGAUGAUGAUUAUAUUUUUAAAAACAUUAGAAAAAAAAAAUAAUAAAUAUAUUGAAGUUGUUUUUUUACAUAAAACAAUAUAUGUAUAAUAACAUAAAUACAUUUAAUUAUAAAAUAUAUAUGAUUCCAUGUAAUUUGAAAAUAUUCAAGGAUGUAAAAGAAAUAAUAAAUAUUUUUUUUACAAACAAAUAUUUAUAAUUUCAUUUACAACUUUAUUUCUUCCUUUUAUUUAAUUAAUAUAGACAAGGAAUAACAAAAGACUUACUAAAAGAACUAUCAUGAGCACGUUUUAUAUUUUUAACAAUAAGUUCAAAUAAAUUUUAAAAAUAAGACAAUUAAAUUAAUAUAUUUUUUAACAUUUUAUUUAAUAUUUAAUUUUGUGCAUAGAUAUGUCAUAAAAUUAGGUUAAAUAUAGUACAUGUAAUUAUAAACAAUAAGGGCAAGCAGCUCAGGUGGCAAAGUAGCCACCUCCCUUCCAACAUGCACCUUCAAGUUUUUUUAGCAUACUGAUGUAGCGAAUUACGGGAGAAAGUCACCAUAUAUUGCCAAAAUUAGUGAUUAAUCGAAAAAAUAAGAAAAGAACAUGAUUAAUCGAGGUAGAUUAUGAAAAUUUGAUAAAAAUUCAUUAAGUGAAAUUCCUCCAUAAUUUUCUAUAUCGGUGAUAUUUCAUGAACACUAAUCAUGAUUUCCAAGUUCAUGAGUUUACCGUAUCUACAAAUUGGUAUGUCAAAGAAGUUCAAGAAUAAUUUUUAGAUGAUUAUAAGUGUUUUUUAAUAAUUAAAUUCAUUUUACAAAUAACUACAUGUUUAAUUAAGAUUAUAUCCUAAUGGUGCUGAAAACAAAUUAAGACAGACGUCAAAUCACAUUUACUUUGCAUUGAAACAAAUUAUGCUUAAUAGACAUAUUUAUGUUUUUGAAGAUGAUGGAUGUUAAUUUCAGAUUUUGCUCUCAAAUUAAGCCACCUAACACAGUUGUCUUUUAAACACUUAAGCGAACACAACUUCAAAUCACCAAUAAUUCACGGUAGCACAACUUCAAAUUAAGCCAAAAACCCAUCAACCCUCACCACCGUCGAUAGCAUCGCCGGCAAGCCGUUACCGGUUGGCAACCCCCUCCUCCCCUCUCAUUCUCCCCUUCCACCCACCUCUCCUCUCACUACUUUCUCUCUCUUUCCUUUUCAUUUCUUUCUCCUCAACUCCAUUGCCACCCUUCAACAACCCUUCAUCCAUGGUCUCAAAAAAAAAUAAUAAAAAAUAUCCCCAUGUCGAUAGCCCUAGUUUAAACUUUCCAAGUGAAUCACUAAAAUACAACACAAUUAGCUAUCACAAAACAAAAUAAAUUCAAUUAGGCCUAAAUUUAAUAUCUUAUAAUCCAAACUUAAUUUAAUACACAAAUUCAAAUUCACAAUCAAAAUCAAGUCCAAUUUAAUAUAUAAAGCUCAAAUGUAACAAAAUUAUACUAUAAUAUUAAUUCAUGUCCAAAUUAAACUAUUCAAAUGGGCAAAAUUCAUUCACCAACGACAAAUAGGCCCAAAUUUCAUAUUAAUUAACAUCCCCAAAACAAAAUUUAUUGGACCAAUUUGAAGUUUGGAUUUGAGUUUGAAUAAUUAUUUUGGACUUUACAUAUUUUUGGAUAUUUACCUUUGGGCUAUUUUUGUUUUUUCAUGAGCCCAUUUUACAAUUCUGUUGACUGAGCACAAAUUUGUGAUGCGUAGAGGGUUAAAUUUCAUGAAAAAAAAUGUGGCUCAUGAAGGCUGUAAAUUGAGCAUUAAGCUUGCUAUAGCCUUGUUUGGAUAUAUUUUAUUUCCCCACUUUUAUUUAGUUCUAUUUUUAUUGUCCUGUAAAUAUUCUUUCUUAUAUAUUUCUUGGGUGUAUACAAAGUUGAACAAUUGAUAACUCAUGAACUUUGUUUUAAUAAAAUAAAUAGUUCAGUAAUCUUUUUUUUUUUUAAUAAAAACAAUUGCUUAGAAAUUAUUUUUUUUUAAUAAAAAAAGGUUUUUUUUAUAAAAAUUCAAAAAAAUGUUUUUAAGAAAAUCCGAAAAAUCAUUUAAAUAAGAAUAUGUAUCACUUAAAUCACCUGAAUAUAUUAUUUAUUAUAUUAUAUUCUUUAAUACAUAUGUAUUAUUGUCAUUCAACUUGAGGAGUAUUGAUACUGAGUCUUAAAAUACAUAUGUAUGUAGAAUACAUGCCUACAACAAAUCUGGAUCUCCUUGUUAAUAUGUAAUGGUGUUUUGGAGUACUACAAUACUCACCAAAUAACUUCUUUACACUUUAUAAUGGACACUGACUGGUGAGUUUAUAGUUAAUUAAAUAUUUAACUCUAUAGCAAAUUAUUAUUAUUAUAAUUAUUGUUGCUAGCGUUAUUAUUAUUUAAUUCAUUAUUAUGAAAAUUAUUAGUAUUAUUACUAUUUAAUUAUUAUUAUUAGCUAUUAAUUUUAGUUUUUUCUUUUUCAUCUUUUCUUUUUUGUUGUUUCUUAUAUACUUCAUAAAAUUAUAAGUUAUGAUCUUUUAUUAGGUUGAAAUUGGAAGUUCAAGUUCACUAAAGUAUGACACAGUUAACUUAGGUUCACUAAUUUUGUAAAAAAUUCAAUGCAUUUAUAGGAUAAUUAAAUAAUUCAACGAACUUAUCAUUUUAUUAAUUAAGGUUUUUUUUUUUUUUAACCUUUUUUACAUGUAAGAAUACAAAAAUUUAUGGUUCAAUGUGAAACUUUGGAAUUGCAUGAAUAAGAAAGUGAAAUUUGUUGGUGUCGUUCCCAACGAGAGUUAGGUUCAUCCAACUUCAUUGGAGUCAGGUGGGUUGCUUCCCUUGUUCGUGCUUCUUAAGAAGUCCGUCCAGUUGUAUUGGAAUUAGAUAGACUUCUUCCCUGCACAAAAGAAUGUCCAGACAGGUGGUUCGAACAUGCCCCUCCCAAACUUAAGUUAGUUAAGGAUAACUCUAACUUAUUUUUAUGGUAGAAAAUGAGCGUAUGUGCAUGCCUACCUUGUUUGUGCCUUUUGAGGGGUUUAUAUAGAGCUUAUGACACUGUCACUAUAGUGCUGACUAUACACUCUAGUCUUUCUUGUGAUGAUGAUUACCCUUACGGCGGUUGGGCAAUCAUAUCAGAUAAGGGAGGUUGAUUGGUGCCAUCUACUGACAUGCCAAAUCUCGGACCAUGCAACUGAUUGUCCAUUUAGCUUGCCAAUGUCUGGGAUUGUGUGUAACAAUUAAUUGACAUUGACUUUUGGGUGUAAAUGGAGUCCCGUCCACCGCUUAGAUGUCAGACGUCUAAUCCAUAGCUCAAAUGUCAUGUGUCUAGGCCAACGCUCAAACAUCAAGCAUGGUUGAUCAUGCAUGCCAGAAAUCCUGAGGACUUGAUUUGACUAAUUUUUUCGUCGGAGAGUCUAGCGAUCCCAGCUUGUCGAUUCUGUCUGACCUUGUGGAAGAAGAGAAACCUCUCACUUUUGGUGUCAGAUAGAACUUAUCUUGGUCUAGAUGGAUUGAUCCUAGACGGGUUACAAGUUUGUCCUGGUCGGCCAAGGGGUCUUGAGCUUGAAAAUGACAAGUGAAGGGAAAUCCCCCACAAUGCCCCCUUAAUCUGUCUACCUCUAUCCAGAUGAAGAGGAGAUGUUUUUGGAGCGUCCAGUUAGUCUCCUAUCUAAACAAGAAUUCCGGGAUCGUUUCCAUAUUCCGGAUAAUAUCCCUAUCCUUCUAAUAGACGACGAGGCGUUAUCUUCCGUUGACCUGCCCAACAACAUGAUGUAUUUUACUAAGGAACAAUUCGUUGCGGGGCUCCGUCUACCUAUCCCCUCUCUCUUCAAGCAGUUCUUUCAUUUUAUGUAAAUCCCUUCAACUUUUCUUCAUCCGAACGUUGUCCGGUUAUUGAUGGGAUGUAGUGUUCUGGACAUGCUCUUUCAGUUGGAUCUCUCCUUACUGGAAGUCUUAUUUGUUUACACUAUCAAAAUGAGCUGGAAGGAAAGGUUAAGAUUUUCUUCCCAUAUUCCUUCCUUACAGCCGGUGACUGGCCUUCCAGAUUCAUGCAAAUGCUAGGUGAAGGGGCAUGUCCUAGUCUCCAGUCCUUGGAGUGGUUCAUCUAAGAAACUAGACGAGGUCUUUUCUCCACAACAUUUGUUGGGGAUUCCGAGUAAGAUACGCUUUCGUCACUUUCUCUACAUUUUUCAAUUAUUUCUUCCUCGUUGUGAAUUUACUGCUGAUCCUUUUGUUUAUGUGAUACAAGCAAGGAGAGGCGGGGACGCCUUGUAGAGUGGGUAGACAAGGCUUCUUUCACCCGACUCAACAAGUUGUUCGAAAUAGACGCGUUCGAAUGGGCCCCCAAAGUUUUUCUGCCAAACAAUAACUUACUAGCACUGAUCGAUAAUCCAAAGUCGUUCAUCAUCCCCGUAUUUUCUCGUCUGGCUCCCCCAUCUUUGGUGCUUGGUGAACAUUUCGUGCUAAAGGAUUUGUAUUUCUAUGAGGUUGCCUGUCUAGCAGAUUCUAAGGCACGCUAGGCCCGUUUAGAGGAGCGUGAGGAAAAACAUCAGGAAGGGACAUUGAGGCAAGCUUCGACUGUUGGUGGUCUAUCCUUUAGAUCCGUUGUUUGUCUUCUCACUAAAAAGAGGAAGAAACCUACUACUCUGCCUAUCCAGAGAUAAGGACUCCGCCUCCUUUAUUUUUUUUCUUCUCCAUCAGCUUCAUCAUCUUCAUCAUCUCCAUCUUCUUCAUCUUCCAAUGGCGAGCCAGAAGCAUGGGUUGACCAGGUAGUGUCCCCUAUUAUUUGCGAUGAGUAAAAAGAAGAGGAUAUGGCUUCAAACUUGAGGGCCGAAUUUCGUGAGAGACAGUGCAAGCACCUGUCCAAAUCCAUUGCUGUCAAUCCUACUCCCUCCAAGAAAGCUUGUUCAAAACCUGCUUUUGCUCCUACACUCAUGUCGGUUCCUCCUACUAUUGCUACAGUCUUGACCCCUGAGCUAGAUAAGAAAUUUCCUUCUACUAAUGAACAUACUUAUCAUGAGAUGAGGAGAUCCUUCAUCAACUCGGACAACUUCAGCAAAGAAUCGUUCAAAUACAUGACUUCUUUUUCUCCUCAUUCGAAGUCAACCUAUGUCCACAAUCGGGAGGAGGUAUCUGAGCUUUUGAAGCGAAUCCCUUUCUUCACCGAGGAGAGUCCUCGGUACAAAACAUGGGAGUACUCUUUCCACCUACUCAGCAAAUCCCAAUUGAGAUAGACAAUGAUCCCAGUCGAUCUUUCAUGGCAUGGCUUUUGUACGGCACUCCGAACACCGCCAUUUCUCACAUUAUUCCCAUGCAAGACUAUAAGGCUUUUGAAACGACAAAAAUGGUAAGCCACCUAUCCUUUUCUGCUCAUUUUGCCUUAGCCUCUUGUUUCACAACGAUUUCUCUAUUGCCUCUUCAGAUGAUAGUCGGAGUCUAAAACCUCAUGUGGCAGCACGCUCCCCUUUUCUACCGAUUGGAAACAGUCGAGACCAUGAGGGCAUACUUUGCCCAUAAUAUGAACAAGAAUGAGGAUCUUUUUGCCAACUUGGAGACAACGUAGAGUGAAGCCGUUGCUGCCCAAAAGCUUGUUGAAGAAGAAGCCAAUCUAUUGAGGAAAGCCGAGGAAGAAAAGGAGACAGUUCAAAUUGAAGCUCGUCGGCUGGCUGAAAAGAAGAAAACCAUGGCGGUCGACAAAAAUAAGCCUGAAAAAAAGGCUGCCUGAUUCGUGCCCAAUUGGUGUCUCAGCUGAUUCGUGUCCAGCUGGUGCUCCUUGAUUGAGGGAGUAAUCAACAAAAUUUAUAACCUAUUACACCAUAUACUAGGGUAGCAAAGACAAAGCUACUAUAGCAUAGUGGCUCUAGGAUCGUCCAUUGGGAUGGGUUUUCACUUCACAAUUGAUAUUAAUUCAAAGAUGAAUUGGUGCCUUUUCAUUUCAAGGUUAGCUUUAAAAGAAAACAUAAACUUGUUUGAAAGAAAAAGGUUUGGUUUUAAACUAACCACAAAUAGUAACUAAUUUUACUUACAAAGAAAAGAUGUUUCUUGGAGUUCAGAUCACUAGGCUCAGAUUCCUCAUACAAAAAGGGAGUUCCGGUCACUUGUUUCUUUUCCUCGUAUUAGAGAAUUAACAUAUAGUUAAUUCUCCAACCGGUGUUGUACAGAUGCUCCCCAUUAAUGGGUUCAAACACUAAAUCCCUCUCACUGAUGCAUCUUGCAAUGACUCAUACCUCUCACCUAGCACUUGCCAUUCAAGGUGAUCUUUAACCUUGGAUUACCCGUCAAAAGCUCGCAAGAGAUAACUAAUGGAUGUCUCCUUGGAGUCCAAAAGCUUACCAAGUGUUGGCUAUUCUAGAAAAUCCUACCUUCAAGUCACCUCCCAAAGGCUCGCAAGGGGUAAACUAGUGCAUUUCCAUGGUUGGAAAUCACUUGUCUUACCAAGUGUUGGCCCAGGUGACCCUAAGGUGUUUUAAGUUAACUAAAAACAUAGAAAUCACUAACGGGUUACACUUUCUCUUCAUUAAAAACUAAAACAACAAAACUUCCAAAUUAUGCAUGUGGAAACUUACCCGGCUUUCCUCACUCCAAGAGACAAAAAGCUUAGCCUCUCAUCCUCUGUGGAAAAAUCCUCAGAGUUUGGUUGGCUAGAAAAUGAAAAUGAAAGAGAAGACAAGAAUAUAUAUCAAAAACAGAGCAAGUGCUCUGUUCGUUGAUUCUAUAUAUUGGAUUACAUGAUAUCACAUACUUCCCCCCAGCGUCUCCUGAGAGUGUUUACAAGAGAGUUUAUAUAAGAAGGUAAUUUACCCUUCCUUGGAUACUUCCUAGCUAAGGAAUUACAUGAGUGGUUGAAUACAAGGAGAAAAUGGAAAUUUAGACACAAAAAUCUGAAGAAAAAUAUCUAAAAGAGUCGGUGCAAAAAUAUCGGGAUGCUUCGGGAACCAUUUCGCAAGAGAAAAUGGUGUCUGCGAGAUUUCGCAGACACUCAAGAGGGGCUGCGAAAUCACUUCGCAACAUCAAGCUAUUCUCACAGGGCUACGAAAUUGGCUUCCUCCUUGAGGUUCUCAGCGUUCCAGCUUGCGUCAUGUAUCGGGUAGCUUCAGGAGGAAUUUCAUAGCACUGUACAAAAAGGCUGCGGAAUUCUCGCAACAAAAGGCUGAUUUCGCAACACUUUGGAGUGAUCUGCUUUCAAUGGCUGUAACUCCUUCGUUUCAACUCCGAAUCGCGCACCGUUUGAAGCAUUGGAUUCUUGACUUCCUGAGCUUUGAAAUGGUAUAUAGAAUGUAGAAAAUGGACUUCGGAAAGUGCUCCAAAAGUGCAAAAGAAUACUGCAGCUAGCUUUCCUCUGUUUUCUUCACUCUGUUUUUCCUCUCUCCUUGCUUCUCUCCUUGCAUACUUUGAACGACUUUGGCAAAGGGAUAUGGGGCUCCAAAGCUUGGUUUCUUCAUGAAUUUGAGCUCUUCAUUGCUUUGCCAUGAAUUCCAAAUAACUCUCCUCAAUCUUGGAUUGUUUUGGUGAUCAAAUUACUAACAAAAACACCAAAACUUACACAAUUUGAUUAGAAUUGAUUGCAAGGGUCCUUAACAUGUUAAUUGGGUUAAAAGACAAUAACUACUACUCAAAAGUGUUUAAAAGGAUUAAUUACAAGCUACAAAAUAGCACUUUUUGAGUAGUAAUCACUGCCCAGCUGAGGCAUGAGCUACAAGAUCUCCGAGUGGGGUUUGCCGCUUGAAAAGAAGACUUGGAGGUUGACUACCAAAAGCAAGUGGAUGAUAUAUUCCUGUACGAAUAUCGUUGUUAUAUAAAGAAGCAUGGCAUCAUCCAUGAUGCUCCCACCUUUCCUUCGGAUGACGAGAAUGAGUUUUUAGGCGACCCUUCCCAAAAAGGAGGAGAUGUUUUCGAAGGCGGUCCCUUUGGCGAGUAGGCUUGAUAUUUUGUUUGUAUUUAUUUAUUAUGGUUGGAUGUGGCUUGGACUGCUACAUCUAUAAAGACAAUGGAUGCUUUAUUUAUUUGAAUAUAUUUACUUUAGUCAUUUGUCUCUCAUACAUUGUUUUCAUAAGCAAACUUUAUUGAAAUUACUACUUUAAAUUGGAUACAUUCAAAGAGUAGAGCAGGGGUACGACGUCCAAUAUUUGAAGAUGGUAUGUCCCUGAGUCUCUAGCCUUAGUUACAAUAUAUGACCCUUCUCAGUUAGCUUGUAGAACUAUAAUACUUUGGUUUAUACAUUUAAGGUUAUAUAAAGUGUUAAUUCAAAUUAGUGAUGUUAUGUUGUUCACCCGUUUCCUUGAUAAUUUAAACAAAUAAAACUCAAAUGCAUCCUAAAGUCUAAAUGAAAGAAAUUCUAACUAAACAAAUUAUUACAACCAUUACCUAUUUUUCUUUCAUAUAAUUAAAAAAUUAUACAUUUUAACCAAGACAUAAGUUCAAAUCACACUUAAUAAGAAAUAACCUAAAAUCAUAAUCAUUGGCAUUAAUUUUCAUAUGAAAAUAUAAAUUUUUAAAAUAAUAUAAACAAUUUCUUUAGUUAUUUUAAAAUUUUAAAAUACUAUAAAUAAAUAAUUUUCUUUAGUUCAUAUGUGAAAAUAUUCAUAAAACAAAUAAAUAUUUUAUUUAUCAUAAAUAUAUAAAUUUUUAUGGGAAUGCAUGUAGACCAAAUUAUUUUCUCAAAAUUUUAAGGAAAAUAUGAAAAAAUAAAGAUAAAAUAUAUAUAUUUGUAAUAGAACUUUCGCAUGCACAUUGUUUUCACGAUUAGGAAUUAGAGAUAGAAGAUUUUUAUAGAUUUGAAAAGAAUCAUGGAAGAAACUCAACUUAAUUUCCAAUUUUGAAAAGAAUUGUGGAAGAAAUUAAACUUAAUUUCUAAUUUUAAAAAAGAAUUGUGAAAUAAAAUCAAUUUAAUUUCCAAAAUUAAAAAGAAUUGUGGAAGAAAUUCAAAUUAAUUUCUAAUUUUAAAAAAGAAUUGUGAAAUAAAAUCAAAUUAAUUUCAAAUUUUAAAAUGAAUUGUGGAAGAAAUUCGAACAAUUAACACACCUUUGUGGCAAGGGAAUCUACCGCAUUCGUUGAACAGACUUAGUCCCAUUUUCCCAAUCAACUUAGCACGUUGUUUGAAUUAAAUACCUACGGAUUGAUAUUGUUUGAAACUCAAGCAAACCAAUAUUUUAUAGUCUAUUCUGAGCACGACUAUUUCACACCUUGGGCCCCAAAACUAAACCAAAUCCCACAUACCAUUCAACUUAACACAACCUUAGCCGCCCCUAACGGUUUGGGCUUUUGCGUGAAUUUAGGCAAGGGGUUUCUCUUUCAUGUCAUCAAUCUCUUUCAUACAUUAUAUUCAACAACAUACAGCUUCUGGAGGCCAUUGCUGCCCUAUAAAUGCAAUGGAGCUUCCCAAGCUUUUGCACUCAUACUUUCCAAGUCAGUUUUCAAAGAAGUGUUCUACUACCAUUCCAAAAAAUUAACAUGUCGGGUCAAGUCUUAGCAAGCCCUCUAGGCCAAUUUCCGGAACUGGAAAAUCGUCCGGUGGUCCAGUAUCACCCUAGCAUUUGGGGUGACCAGUUCUUAUCCUACACUCCCGAGGACGAGGUAAUCGAAUGAAAAUCUGUGUUAAAUACCUGUAUAUUCGAAAGUUGUUUUUCUUGAUGUGUUGUUUAGUAAAAUUACUUGGUUGCCAUAGGUAACACGUGCCUGCAAAGAGAAGCAGCUUGAAGAUCUGAAAGAGGAAAUUCGAAGGAAGCUAAUGAAUACAGCUGGUAACACUUCCCAACAACUAAAAUUUAUCGAUGCUGUGCAACGUCUUGGGGUGGCAUACCACUUUGAAAGAGAGAUAGAAGAAGUGUUACAACAUAUUUAUGAUAGCUAUCCUAAUGGCGAUGAUAUGGAAGGUGAUAUCUAUAAUGUUGCUCUUCAAUUUCGGUUACUAAGACAAGCUGGGUUCAAUAUUUCAUGUGGUAAGAGCCCAAAGAAUUAUCAUGUAUAAGCUAAAAUGUAUCCUUCUCAUAAGUCCAAUCUUAUGUAUGUUUAAAUUACGGUAUUUAUGUAGGCUUGUUCAAUGAGUUCAAGGAUGAAAAGGGUAACUUCAAGAAAGCUUUAGUCAGUGAUGUAAGAGGCAUGCUAGGCUUGUAUGAGGCUGCACAUCUCAGAGUUCAUGGAGAGGACAUACUUGCAAAAGCACUUGCUUUCACCACCACUCACCUCAAGGCCAUGGUAGAAAGUUUAGGAUAUCAUCUUGCAGAACAAGUUGCUCAUGCCCUGAACCGGCCCAUUAGAAAAGGUUUGGAGAGGCUAGAGGCAAGAUGGUAUAUAUCUGUCUACCAAGAUGAAGCUUUCCAUGAUAAAACUUUACUAGAGCUAGCAAAAUUAGAUUUCAAUCUAGUGCAGUCACUGCACAAGGAAGAGCUAAGCAAUCUUGCAAGGUUGGUUUUAGAUCACCCCACAUGUACUUGGCCAUUGUUAUCACUUUCCUGUAUGCUGAUCAUAUUAAUGUCUUUUAGGUGGUGGAAAGAACUAGACUUUGCUACAAAGUUACCUUUUGCACGAGACAGAUUGGUUGAAUGCUACUUUUGGAUGCUUGGGGUGUAUUUUGAGCCUCAAUACUUACGGGCUAGACGAAUUCUAACCAAAGUAAUUGCCAUGAUAUCCAUUCUAGAUGAUAUCCAUGAUGCAUAUGGCACACCUGAAGAACUCAAGCUCUUCAUAGAAGCCAUUGAGAGGUUUGCUCCUUGCACAUUACCAACCUUGAUUGUGUAUAAUAGAUGUAUUUAUAUAUACUUAAAUCAAGGAUCAUUAUUUUAUUUUCAGGUGGGAUAUUAACAGCAUAGAUCAGCUUCCAGAAUACAUGAAACUCUGCUAUGCGGCACUCUUAGAUGUGUACAAAGAAAUCGAGGAAGAGAUGGAGAAAGAAGGAAACCAAUAUCGGGUUCACUAUGCCAAAGAAGUAGUAGGACAUCUUUAACUCUGGAUCCCCACCUUUUUCAUUGAUGAUAUUUUAUAUGGUCUCAUAUAUACAUAGAUAUAACUUGGAUGAAUGUUCUUUAGAUGAAGAAUCAAGUUCGAGCUUACUUUGCUGAGGCCAAAUGGUUACAUGAAGAACACGUACCAACAUUUGAAGAGUACAUGCGUGUUGCACUAGUAAGCUCUGGAUACUGCAUACUUGCAACCACGUCCUUUGUGGGAAUGGGAGAAAUAGCAACAAAGGAGGCCUUUGAUUGGGUGACCAGCAAUCCUAAGAUUAUGUCAUCUUCAAAUUUCAUUGCGAGGCUCAUGGAUGACAUCAAAUCACAUAAGGUAUGAAGAAUAUAUGAUUCAAAUGGGGAGAAUAUAACACACUGGUUUUUUCUCAACUUUUGUAUUAUACAUGCAGUUUGAGCAAAAGAGAGGGCAUGUGGCCUCAGCUGUUGAAUGUUACAUGAAGCAAUAUGGUGUCUCUGAGGAACAAGUAUACAAAGAAUUUCAAAAGCAAAUUGAGAAUGCAUGGCUGGAUAUUAACCAGGAAUGCCUCAAACCUACUGCUGUUUCAAUGCCUCUCCUUGCUCGUAUUCUCAAUCUUACACGAGCCGCGGAUGUCGUUUACAAAGAGCAAGAUUCGUACACACAUGUUGGGAAAGUGAUGAGGGAUAACAUUGCGUCUGUCUUGAUCAACGCUGUAAUAUAACCAAAUGGAGUAGUUGAUUGCCUUGUGGAAGCCGUAAUAUCUAAUAAAUCACUAUAAAAGGAAAAAAGAAAAGAAAAAAGGUCCAAUUCAUACCUUAGCCGCCCCUAAUGGUUUGGGCUUUUGCGUGAAUAAAAACUAUUGUAAUAAUAUGGGAGAGACAUAUAAUGUUUCCUACUAGUUUCUCUCUCGGUUUGGUAGUGCUUUACAUCAUACUAUCACUUGGCUAAAUGUAUUAAUGUUGCUGCGUUGUAAAAACUCCAUCCUAAGAUGCAAACAUAACCAGGUUUGAUAUUGAUUUUCCUUUUCUAUUUCUUGCAUCCAUUUUAAUAUAUGUUUAAAACACUUUGAUCAAGUUUGACACUUUUCUAUUAUUCAAAGAUCACGUGAUGGAGAAAAUUCUCCAUAGAAAAUCACUUCUUGUAGAAAUGGUCUAGAACAUACAAAAGAGAUAAAAAAAUCUUAAGAAUUCAUCCUAACGGGUAAAAUAUUAUUAUUAUUAUUAUUAUUAGACAUGCUAAAAGUUUUAUUAUAUACCUGUUAAAAAUAAAAGUUAUGAUAUUAUAUGAGGUUGGAAUUUGAAGUUCAUUUGCAACUUUUUUUCUUCCUCGUUAUUUUUUUAAUAUACGUAAAGUAUUUUUUUUUAAAAAAAAGACUUACUAAAAGAAUUGUCAUGAGAAGGUUUUAUUUUUAUUUUUUAAUAAUAAGUUAAAAUAAAUUUGAAAAAAAAAAUAAAUUAAUAUUUUUUAACAUUUUAUUUUAAUAUUUAAUUUUGUGCAUGGAUAUGUCAUAAGAUUAGGUUACGUACAUAUAGUACAUGUAAUUAUAAACACUAAGGGAAAGUAGCUCAGGUGCAAAGUUGUCACCUCCCUUCCUACAUGCACUUUCAAGUUUUUUUCAGCAAGCUGAUGUAGCCACUUACGAGAUAAGAUUACCAUAAAUUGCAAAAAAUUAGUGAUGAAUAAAAAAAAAAUAACAAAAUGUCAUGAUUAAUCAAGAUAGAUUAUCAAAAUUUCAACAAAAAAUCAUUGAGUGAAAUUCUUUCAUAAUUUCCUAUACCAGUAAUAUUUCGAAUAUAUUAAUCACGAUUUCCAAGUUUACAAGUUUACCAUAUCUACAAAUUAACAUGUUGAAGAAGUUCGAGAAUAAUUUUUAGAGGAUUAUAAAUGUCUUUUAUUAUUAAAUUUACUUUACAAAUAGCCACAUGUUUAAUUAAGAGUAUAUUCUAAUGGUGCUGAAAACAAAUUAAGACAGGCUUCAAAUCAAAUGUACUUUGCAAUAAAGACUUUAGUGAAUGCAACUUCAAAUGACCAAUAAUGCACGGUAGCAGUACAUUAAUUUUGACUUCAAGGCAUUAAUUCGUAUUUUAUCCAUUACACAACAGAAUAUAUAUAAAUAUCCUUAUAAAAAAUAUAUAUGAUAUUUAUAGGUAACAGCUUUCUUCUUAAGCAAAGCAGCCAAGUAAGACUACAAAAUCUAUACCAAACAGAAUAUCUACUAGGACAAAUUUGGAUAAUUAUUUCCAACACUUAAAUUGAUUGGGCUUAGGUUAAAGUAUUCUUCAACUCCUAGUCAGUUUUAGUUGGGCUCUUACCAAGGUUGUGACAUCUCGAAUCUAACCAAAAGUUUAUAUAAUAUUUAUAUAAUAAUUAUAAUUUAUAUUAUUAUGGACUCAUGCACAUUUUUCACAUGUGCCUACUCAAUGAGGAUACUCAUUUAUUAUGAAAAAUGAUUAUUUGAAAACCCUUUUUAGGUUUUUUAGAGUGAACAUUUAUUUAAAAAAAAAAAAAAAACACAAUAAGAAAAAAAGAAGAGAAAAACCUUAUAUAACUCCUUAUUUGAAAAAAAGAAAAAGAAAAAAGACAAGUUCAUAAACCAAGAUUGAGUUAAAAGUCAAAUUACCUACUGAGAAAAUACGACGAUAAGUCAUACAAAACAACCCUCUAAGCUUAUAUACCUAUAAUCUUUACUAAGCAAAUGAACUGAAUUAUGACGAUUAAAUAAUUGAUUAUGGAUACUCAAGAAAAGAAAAACACAAUUAUAAAACAAGUCAUGGUGUUUGUUAUGUUACAAAAAUGUAAAAAAACAAAUGAUAAGAGAAUUUGCAUAAGUUGAUUUACGAAACUAAUUAAAAACAUGGGUUUAAUUAUUUCUAAAUUCAAAGGAUUAAAAAAGUUAUUUCAAUUUGAUGAUUUCAAUCGAUUUUAAGUACAAAAGAAAGUUUUGAUUUCAUUUUUUUUUUAAAGAAAAAAAUGCUUCAAAUUAUUCUAUUUAUAAAGAAAUGAUUUUUAUUUACUUUUUCUUAAAAAAAAAAAAUAUAAUUUACACAAAUUUUAUUUACCUUAACAUUCCUUUUUGAUUUUUAUGCAAAAGAGAAUACUUUUAUAAUUUUUGCUACAACAUGAUUUUUACAAUUUUAUUUUAAAAGAAAGUAUCCAAAUCUAAUCUUAUGUGCAAGAGAAUCUUUUUACAAAUUAUUUAGGAAAAGGAUUUUUAAAAAUUUAUUUACAAUUUUAUUUAAAAAAAUAUUUACAAAUUACUUUAAAAAAGAUUUGUACAAAUUUAUUAACAAAAAAUAAAUAUUCAGAUCCAAUUUUAUUUACAGAAAAAAAAAGAUUUUUUUUUAUAGUUUUUAUUGAAAAUAAGACUUUUACAAUUUUAUUUAAUUAGUAUGAAAAUCCAAUGUCAUUUUAUUAAUACUAGAAAAAAUUUAUUAUUAUUUUUAUUAAGACAUGAUUUUUAAAAUGUCAUUUACAAAAAAAAAAAAAAAAAAAAAAAGUUUACAAUUUUAUUUUAAAAAAUAUUUUGCAAUUUUUUUAAAAAAAAUGGUUUCAAUGUUUUAUUUAAAACAAAUUGCUUUUUAGAUUUUAUUUUAAAAAAUGAUUUUCACAAGUUAAAAAAAAAUUAUAGUUUUAUUUUUUUACAAAAAAUAAUGAAUUUCCAAAUGUAUUUAAAAUUUAUUUAAAAAUGGAUUUUAUAGUUUUAUUUAGAAAAACACUUUAUUGUUUUAUUUCAAUCUUAUUGUUUAUUUUUUUCUUUAAAAAAAAAAGUUCAAAUUUCUCUCUCUUUCUCCCUCUCUCUGUCCAUACGCUCAUUAAUUUUGAUGUUAAGGUAUCAGCCCAAUUGACAUGAUUUAUACUGACUUAGUCUUUUGGUCUAAUAGGUAACUUAAUGUAAUAUAGGAGGUCAUGAAGGUGAACUGUGAACCUUACUGAUAUUACGCAAACCCUACCAUUUAUUUAUAAUAUUGUUGUCAUAAUAUUGAAAUAUGGGAAAUUUUAAUAGACCAGACAGACACCAAUAGACCAAAGCCACCAAGCAAGAAUUGAAGAAACCAGAAAGCGUUUGUUCCAAACAUAGUAUACUGUAGAACAUGAAACAGAAGCUAGAGUAUACUAUCUUUAUUUGUGUCACAUAUAUCUCCACUCUCAUAUUGGCACAAGGUCUAUGAGCAGCAUUGAAAUAUUAUUUUUUGUCACUUCUCCAGGAUGUGUGAAUAUAUCAUUGUGGCUCUUGUACAUCACAUCUCCUGAUCGAGCAAAAUUGAGAAGACGACUAAGGAGAAGCAUUGGAACUGCAGUAGGUCUGAGGCACUCUUCAUUUAUAUCCUUCCAUGCAUUCUCGAUUUGUUUGUGAAACUCAUCAUAUGCUUGCUGCUCCGACACACCAUGUUGCUUCAUGUAACAUUCGAUGCUUGAUGCAAUAUGCUCUCCCUCUUGCUCAAAUUGCAGAAAUAGAUAGUAAUAGAAGGUGUUAAAAAGAAAUUGAUAUACAUUAGAUUUUCUUUAUCUUUAAGGGAUUGAUAUCCAAGUAUCAGUAGAAAGUGUUGUUUCAUUGUACCUUGUGGGAAGCCAUGUCAUCCAUGAGCCUAAUGAUUAUGUAGGUAGCUCUAACAAUCUUAGGGUUUUGUAGCAGCCAAUCAAAGACUUCCUUGGUUGCAGUCUCUCUCAUGCCAAUAAAAGACAUGAUUGUUAAUCUUCAAAUUGAUAAAUGGUAGUUUUUUCAUUCAUUCUUUCAUUCAUUCAUGUACAGAAUAUAUAUAGAGGGUAAUCACCAUUCUAAGAAUGUGAAAGAAUGAUACAAGGAAAUAAUGAUAUAAGGAAAUAACAACUAAUAUCCUAAUAUCUCAACAUUCUUAAUAUCUCUACUUUCCUAAUAUCUAAACAUUCCUAAUAUCUCAACACUGAAUGAUAUAAGAAAAGAAUGAUAUAAGGAAAACAUUCAUAAUAUCUCAACACUCCCCCUCAAGUUGGUGCAUAGAUGUCACACAUGCCCAACUUGUCUAAAAAAUUUGAGAACACUUGAUUUGAGACAGCUUUGGUGAGGACAUCGGCCAAUUGAUCUUUUGAUCAAAUCUUACGCAAUUCCACAAUCUUAUCAUCCAACUUUUCCUUAAUGAAAAAUCUAUCCACAUCGACAUGCUUUAUACGAUCAUGUUGUACUGGAUUAUGAGCAAUGUCACAUGCGACUUUAUUGUCACAAAACAAUCGGAUUGGUUGCCUAGAUAGGUAACCUAAAUCUUGUAAGAGGAGUCUUAGCCAUAAUGCCUCACAAAGUCCUAGAGCCAUACCUUUAAAUUCCGUUUCUACACUUAAACAAGCGACGACAUUCUGUUUCUUACUUUUCCAUGUCACAAGAUUACCACCUACAAAGGUAAAGUAACCAGAUAUAGAUCGCCUAUCAUCCACUGCACCGGCCCAAUCAGCAUUAAUAUAUACUUCUAUACUCUGAUGAUCAACAUUUUUAGCGAACAAAAUUCCCCUCCUAGGAGCAUUCUUCAAAUACCUCAAAAUACGCAUGACUGCAUUCAUAUGUUGCUCUCCAGGAUUAUGCAUGUAUUGACUCACUACACUCAAUGCAUAAGCAAGAUCUAGUAUUGUAUGAGCUAAGUACAUUAAUCUCCCCACAAGUCUCUGGUAUCUUCCCUUAUCGGUUGAUACUUGAUUAGGCUCAACACAUAAUUUCAGACCUUCUUCUAUUGGUGUAUUAAUAAGUUGACAUCCCGACAUUCUAGUCUCCUGUAAAAGAUCUAAAACAUACUUUCUUUGAGACAGAAAAAUUCCUUCACUUAAUCGAGAAACUUCAAUCCCAAGAAAGUAUUUCAGAGAACCUAAAUCUUUCAUUUCGAAUUCUAUAGAUAGAUAAUUUUGCAGAGCUUUUCUUUCUUUAGGAUCAUUUCCUUUAACUACCAUGUCAUCCACAUAUACAAUGAGUGUCAUAAUCUUACCAUGUUGCUUUUUCAGGAACAAAGUGUGAUUUGAAUUACUUUGACGAUAGCUAAAAGCUCUCAUUAACUUUGUGAACCUUCCAAACCAUGCUCUCGGGGAUUGCUUCAACCCAUACAAUAACUUCUUCAAUUUGCACACCUUCUGACAUUGCUUUUCUGACACCAUGCAUCCUGGUGGAAGAUCCAUAUAUACUUCUUCAGAUCACUCGCCAUACAGAAAGGCAUUUUUGAUAUCGAACUGUUGUAAUGGCCAAUCUAGGUUUGCAGCUAAAGACAGUAAUACUCGAACUGUGUUGAUCUUAGCUACAGGUGCAAAUGCCUCUGUGUAGUCAAUUCCAUAAAUUUGAGUGUACCCUUUUGCUACUAAUCUUGCUUUAUCGUUCAAUACUACCAUCUGCCUUGUACUUCACAGUAUAGAUCCAACGACACCUAACUGGUUUCUUUCCUGGUGGACAUUCUACAAGGUCCCUUGUUUCAUUCUUCUGCAAUGAUUUCAUCUCUUCAUUCAUGACUGCUUUCCACCUUGGAUUAGCUAAGGCUUCCUGCACACUGUUAGGAAUAGCUACAGUAGAUAAUUGAUUUACAAAUGACUUAUUUGAUUCAGACAAAUGAUGGUUAGACACAUAGUUGCUCAUGGGAUAUUUGACUUUGGUAGACAAUUUAGGUUCAUAUGUGGGUUUAGGAAUACCUCUAUUAUGACGGUAUGGUAACCGUUUCAUGAAUAGAUCAGGUUCCAAAUUAAGAACACCCUCAACAGACGAUGAUUGGUUUGGUAUUUCAGUGAAGACAUCUUCGGACCCAAAUUGUUGACCACUCAUAUCCAACUCACCCGCUUCCUGGUUCACUAGUUCAGAUUGUCCAGAUUCAUCCUCCUCAGAGAUAUGAUAAUCAUAAUUGAGAGUUUGAAUUUCCUUAUGGUACUCCCCCUGAAGUUCAGACUCAGAUGAAAAAUGCAUCAAAUCUUCAUGAAACACCGCAUCCAUUGUAAUAUACAUUCAUUGAGUUGGAGGAUGAUAACAUCAAUAUCCCUUUUUGUGUAAUGCAUAUCCAACAAACACACAUUGCAAUGCAUGGGAAGUUAACUUGGUGCAUUGGUGUUUGUGUAGAUGCACAAAUGCCACGCAACCAAAAACACGAGGAGGUAGAUUUGGGGUAGUUGGGACAACUACGACAUUAGUAAGAGCUUGGAGAGGUGUUUGGAAGUUAAUUGAGCUGGAAGGAAGUCGAUUGAUCAACUAUGCAGCAGAUGUGAUUGCUUCUCCCCAAUAAGAUAUCGAUGUUUUUGCUGCUAUCAAGUAAGCACAGACAACCUCUAACAAGUGCCGAUUUUUUCGUUCAGCACAACCUAAGCCUUACUCUUUCAAGGGAAUGUUCCUAAGUCCUAUUGGGGAGAAGUUGUUCUUACUACCACAUACAUGAUAAAUAGAAUUCCGUCACGAGUUUUAGACAACAAAAGCCUCGUAGAGAUACUUAAGAGUUUCUAUCCACACUUCAGAACCUCAAAUGGGCUCACUCCUAGGGUAUUUGGGUGCACUGCAUUUGUUCAUGUCCACAGCCAACAUAGAGACAAGCUAGACCCCCGAGUCAUAAAAAUUGUCUUUCUUGGUUACUCAUCCACUCAAAAAGGAUACAAGUGUUACAAUCCCACAACAAAAAUUUUUUACAUCUCUGCAGAUGUCACCUUCACAGAAAAUAAACCUUUUUUCCCAAAGUCCUAUUUUUAGGGGGAGAUUUCAAUGAUAGAAGAUAGUCCUGAGUCCUUUGAACCUCUUGACCUUCCUCAUGUCUCAACCCAUGGUGAUGAAAUACCUAAGUCAUCCGAGUCAAUCACACUUGAGUCACCCAAUUUUACCACUAAACCCGUGUCAUCUAAUGUUCCAGCCAGUGUCACUCACAAUUUUCCAUAGUUUCCUAAGGUGUAUUCAAGGGAAAAGGCCAUUCCAGAACAAAAGUAUGUCCAAAAAUCCAACUUAGACCCUGGGAAUGAAAUCACGCUAAGAUCAGACCCACCUUUACAUACACAACCUGGUGAAACUUCUACUAACUCAACCUAGACCUAGACCUUCCCAUUGCUAUCAGAAAAGGCACCAGAGAAUGCACUAAUUGACCACUCUAUCCACUAUCACACUAUGUGUCUCUUAAGCACCUAUCACUAGCCCACAAAAAUUUAAUUGUGAGUCUAAACACCACUAUCAUCCCUAACACUGUUUCUAAGGCAUUGACAAAAAGGGAAUGAAAUGAUGCUAUGAGAGAGGAGAUGAGUGCCUUAGAAAAGAAUAAAACAUGGGAGAUUGUUGAAAGACCGAAAGGGAAAAACAUUGUUGAUUGCAAGUGGAUUUUCACACUGAAAUAUAAGACUGAUGGAUCUCUUGAGAGACAUAAAGCAAGAUUAGUAGCCAAAGGGUACACUCAAACUUAUGGAGUAGAUUAUCAGGAGACUUUUGCUCCAGUUGCAAAAAUAAAUGCUAUAAGAAUCCUACUGUCAUUGGCUGCCCACUACAAUUUGGAACUCCUAUAGUAUGAUGUUAAGAAUGCAUUUCUUCAUGAUGAUUUAGAUGAAGAGAUUUACAUGAACAUCCCCCCGAGAUUUGAGGGAAACACGGGUAAUAAGGUGUGCAAGCUAAAAAAGGCCCUUUAUGGGCUAAAACAAUCUCCUAGGGCUUGGUUUGGGAGAUUUGCAAAAGUCAUGAAAGAGUCUGGGUACAAACAAAGCCAAGGUGACCACACUCUCUUCAUUAAGCACUCGGUUGCAGGGGGAGUAACUGCUCUUCUAGUCUAUGUUGAUGACAUCAUAGUGACUGGAAAUGAUGAGAGAGAAAAACAUGAAGUGAAGCAGAGAUUAGCAAUAAAGUUUGAAAUAAAGGAACUAGGGAAACUAAAGUACUUCCUUGGUAUUGAGGUGGCAUAUUCCACACAAGGGAUCUUCAUCUCUCAACAAAAAGUAUGUGAAUGAUUUAUUGGCAGAAACAGGGAAGAUUGGGUGUAAACCAGUGUCUACCCCAAUGGAUCCAAACCACAAGUUGGGAGAAGCUAAAGAAGAACUAGUGGUGGAUAAAGAAUGUACCAGAGGCUGGUUGGUAGGCUCAUAUACCUUGUUCACACUUGGCCAGACAUCGCCUACUCGGUGAGCAUGAUCAGUCAAUUCAUGCAUGCUACAAGAGAACCUCAUCUUCAAGCUGCUUAUAGGGUGCUGCAUUACUUGAAAGGCAACCUCGGGAAAGGAAUUUUGUUCAAGAAGAACAAUACUCUUGCUCUAGAGUAUACACUGACGCUGACUAUGCAAGUUCCUUAGUGGAUCGAAGAUCAACUACAGGGUAUUGUACUUUUCUUGGAGGUAAUUAGGUAACAUGGAGAAGUAAAAAGUAGAAUGUGGUAGCAAAAUCGUCUGUAGAAUCAAAGUUUAGGGUCAUUGCUCAAGGGUUGUGUGAACUACUUUGGCUGAAGAUUAUUCUAGAUGAUUUGAGAAUCAAGUGGGAUGGUCCUAUGAAACUCUAUUGUGAUAACAAGUCAACUAUCAAUAUUGCUCAUAACCCUAUACUACACGAUAGGACAAAACAAAAUAAGAUCGAUAGGCAUUUCAUCAAAGAAAAAUUGGAGAAAGGAGUAGUGUGUAUGUCCUAUGUUGCAUCAGAACAUCAAUUAGUUGAUAUCCUAACAAAAGGGCUGAACAGUUCAAUGUUUCACAGUCUUGUAUUCAAGCUGGGAAUGGAAGACAUCUAUUCCUCAGCUUGAGGGGGAGUGUUGAGCUAUAAAUAGAUAGGAGAAUUAUUUUCCUAUUAUGUUAGUUUCCUAUUUAUGUAAAUAGAUAGUUUUAUUAGUUUCCUAAUUCUGUAAAUAGAUAGUUUUAUUAGUUUUCUAUUUCUAUAAAUAGAUAGUUUUAUGAUUUAGGAAUAAAUUAGUUUUCUAUUAUGUCUCUUGUUUUCUAUUUCUUCUCUUGUAAUCUUCUAUAUAAACUGUGUGUAUGGUCAAUCUAAGAGACAAAAAUUAUUAUUUUCCAUCCCAUAUUUCGUAUCAAGAUGCAUGCCAUAAAAAUGGUAAGAUGAACAACAACAAGCCAAGCAACAAAAAAAAAAAAAAAAUGGAGUUUUUCCACCUUGUCCUCAUUGCAAGAAGACAAAUCAUUCUCCACAAAAAUGUUGGUGGAGACCAGAUGUGAAAUGCAACAAGUGUGGUAAACAAGGACAUGUGAAGAGGAUUUGCAAAAAUCAACAACAAAAAGAAACUAGUGCAACAAUUGACUAUUGUCAAGAGGAGCAAUUAUUUGCAGCAACGUGUUUUGCUAAUAAAAGCACCUCUGAAAGCUAGCUUGUGGAUAGUAGUUGUACAAACCACAUGACAAAUAAUCAAGAUCUCUUUAGAGAACUUGAUAGAACAACUAUUUCCAAAGUCAGAAUUGGAAAUGGUGAGUAUAUUCCAGUUAAGGGCAAAUGAACGGUUGCUAUCAAAAGCCAAAUAGGUUUGAAACUCAUUUAUGAUGUUUUGUUUAUGCUUGACGUUGACCAAAACUUACUCAGUGUUGGACAGCUCGUUGAGAAAUGAUUUAAAGUUUAUUUUGAAGAUAGGAAUUGCAUUAUCAAGGAUGUUGAAGGCAAAGAGGUGUUUAACAUAAAAAUGAAGGGCACGAGUUUUGCCUUGAAUUUACUAUAAGAUGAGCAUGCUGCUAUUUUACAACAAUAUAGCACAACAAUGCUUUGGCACAGAAGGCUUGGGCACUUUCAUCAUGAUGUUGUGCUCUACAUGAAGAAAAAUAAAAUAGCUGAAAGACUUCCCGACUUAGAAAAAGAUCUUCCUAUAACUGCUACUUGUCAAUAUGGGAAGCAAACUAAACUUUCCUUUCCAAAGAAAACAUCCUAGAGAGCAACCCAAAAAUUGCAACUAGUGCAUACUGAUAUUGGUGGACCUCAAAAGACGUCAUCCUUGAAAGGGAAUGUAGGCAUUGUUCACCAGCUCACUGCACCAUAUAAUCCACAACAAAAUGGAGUCGUAAAGAGAAAAAAUAGAACGAUUUUGGAGAUAACAAAAUGCCUUCUGCAUGAAAAAGAUCUACCUAAAGUUUUUUGGGCUGAAGCUACAAGUACAGUAGUAUAUUUGCUUAACAAAUUGCCAACAAAAACGUUAAAGAAGCAGACCCCUUUUGAAGUUUGGUUUGAGUUUCUACGUGGAAGACUUGGAGUUUGCAUCUACUAAGUCAAGAAGGAGUGUUGAAUUUUGACCUAGUAUCUACUAGAAUUUGAAUUUUGAAGUUAAAUAUUGCAGUUGGAGUCUUGCACAAAAUCUAUAACAUCCAAAUAUUUUCUUGUUUUUAUUUGGUCAAGAUUUGGUUUCUAUUUUAUAGGAAGUAGUUGUUCAUCAUCUAGUAGCUUGAUUUUAUGCUAUUCUAAUGUCAUUUCAGUUACAAGCUCAUGUAUAAAUUCAACACUCUUCAUCAAUAAAAUGUGUGUUCCAGCAACCCAAAAUAUAUAUUCUGCAUAAGUGUUUAAAUCUUAGACCAACACAUCCUCGUCACUAGUAGUUGUGCCUCUCAGGUUACCUUUUUUAUCUCUCAGCUCAGCUCCACCUUUGCUCUUCAUGAUCUUGGUUCCCUUUACUAUUUCUUUGGCAUUGGGGUUUCUCAUAGUACUGAUUCUCUUCAUCUCUGCCAACAAAAAUAUGUGAAUGACCUGCUCACUCGUACUGCCAUAACUGAUGCUAAACUUGUUCUUACAUUGGGUUCCUUGGCCAAACCUCUCUCUCUCACUGACGGUGAUCUACUUCAUAUCAUAACAUUGUUGGCGCAUUACAGUAUGUUACUGUUACAUGUCCAAACCUUUCUUUUGCAGUUAACAAGGUAUGCCAGUUUAUGGCUUCCCAACGACUACCCACUAGCUAGCUUUCAAGAAUAUAAAAAGUAGUUAAAAAUAAAAUAAAAAUAUAGACUUAAAAUAAAAAAUAAAUUAAAAAUGAAUAAUUAAAAAUUUUAAAAAUGAUAAAUAUUUUUUUUUUUUUUAAAGUUUUCAAAAAAAUCUCAGAUAUUUUCAGAUAUAUCGGCAAUGUAUCCGAUAUAUCUCUAAUAUUUUGAUAGACUUCCUCUAUUGCUUUGUGCGUCACUUCACACUCGAUUUUUUCGCCGAUUUAUCGAUUUCAAAUUAACCGAAAUAUCAACAUAUUUCGGGGAUUUUUCUGAUAUUCCUCCGUUCAAUAAUGUUGCUUAAUAUCCUUUUAGGGUAGUCCGAUAUCCGAUAUAUUGGCGAAAUAUCACCGAUAAAAACCGAUUUUUCAAUCCAUGCUUAAUAGUGGGUUUCCCUUUUGUUUGGCCUCUUGUAGACCCCCAUUUUGGGGCUCGGUUUUUUUUAUCUCUAUUUUCUUUGUAGGUGUCACCACCCCAGGGAGCCAUGCGUCGCCUCUUUGGUGGUUGAUAGGGAAUCAACAUUGCUUUUCGGGGACCUAUGGUAGGUUGACACGUGGAAGAAUAUUCUGGAGAGCUAAUUUCCGUUAUGGGGGAGCAUAUGAGAGAGGAUAUUCUGCAGGCAUUUUGAUUCUCACAUGUGCAUGAUCACUUUGAGUAUUCAUUGAUUUCCGCAUCAAUUGUCACAUCAGCUUCAUUUUAUUUGUAGAGACCCGACUUUAGGGACUUAGAGGGGUGCUACGGUCUUUACCGUACCUUCCCGAUAAGUAAUCUGACCCCCGAGCUCAAUCCAGUUUUUCACGGACCACCUUUUCCAAAUAAGGAGUCACACUUAGGGUUUUCUUUCUUAUUUUAUUUACCCUUUAAAAAUAAAACAAAAUUAAGUGGCGACUCCAAGUCAUUUUUCUUAAUCAGUAAAAUCAUUUUCAAAAUAAAAAUUGAGCUCGCCAUCGAGUGAAAAACGCAUUAGCUGAAAUGCGGGGUCCACACCUCUGUUUUUUUUAUAAAAAAAAAAAAAAAUCCUUUCCCAUUCUAUGGCCUUGAGUGAGCAUUACGUAUUUCAACUAUUUUGACAUGUUCAAAAUAAAAUACUAAGAAUUUAAAGGGAAUUUGUUCGACAAGUACUUUUUUUUUAACAUAUUUAUUUAUACAUUAUUUAGUUUAGGUUGCAUUAUUCUAUGUAAAUAAUUUAUUGGGUAUGGGAAUUAUUUUUAUAAAUGGCUGAGUAGAUUCAAUUUUAGAUAUUUAUUUAUUGAUCAUGAAAAAUAUUUAUUAAAACAUGGUUUAACAACCAUGCGAUGGAAUCAACCUAUUAAAAAAAAUAAACUAAUACUAUAUUAUUUUAACUUAAAUUAUUUCUUGAUGGUAGCAAUGUUGAAAAAACAAAUAUCAAUAAAGACUAAUCUUAACGAGAAAAUAGUAAUUAACAUAAUUUUAUAUUAACUUGUAAAAUUGGGUCAACAUAUAAAUAUAUUAAUUGUAACAAGAAGACCUACAUUGAUAAUGAAACGUCAAUAUUAGUCUAUAUUGCCAACUUUGAAAUAUUAAUAUAUGUAUAUAGCAUAUGUUUUCAUGAUUAGGAAUUAGAGAAAAUUUUGUAGAAGAUUUUUCCAAAUUUGAAAAUAACUAUGGAAGAAAUUCAACUUAAACACGUUUCUUUGUGGAAGAGUUGCAUGUCUACUCAAGUCUCAGCAUGUUCCCUAGCCCAAAUUUCUAAACCCAAAAAUCACCCUGUGGCAAGCUUGAAGGUAAUUCAAUGAAAAUAUGCUUAAAGCUCAACGGCUAAUUUACUUAUUUGGAAGUCAUUUUUCUCUAUGUGUUGGAUGAUAAAAUUUGUUGGUCUAGGUUACACGUUCCUGCAAAGAAGAGCAGACGGAGGAUCUGAAAAAUGAAUUGAAACUGGAAUUAAUACGUAGUGUUAUUAUAUAUCGAUGGAAAUUAGUUUAAAGUUGGAUAUAUUAAUACUUAGGAUGUUUGGUAAAACUUAAUACUUAUUAUUUAAUUAUUUGAGUUGACUUUAAAUUAAAUUAUACUUAAAUUACUUACUUAAAACUUAUUACUUUAAGUAUUAAGAUAUAAAAUUAACUUAAAGUUUAUUUAAAAUCAUUAAGUUGACAUAUUUAUUCUUAUAAAUUAUAAUUAGAAUAGAAAAAGUUGAGUUUAUAGAGUUGUAAAAGAGAUCAUGAAGGUAAUUAAGACAAAUAAAGAUAAAAAGAUAAAAUGAAAAUAUAAAAUUAAAAAUAAAUUAAUUAUUUUUACUUAUUAUUUAAAGUUAUUUUUUUUACUUUAAAUCAUAUUAUCAAGUUAUUUUAUUAAAUAUGCUUAAUUUACUUAAUGACUUAAAUUAAGUUAUUAAAUUAUUUUAAGUUAUUAAGUUGAUUUAUCAAAUUUCUACUUAUUGAAUACAAAUAUAGAAGGAAAUUAGGAAAGCAAAGUAGAUGGGUUAUUAGGUGAAAGCUUAUCAAAUCCGCCUAUCAACAUAUCACACUUUUACCAAAAACCCACCUCAUGCCAAGCCUAUAAGUUGUCAAGUCCUUAUGAUCCAACAACUUUCUUAUGGUUCCCACACGGAUUUCUAUUGUUAUCAAAACAAAAAGUUUAUAAUAAAAUAUAUAUAUAUAUAUAUAUAUAUAUAUAUAUAUAUAUAUAUAUUAUAAUUCAUAAAUAAUCUGACAAUUAAAUAAAAAGAUAAACUCAUUUGUGGAAUAUAAUUAAUAAAAAAAAAAGAGAAGUGUUAAGAGUUUUAAAUUAUUAUUAUUUUAUAUUUUUUAUAUUUUAAAUAAAUAUAAUUAAAAUAAUGGAUAAAAAAUGUGCACUUUGUACCUUCAACCUAUAAGAGUUGUAAUAUUUUCAAGUUGGUAUUCUUUAACAUAAGUCAAAUUCUAACUUAUUCAACUUUGACAAUUUUAACCUAAUCCUCAUAUUGGUACAAAUUAGACUAUUCUACCUUAUUUAAGUUUUAGUCCUAAAAAAAUCAUGAGAAUUAUGGACCGAAUGAUGUAUAUUAAAUUUCUAAGAUUCAUAUUUUAAAAUUAAUAAAAUUGAAGUAUUUUCCUUCUGGAGAUUAUUUAUUAUGAUUUAUCUUUACUUUAAUUAAUUAAUUAAUAUAUAUAUAUAUAUAUAUAUAUAUAUUUCAUUGGUAGAAUUGUCCUUAAUGGCCUUUGUACAUAGAGUACAUUCCUGGUCAUAAGAAUACGUGUCAAAUAUAAAUAUGCUUUUCAAAUUUAAUCAUUCUUAUUAUAAGUUUAUUAUUAUUAUUAUUAUUUUAUUAUAUACCUUGUAAAAAUAAAAGUUAUGAUCUUACGUAAGGUCGCAAUUUGAAGUUCAAGUUCAUUAAACUGUGCAGAGUUUAGCUUUCUAUAUAUAUAUAUAAAGAAUCAAUUCCAUCAAUUCAUUAUUUUUUAAGAAUUGAAAAUUACAUAAAUAUUGAUGGUUAUAUUUUACAAAAACAUUGAAACAAAACAAUAAUAUAUUAUUAAAGUUGUUUUACUAAAUAAAAUAAUAUAAUCAUCGUUAUAUAUAUUCUUGUACUUUGUUUAUUAACAAUUUUAUUAUAUUUUCAUUUUAACUUAAGAUAAAGACAAAGGGUUGAAUUGAAAAUUUUAAUUUGCAUAAUUUAAUUAAUUUGAAAAGAAUUUUAAAUUGAGAAUUUGAAAAACAAAUUCCAAAUAAUAAAAAUAAUUUGGAAAUGAAUUUUAAAUUAAGGAUUUAAAAUUUAAAAUUUGCAAAAGGAAAUUUUUUAUAAAUCUUUUCUAAUUUUAAAUAUGAAAUAUUUCCAAAUCUUUUUAAAACUCUUAAGUUUCUAAAUUGUUUUUCAUAAAAUAUAAUCUUUAAAUUAAUUGCAACUAUAUAAAGUUUUCUCCUAUAUAUAUCCUACCUAAAUGUAUAUUUGAUGACGGUCUGACUUGUUUUUCUAUUCUUAAUCUCUAAAGAAAGAAUUCAUUACAAGUACCUACAUCCCCUCAGAAGCUUAGAGGAGUUAGAGCAUUUGGAGGUACUACAUUGUGGAUGUGGAUUAAGGUGUAGGUUCUAGCUAGUGAAUCAUUAAGGUAAAACGGUUAUUAAAUAUGUGUACUUUAAUUUCAAAUAGUGGAUUAUAAAUUAGAGGUUUUAAAUCUUGUGAUUUUUUAUGCCCACAAUUAGCAUUGAUAUUUUCAAAUUAAAAUUUCUUGUGUCCCUUAUUUGAUUAUUUUUAUUAUUUUGAUUAUCCCUAUUAUCUCUUAGUUUAAAUUGAGUUAAUAUUAUUUAACUCUUAUAUUAUUUUCUUUAAAAAUCACCCCACUCUCAAUGUCAUCCUCUUGGACAAAAGCGUGUAUAUAUAUAUAUAUAAUUCACAAAUCUUGAAAAUAUAUUUAAUAUUAAAAUAUCAUUCCAUGUAAUUUGGAAGUAUUCAAAGAUGUAAAAGAUAUGAUAAUAUAUGUAUAAUUAUUUUUUAUUUAAAAAUAUUAAUAAUUACAUUUGCAACUUUAUUUUGUCCUCAUUAUUUAAUUAAUAUACAAAAAGAUAUGGGAAUAGAAUUAUCAAAAGAAUUGUCAUAAUAAAGCUUUAUAUUCUUCAUAAUAAGUUAAAUUAAGGUGAUAUUUAUUUAUUUUACUUAAAUCUAAAUAAAAAUUAAUUUAACUUAAUUGUAAAUAUAACUUAAUAGAAUUAAUUAUUAUAUUUUUUUGUUUUUUAUAAUUUUAUUUUUGUUAAGCGUUAAAUAUUAAUUGGGUGAGAGUCCUACUAAGGUUGUGCUUUGACUUAUUCAAAAAAUUAUUUUUAGUAAUGAGCAAAAAGUUAAAUAUUUUACUUUUAUCUAUUCAUUAAAAAAAUCUUAAAAAUUAAUUUUUUUUUUGUUUUAUUUAAAAUAGUGAAUGGAGUUUGAGUCGAAUUUUAAUUAUUUGGUAAAAUAAUAAAAUUAGUUUUUUAUUUAAAAGAAAAAAUAAAGGUAAGUCAAAGAUAUAAAGAUAAUUAUUUUAUUUUAAAUAAGAAAGAUUCAAAUAAAUAAAAAAAGAAAAAGUUAAUGAGCUACAAAUUUUAGGAUUAAUUGAUUAAAAUGGGUGAAAAUAUCUCAAAUUUGUAAAACUAAUCUCUUCCAUUUUUUAACUUAAAGAGUAACACUUGUUUGACAUAAAUACCCUUCAACAUUUUCAUUAUUUACAUAUGUAUUUUAAAAGAAAAUGUAAUUUUUGUAAGAAAAAAGUGAGAGUAUUCUUAUGUAUUUUUUGGAUGAAAAAAAAUGGUUUGCAAUUUGAUAUUUCUUUUGUCCUUUUUAAUCGGUUAUCCCCAAAUUUUUUUUACGGAAAAUACAAAUUCUAAAAAUAUUUGGUUUUAUUGCUAUUUUUAAAUUUAAAUAUAUUUUUACCUUAAUUAUAUUUUUAUUUCAAAAUAAUUGAUGAUGAUUUAGUUGAAUUCUAACAUUUAAUGGAGUUUUAGUUGAAUUCUAACACUAUAAUAUAAAGUGACCCGAUAAAAUUAUAAAAUCAAUUUUAUUUAAAAAUAAAUAAAGUUGAGUUAAAAAUAGUAUUAAAUAAAUUAAAUUUUAAAAAUAAAAUUUAAUAGUUUUACCUUAAAUAAAAAAUAUUAAAAGAAAAAAUAAUUAGAUAGAUAGGCUUUAAAUUUUAUUAAGAGAAACAUAAAUUUUUUUUUUUAAAAUUGUUUUUAUUUAUUUUCAAUUUUAAAAUUUUAUUUCUAUUUUUUAUUUAAAUGUAUUUUCAAAUUUUAUCUAAAAAUAGUUAAUAGAGUUUUGGUUGAAUUUUAAGACUAUAAGAUAAGCGAAUAGUUGAAAUUAUAAAAUGAAAUUUUUUAUUAAAAUGAAAAGAAAGUUAAGUUAAAGAUACUAUAAAUUAUGAUUAGAAGAAUGAAAAUCAAUAUAAAAAAAAAAAUGGUUUUAUCUUAAAUUAGAAAUAUUUAAAAAAAAAAAGAAUAAUGUAUUGAAAAAUAUAACUUUGUGGUAGAAGAGCAAUGACUAUGCUCUUUUGAAUACCCUAGUUUAUGUUCAUUUUUUAAAAUUUAAAAAGAAUAAACAUCUUUUAGAUAUUAACAAAAAUAAAUUUAAAUAGAUUCUUUAACAUAAAACCUAAAAAACAUUUGUUGUUGGCCAAAAAAUCCAACUAUGAGCCCUUUUAUGACAAGUGAAACUUCCAAAUCUUCUGAAGAGUUUUUUAUCUUAGUAUUAAAAUCUAAAAGCAGAAUAUUUAUACUAUGAGUUGUCUUUUUAACAACUAAUUUAUUUUAUUAAAUGUAAUAAUAUACAUUAAUAUGUUGUAAAUGAAAAGUAAUGAAUGACCACAUUGAUGGCCAUUAUGAACUCCAUUUACUCAUCUUUAAGAUGAGUAAUGGGAGUUCAUAUUAUGAAGCCUAUAAAAGGCUUCUUACCCCCCCAUGUAAAAGGAUCCCGAGAAAAGAAAGAAAGUUCUUCCUCUCAUUCUCUCUCUCUCUCUUUCUUUCACUUUCUCGAUUCUCUUAUUUGAUUCCUUCUUCCAUAUUAUAUAUCAAAGUAAGAUAUAUUUUAUCUCUACUACUUUGAUUUGCAUUAUAUUUGUCCUUGUUUUACAACACGUUAUCAGCACGAAUUGCUCUGAAGGUAAUUCUCGUAUCUUAAACUUGAAGUUAUUUAUAUAAAAUAAAAUUUUACAUAUUUAUAUUAUUGUUGAUUUGUUUUGUUACAUAUUGUUAAAAGUUAUAAACAAAUUAUUUGAUUUUGUUUAUAAUCAAAGUUAUACCAAUGCUAUCAAGUUAUUAUAACUGAUUUUAAUAAUAUUGUUUUGUCAUAUAUAUGAAGUUAUUUGACAAUGUCGAAUAUUACAAAACUCGAAUUUGUGGCACUUGACAUUUCGGGAAAGAACUAUCUAUCUUGGAUCCUUGAUGCUGAAUUACAUCUUGAUGCAAUGAACCUUGGAGCUACGAUCAAACAAGGAAAUCAAGCAUCCCUGCAGGAUCGCGCAAAAGCAUUGAUUUUCCUUCAUCAUCACCUCCAUGAAGGUUUAAAAAAUGAGUAUCUUACGGUAAAGGACCCUUUUACUCUAUGGAGUAAUUUGAAAGAAAGAUAUGACCACUAGAAAACUGUGAUUCUCCCAAAAGCUCGAUAUGAUUGGAUGCACCUAAGGUUGCAAGAUUUUAAAACUGUUAGUGAAUACAACUCUGCACUUUUCAAAAUCAGCUCUCAAUUAAAGCUGUGUGGAGAAAAAAUCACAGAGGAAGACAUGUUAGAGAAAACUUUUACUACGUUUCAUGCCUCGAAUGUGCUCCUGCAGCAGUAAUAUCGAGAGCGUAGAUUUACAAAAUAUUCUGAAUUAAUAUCAUGUCUUCUUGUUGCUGAACAAAAUAAUGAGCUUUUGAUGAGAAAUCACCAGUCUCGUCCAACUGGAUCUGAACCAUUCCCUGAAGUGAAUGCAAUAUCGUCCCAAACUCGUGGACGUGGACGAGGACGAGGACGUGGUCGUGGUCAUGGAAGAAAUCCUCGAUACCAUGGUUCUUAUAGUAAUAAUUCUCAUAAAAUGAAAGCCUCAUUGCACCACCAGAAGUGGAACAAUACUGAGACAAUACAAGAAAAUGGGAAGCGUUUACAAGAUAAACCUCCUAAGAACCAUGAGAAUAAUUGUUAUAUAUGUGGUAUGAAGGGGCAUUGGUCGCGUACCUGUCGUACGCCCAAACAUUUGGUCGACCUUUACCAAGCAUCAAUAAAAGCUAAAGGAAAAGAGAUAGAGAUGAACUUUACCGAUGGUGAUGGAUUGGACCUAACCUACUAUGACAUUGAUUUCUUUGGAGGUCCCAAUGAAAAACCAGACCAUUUGAUAAAUGAUGAAAAAAUUAACAUUGAUUGAUGUUACUCUAUAUAUACAAUAAUAUAUUAUUAUGUCUUAUAUUUACAUCUGAUUUACUUUGUUAUUUACAUUAUGCCUUUUUUUUUGUUAUAUCUGAAAUCCAUGUGUUAUUUGGUCUCAAGAUGAAUGAGGAUGAUGUAUGUCUCGCAGACUGUGCGACCACGCACACAAUUCUUCAAGAUAAAAGAUAUUUCCUUGAAUUGACAUUAAUAAAAGCUAAUGUAAGUACCAUAUCUGGUACUACAAACUUAGUUGAAGGCUCUGGAAGAGCAAACAUAACAUUGCCAAAUGGAACUAGAUUCCAUAUAAAUGACGCGUUAUAUUCUAGCAAAUCCAGAAGAAAUUUGCUCAGUUUUAAAGAUAUCCGCAGAAAUGGAUAUCAUAUUGAAACUAUGAAUGAAGAUAAUGUAGAAUAUCUUUACAUUACUUCCAUUAUAUCUGGCCAGAAGCUUAUAAUGGAAAAAUUGCCGGCUUUUUCCUCUGGGUUGUAUCAUACAACUAUAAAGCCUAUUGAAUCAUAUGUUGUCGUGAACCAGAAGUUCAACGACCCAAAAGUUUUUGUCCUUUGNNNNNNNNNNNNNNNNNNNNNNNUGGUCACAUGUUUGUCUCCUUUCUACACGUAACGUAGCCUUUGCUAGACUCCUUGCACAAAUAAUCAGAUUACGAGCACAAUUUCCAGAUUAUCCAAUUAAGACAAUACGUCUUGAUAAUGCUGGCGAAUUUACUUCUCAAACAUUCAUUAACUAUUGCAUGUCAGUAGGGAUAAAUAUUGAGCAUCCUGUUGCUCAUACUCAUACCCAGAAUGGUUUAGCAGAAUCCUUCAUCAAACGUCUCCAAUUAAUAGCUCGACCAUUACUAAUGAAAACCAAAUUACCUACUUCCGCCUAGGGACAUGCUAUUAUGCAUGCUGCAGCUUUAGUCCGUAUUCGACCUUCAACUUACCAUGAAUACUCCCCUUCACAACUUGUGCUUGGAAAACAACCAAAUAUCUCUCACUUACGAAUCUUUGGUUGUGCAGUAUAUGUACCAAUUGCACCUACACAACGCACUAAAAUGGGUCCCCAACGAAGACUUGGGGUUUAUGUAGGUUUUGAUUCUCCAUCUAUCAUAAGAUAUCUUGAACCUUUGACUGGAGAUGUUUUUACAGCCCGCUUUGCAGAUUGUCAUUUUAAUGAGAGUGUUUUCCCAUCAUUAGGGAGAGAAAAGUCGAUUCUUGAAGAACGACGAGAAAUUAGUUGGAAGACAUCUACUAUGACCCAUCUUGAUUCUCGUACAAAUCAAUGUGAACUAGAAGUUCAAAGGAUCAUUCAUUUGCAAAAUCUUGCAAAUCAAUUACCAGAUGCAUUCAUUGAUACAAAGAAAGUGACAAAGUCACAUAUCCCGGCUGCAAAUACUCCAGCACAGAUUGAUGUCCCUGUAGGACAGUUAACAAAUGAAUCUAAGAUACGCCUGAAGCGUGGUAGACCUGUCGGCUCAAAGGAUGUAACUCCCCGGAAGAGGAGAACCCAAGAAAAACUUGGCACUCUAGAAGAUGCCAUCAAAAUGACUGAUCAGUUUAAAAUUGAUAAAUCUAUAGCCCUAGAAGAGGCACAAAUAAUGCAGAAAGCCCCUGAAGAGGUAAAUAUUGAACAAGAAGCCCCCGAAGAGGCACAUAUUGAACAAGAAACCCCUGAAGAUCCACAUAUUGAACGAGAAGCCCCUGAAGAGGCACAGGUACCUGAAAAUUGUGAGAUCUCAGUAAGUUAUGUACAAACGGGAGAAAAAUGGGAUUGAAAUAAUAUUGUUAUUAACAAUAUUUUUGCUUUCCAAGUGACCUUUGAUAUCAUAAGAAAUGAUGAAGAUCCCGAACCACGAAAUGUGGAAGAAUGUCGACAUAGAAAUGAUUGGCCAAAAUGGAAAGAAGCUAUACAGGCAGAAUUAAACUCAUUAACAAAACGAGAAGUUUUUGGACCUGUAGUCCAAACACCUGAAGAUGUAAAGCCUGUUGGGUACAAAUGGGUAUUUGUACGAAAGCGCAAUGAGAAUAAUGAGAUCAUAAGAUAUAAAGCGCGAUUAGUGGCACAAGGUUUCUCGCAGAGACCUGGUAUUGACUACGAGGAAACAUAUUCUCCCGUCAUGGACGUAAUCACAUUUCGUUUCUUAAUUAGUUUGGCAGUCUCAAAAGGACUGGAUAUGCGUCUCAUGGAUGUUAUUACAUCAUAUUUAUACGGAUCCAUGGAUAAUGAUAUAUACAUGAAAAUCCCCAAAGGAUUUAAAUUGCCUGAUGCAAAUAAUACAAAGCCUCGUAGCAUGUACUCAAUCAAGUUACAACGAUCCUUGUAUGGAUUAAAGCAAUCUGGACGCAUGUGGUACAAUCGCCUUAGUGAAUACUUGCUAAAAGAAGGGUAUGUGAAUAACCCUAUAUGCCCAUGCAUCUUCAUUAAGAAAUCAGAAACCGGAUUUGCAAUUAUUGCAGUGUAUGUGGAUAACUUAAAUCUUGUUGGAACUCCUGAAGAGCUCACAAGAACAACAAAUUACUUGAAAAAGGAAUUUGAGAUGAAAGAUCUUGGAAAAACAAAAUUUUGUCUCGGCCUGCAGAUCGAGCAUUUUCCAAAUGGAAUUUUAGUACAUCAAUCAACAUACAUUAAGAAAGUUUUGAAGCGUUUUUAUAUGGAUAAAGCGCAUCCUUUAAGUUCUCCAAUGGUUGUCUGAUCACUUGAUGUGAAAAAAGACCCAUUUCGUCCUUGCGAAAAGGAUGAAGAGUUGCUUGGUCCUGAAGUACCAUAUCUUAGUGCUAUUGGUGCACUUAUGUAUCUUGCCAAUUGUACACGUCCAGACAUUGCUUUUUCUGUCAAUUUAUUAGCAAGAUACAGUUCCGCUCCAACUCGAAGACAUUGGAAUGGUAUCAAACAUAUAUUACGUUAUCUUCGCGGAACUACUGAUAUGGGUUUAUUUUACUCAAGGGAAUCAAAGCAACAAUUGCUUGGAUAUGCAGAUGCAGGAUAUCUUUCAGAUCCACAUAAAGGCAGGUCACAAACAGGGUAUGUGUUUAAUUGUAAUGGUACUGCUAUUUCAUGGAGAUCUGUCAAACAAACAAUGGUAGCCACAUCAUCAAAUCAUUCAGAAAUACUGGCAAUUCAUGAAGCAAGUCGUGAAUGUAUAUGGCUAAGAUCUAUGAUCCAACAUAUUCGGGAAUCAUGUGGACUCUCCUCUAUCAAAGGUGACCCGACAACAUUAUUUGAAGAUAAUGUUGCAUGCAUUGCACAAAUAACAGGGGGUUAUAUUAAAGGAGAUAGAACAAAACACAUUUCACCAAAAUUCUUUUAUACACAUGAACUCCAGAAGAGUGGUGAAAUUGAUGUGCAACAAAUACGCUCAAGUGAUAAUCUAGCAGAUUUAUUCACAAAAUCAUUGCCAACUUCAACAUUCAAGAAGUUAAUACACAGGAUUGGAAUGCGUCAACUCAAGGAUAUCGACAUGAGGGGGAGUAUGCUUGUAAAAGGGUGUUAGUGUACUAUACUCUUUUUUUCCUUCGUCCAGGUUUUGUCCUACUGAGUUUUACUGGCAAGGUUUUUAACGAGGCAGUCCUAAUAUGCCAAGAAAAGAAUAUUGUACUCUUUUUCCUUCGCUAGGUUUUUCCUAUAGGGUUUUUUACUAGCAAGGUUUUAAUGAGGCAUAUUCUUUUAAUAUGGUGGUCAUCCAAGGGGGAGUGUUGUAAAUGAAAAGUAAUGAAUGACCACAUUGAUGGCCAUUAUGAACUCCAUUUACUCAUCUUUAAGAUGAGUAAUGGGAGUUCAUAUUAUGAAGCCUAUAAAAGGCUUCUUACCCCCCAUGUAAAAGGAUCCCGAGAAAAGAAAGAAAACUCUUCCUCUCAUUCUCUCUCUCUCUCUUUCUUUCACUUUCUCAAUUCUCUUAUUUGAUUCCUUCUUCCAUAUUAUAUAUCAAAGUAAGAUAUAUUUUAUCUCUACUACUUUGAUUUGCAUUAUAUUUGUCCUUGUUUUACAACAAUAAAUUAUAGUUGAGUUUUUUUUUAAAAAAAAAUUGGCAUAUGCUUGUAUUACUUUGUUAGCUUGGAGGACGAAAAGCCUAUACAAAUAAUGAGUUGAAUGAAAUAAGAAGCGAGUAAAUUACAUGUAUCAAUGAAAUUGUAAUUUUUAGAUUACAGAAAUGAGUACAUGCAUUAAUAUAUAUGAAAAUAUAUAGUGAUUAUGAGAUUUGAGAAUCUAUUUAUUUUGAAUGAUGGGAAUUAAACUUCGUAAAAUUUCAAUGUAGAUCGGAAGUAAAUUUUUUUGUUACUUGAAAUAUUCACAACUUCUUUCCUGUAGUGAUGUUAUUUUGUAAUAGAACUUCCCUGGACAAUCGUUUUCAUGACUGGGAAUUGAAUUAGAGAAAAUUUUGUAGAAGAUUUUUUCAAAUUUGGAAAAAUCGCAUGUAGAAGAGUUGAAUUGGCAAGGAAAUCUACACACUCGUUGAACAGUCUAGGCCCACUUUUCCAAUCAGCCUAGCACGUUUUUUUGAAUUGAAUAACCACGGAUUGAUAUUGAUUGGAUCCAUUAUCAGUCAUUCAAUCCUAAAGCAUUCAUUUGUCAAACUCCAAGGAAUAUAGGUUUGGCCGAGUGAACAUUUCAAUACUAAACUUGUCCAAAUACAUUAAUUUGAUAUUUUUAGUAAAUAUGAUGCGCAAAAUGAAACCUACUUGGUCGAUAAUGACCUAGUGGUUAGGGCAAUCCCUCAAAAUUCAUAAAAAAAGAAGAUGCAAAUAGAAUCAAAUAGUAGUUCUUAUGUUAUUUUUUCAAAAAAUAGUUAUCGAGUCUGGAAAUGGGUAUUUUUCAUUUACGAAGCUUAAUCCUAUGGGAUUUAAUUUUCAUCGACUAGGAGAAUAAUUUGAUCCUAGCCACACCUAAUGUUAACGACUUGUUUAGGUAUUUUGAGUGAAGAGGACAACGGUUCCACACCGUGGGCCCCAAAACUGAACCAAAUCCCUCAUACUAUUCAACUACAUACUACCACUGCAUGCCAAGCCGUCUCUCUCAUACUUACCAAUUCUUUCUCUAGUCCAGAUUCUUAAACCCCAACAUUUGGGGUGACCAAUUUAUUACCUACACUCCCGAAGAAAGUUAAUUCAAUGAAAUUAUGUUUAUAUACUUAUUUGGAAGUUAUUUUUCUUAGGAUGAUAAAAUUUGCUGGUCUAGGUUACAAGUGCCUACAAAGAGGAGCAGAUUGAGGAUCUGAAAAAUGAAUUGAAAAUGGAAUUAUACAUGGUGUUGACUAUAAGAAUUUCAGUGGAUUCAAAAAGCCCCAAUUUAUACCUUAGCCGCCCCUAAUAGUUUCGGCUCUUGCUUCAUAAAUUUAGCCAAGGGACUCAUGAAAAAACUUUUUCUUUCACGUCAUCAAUCCCUUUCAUACACUACUUUCAACGUUUUUAUUUUACAUUAUCUUCAACAAUAGAACAUUUAGAAUAUCCUCUUGCGGAACAAGUUGCUCAUGCACUAAAGCAGCCCAUUAGAAAAGGUUUAGAGAGGCUAGAGGCAAGGUGGUAUAUGUCUAUCUACCAGGAUGAAACUUCGCAUGACACAACUUUACUAAAGCUGGCCAAGUUAGAUUUCAAUCUAGUGCAGUCCCUACACAAGGAGGAGCUAAGCAAUAUUGCUAGGUUUGCUUUCAAAUCACUAGCAGAUAUACCUAGUCACCUUCUCAUUUUACCAUGAGCUAAUUGUUUUAAUGAAUUUUAGGUGGUGGAAAGAAUUAGACUUUGCUACAAAGCUACCUUUUGCGAGAGAUAGAUUGGUGGAAGGCUACUUUUGGAUACUUGGGGUGUACUUUGAGCCUCAAUAUGUCCGGGCUAGACGAAUUCUAACCAAAACAAUUUCCAUGACAUCCAUUAUAGAUGAUAUAUAUGACGCAUAUGGCACAUUUGAAGAACUCGAGCUCUUCACCGAGGCCAUUGAGAGGUUUGAUUGAUGCAAAUUACCAACCUUCAUCAUUUAUACUGUAUGUGAUACUUAAAUCAAGCCUGGUUUUAUUUUCAGGUGGGAUAUUAAUAGCAUAGAUCACCUUCCAGAAUACAUGAAACACUGCUAUGUGGCACUCUUAGAUGUGUACAAAGAAAUUGAGGAAGAGAUGGAGAAAAAAGGAAACCAAUAUCGGGUUCAAUAUGCGAUAGAAGCGGUAGGACAUUCUGCAUCGACUUUGUUUUGUAUAGUAACAUAUCGUAAGGAUAUAGAUGUAACCUGAUUGAAUGUUUGACAGAUGAAAAACCUAGUUAGAGCUUAAUUUCAUGAGGCUAAAUGGUUCCAUGAAGGACGCAUACCAACAAUGGAAGAGUAUAUGAUAAUAAUAGGUUUAUCUUAGGGAAUCAAUAAUUAUUUUUGUAUGUUAUAAAGAUUACAUUUAUACUUGAAUUAUUUUUAAUUUAUUAUAUCAUAUAAAUUUUUUAUCUUAUAAUAUUGUAAAUUUUAAUUAUAUUAGGAAAUCAAUGAAUGCUUUUAUAACUAUUUAAAUGAUGUUAGUUAUGAGAUAAUUUUAUUUUAUUAUUGUUUUUUUACCUUAUUUACUUGUACCUAUUUUUUAAUAAUUUACAUAAUAUUUUUAUAAUUUUUAAAAUUUUCUAAUUAUCAUAUUUUUUUGUAUAUGACACUUAAAUCAAGCCUGGUUUUAUUUUCUGGUGGGAUGUUAACAGCAUAGAUCACCUUCCAGAAUACAUGAAACACUGCUAUGUGGCACUCUUAGAUGUGUACAAAGAAAUUGAGGAAGAGAUGGAGAAAGAAGGAAACCAAUAUCGGGUUCAAAAUGCGAUAGAAGCAGUAGGACAUUCUGCAUUGACUUUGUUUUGUAUAGUAACAUAUCGUAAGGAGAUAGAUGUAACUUGAUUGAAUGUUUGACAGAUGAAAAACCUAGUUAGAGCUUAUUUUCAUGAGGCUAAAUGGUUCCAUGAAGGAAGCAUACCAACAAUGGAAGAGUAUAUGGGGAUAGCACUGGUAACCUCAGGUUACUACAUGCUUACAACCAUGUCUUUCAUUGGUAUGGGAGAAAUUGUAACAAAGGAGGCCUUUGAUUGGGUGAUUAGUGACCCUAAGAUUAUCACAGCAUCAGCUGUAAUUUGCAGGCUCACGGAUGACAUCAGUUCAUAUAAGGUAUUGUGAAUAUAGUAUUUCUUGUUAAGCUAUAAUUUGACCUUGACCUUAAAGCUCAAUCAAUUAAACAUAUUUAUUGUACUCAUUUGUGCGAUUCUUUUUCUUGGUAUCCAUGAUUAAUUAACAAAGGUAUUGUUUUUUUUUUUUUGGAAAAAAAAAAAGAGAAGUUCAAAUUUAUUUUUUUCCUCUCUCUCUCUCUCUCUCCCUCCACACGCUCAUUAAUUUUAAUGUUAAGAUAUCAGCCCAAUUGACUUGAUUUAUAUUAACUUAAAACUUUUGUUCUAAUAGGUACCUUCAUAUAACGGUAAAGCCUUGAUUUUUAUAGGAGGUCAUGGAGGUGAACUGUGAACCUUACUGAUGUGUACCCAAACCAUACCAUUUAUUUAUAAUAUUGUCAUCAUAAUAUUUAAAUAUGGGACAUUUUAUGCAUUCAUUAUGUAGAUAUCCCUUUGUAAUAUACAUUCGUUGAGUUGGAGGAUGGUAACAUCGAUAUCCCUUUUUGUGUAAUGCAUAUCCAACAAACACACAUUGCAAUGCAUGGGAAGUUAACUUGGUGCGUUGGUGUUUAUGUAGAUGCACAAAUGCCACGCAACCAAAAACACGAGGAGGUAGAUUUGGGACAGUUGGGACAACUACGGCAUUAGUAAGAGUUUGGAGAGGUGUUUGGAAGUUAAUUGAGCUGGAAGGUACCCGAUUGAUCAAGUAUGCGGCAUGACUCGUGCCCAAUUGGUGUCUCAGCUGAUUUGUGUUCAGCUGGUGCUCCUUGAUUGAGGAAGUGAUCAACAAAAUUUAUACCUAUAACACCAUACACUAGGGUAGCAAAUACAAAGCUACUAUAGUAUAGUGGCUCUAAGGAUCGUUCACUGGGAAUGAUGAACAAGCAAUCAAGGAUACCAAUUCCAAGUGAAUUGGUUUUGUUUCAUUUCACGGUUAGCUUAAGGAAUAAAACACAAACUUUGAUUGGUAAAGGUUUAGACUUAAACUAACUAACUUAACAGAAGUUUGGAAUAAUUUAGGAAGAAAAGCAUUCCUUGGAGAAUUAGGUUCACUGGGGUGGUUCCUCAUGCAAAAGACAUAGCUCCGGUCAGAUGGUUCAUUUCCUCGCAUUAGAGAUUCAACUUAGAGUCAAUUCUCUAACCGGUGAUGUACAGAGACUCCUUCAAUUAGAUUUCACUUUAAUUCUCUCACUGAUACAACUUGCAAUGGUUCAUGCCUCUCACGAGCACUUACCAUUCAAGGUGAUCUUUAACCUUGGAUUCCCCUUCACAAACUCGCAAGAGAUAACUAAUGGAUGUCUCCUAGGAGUCCAAAAGCUUACCAAGUGUUGGUAAUUCCAGAAAAUCCUACCUUGAAGUCACCUACCAAAGGCUCGCAAGGGGUAAACUAGUGCAUUUCCACGGUUAGAAAUCACUUGCCUUACCAAGUGUUGGCCCAGGUGACUCCAAAGUGUUUUAAGUUAACUAAAAACAUUGAAAUCACUAAAGGAUUUCACUUCCUCUUCAUUACUAGCUAAAACCACAAAGCUUUGCAUUCUUGCACUUGGAACCUUCCCCGGCAACCUUAGCUCCAAGGAAUUGGAGGUUUAGUUACUCAUUCUCUGGGGAAAACUCCUCAGAGAAUUCAUAACUUAGAAAUAAAAUGAAAAUAUAAAGUGAGAAGGUAAGGCAGUAGAAAGAAAAGACUUUUACUUGCUUACCAAAAAACGAUUACAGAAGGAACUCCUCUCUGAGAACAUGCUCUCGAGAGGUAUUUAUAUUAAAGCAAUAUAAAACUAAUUCUUACACUGAUAUUUGGUCUUUUUACUAACUUAAAAACUAAGGAAUCAUGUAAUUGGUGGUUUACAAGGAGUAUUUUGGAAUUUAGACAACAAAAAUCUAAUGGAAAAUAUCUCCCAAUGUCGGUAGCAAGCUUCGGGAGGCUUCAGGAGCCAUUUCGCAGGAGAAAAGUGGUGCCUGCGAAAUUUCGCAGACACCCAAGAGGGCUGCGAAAUUAUUUCGCAAGACCAAGCUAUCUUCACCAGGCUGCAAAGUUGGCUUCCAUCUUGAAGUUUCCAGCUCCCUUCUCGCGGCAUGGUUCGUGCAUCGUCAGAAGGAGAAACACCUUACUGUACAAAAGCGUUGCGAAAAUCUCGCAACAAAAGGCUGAUUCCGCAGCACUUUAGAGUGACUGGCUUGUAAUGGCUGCAACUUCUUCGUUUCAACUCCAAAUCGCGCACCGUUUGAAGCAUUGGAUUGUUGACUUCCUGAGCUUUGAAAUGGUAUAUAGCUUGCAUCAUUUGGACUUCAGAAAGUGCUCCAAAAGUGGCUGCUACGACUGUCAUCAAGAAUAGGCUUCAUGACUGAUCCUCUUUGCUUUUUCUCCUUGCAAUCCGGAUUCACUCUUGGCAAUUGAAUUCUAAGCUUUUCCCAUGAUUCCUCAUAGCUCUCCUCAUUCUUGACUUGCUUUGGUGAUCAAAAUACUAACAAAAACACCAAAACUUGCACAAAGUGAUCAAAAUUGCUUUAAAGGAUCCUUAACAUGCCAAUUGAGUUAAAAGGCCUAAACUACUACUCAAAAGUGUUAAAAAGGAUUAAUUAAAGGCUAUCAAAUAGCACUUUUUGAGUAGUAAUCACGGCAGAUGUGAUUGCUUCUCCCCAAUAAGAUAUCGAUGUUUUUGCUGCUAUCAAGUAAGCACGAACAACCUCUAACAAGUGCCGAUUUUUUCGUUCAGCACAACCCGAGCCUUACUCUUUCAAGGGAAUGUUCCUAAGUCCUAUUGAGGAGAAGUUGUUCUUACUGCCACAUACAUGAUAAAUAGAAUUCCGUCACGAGUUUUAGAAAACAAAAGCCUCAUAGAGAUACUUAAGAGUUUCUAUCCACACUUCAGAACCUCAAAUGGGCUCACUCCUAGGGUAUUUGGGUGCACAACAUUUGUUCAUGUCCACAACCAACAUAGAGACAGCUAGACCCCCGAGUCAUAAAAUUUGUCUUUCUUGGUUACUUCAUCCACUAAAAAGGAAACAAAUGUACAUCCCNNNNNNNNNNNNNNNNNNNNNNNNNNNNNNNNNNNNNNNNNNNNNNNNNNNNNNNNNNNNNNNNNNNNNNNNNNNNNNNNNNNNNNNNNNNNNNNNNNNNUGUUACAAUCCCAUAACAAAAAUUUUUUACAUCUUUGCAGAUGUCACCUUCACAGAAAAUAAACCUUUUUUCCCAAAGUCCUCUUUUUAGGGGGAGAUUUCAAUGAUAGAAGAUAGUCCUGAGUCCUUUGAACCUCUUGACCUUCCUCAUGUCUCAACCCAUGGUGAUGAAAUACCUGAGUCAUCCGAGUCAAUCACACCUGAGUCACCCAAUUUUGCCACUAAACCCGUGUCAUCCCAUGUUCCAAGCAGUGUCACUCGCAAUUUUCCAUAGUUUCCUAAGGUGUAUUCAAGGGAAAAGGCCAUUCCAGAACAAAAGUAUGUCCAAGAAUCCAACUCAGACCCUGGGAAUGAAAUCACGCUAAGAUCAGACCCACCUUUACAUACACAACCUGGUGAAACUUCUACUAACUCAACAGACAACCUAGACCUAGACCUUCCCAUUGCUAUCAGAAGAGGCACCAAAGAAUGCACUAAUUGACCACUCUAUCCACUAUCACACUAUGUGUCUCUUAAGCACCUAUCACUAGCCCACAAAAAUUUCAUUGUGAGUCUAAACACCACUAUCAUCCCUAACACUGUUUCUAAGGCAUUGACAAAAAGGGAAUGAAAUGAUGCUAUGAGAGAGGAGAUGAGUGCAUUAGAAAAGAAUAAAACAUGGGAGAUUGUUGAAAGACCGAAAGGGAAAAACAUUGUUGAUUGCAAGUGGAUUUUCACACUGAAAUAUAAGACUGAUGGAUCUCUUGAGAGACAUAAAGCAAGAUUGGUAGCCAAAUGGUACACUCAAACUUAUGGAGUAGAUUAUCAGGAGACUUUUGCUCCAGUUGCAAAAAUAAAUACUAUGAGAAUCCUAGUCAUUGGCUGCCCACUACAAUUGGAAACUCCUAUAAUAUGAUGUUAAGAAUGCAUUUCUUCAUGAUGAUUUAGAUGAAGAGAUUUACAUGAACAUCCCCCCGGGAUUUGAGGGAAACACUGGUAAUAAGGUGUGCAAACUGAAAAAGGCCCUUUAUGGGCUAAAACAAUCUCUUAGGGCUUGGUUUGAGAGAUUUGCAAAAGUCAUGAAAGAGUCUGGGUACAAACAAAGCCAAGGUGACCACACUCUCUUCAUUAAGCACUCGGUUGCAGGGGGAGUAACUGCUCUUCUAGUCUAUGUUGAUGACAUCAUAGUGACUGGAAAUGAUGAGAGAGAAAAACAUGAAGUGAAGCAGAGAUUAGCAAUAAAGUUUGAGAUAAAGGAACUAGGGAAACUAAAGUACUUCCUUGGUAUUGAGGUGGCAUAUUCCACACAAGGGAUCUUCAUUUCUCAACAAAAGUAUGUGACUGAUUUAUUGGCAGAAACAGGGAAGAUUGGGUGUAAACCAGUCUCUACCCCCAAUGGAUCCAAACCACAAGUUGGGAAAAGCUAAAGAAAAACUAGUGUUGGAUAAAAGAAUGUACCAGAGGCUGGUUGGUAGGCUCAUAUACCUUGUUCACACUCGGCCAGACAUCGCCUACUCGGUGAGCAUGAUCAGUCAAUUCAUGCAUGAUACAAGAGAACCUCAUCUUCAAGCUGCUUAUAGGGUGCUACAUUACUUGAAAGGCAACCCCGGGAAAGGAAUUUUGUUCAGGAAGAACAAUACUCUUGCUCUAGAGCAUACACUAACACUGACUAUGCAAGUUCCUUAGUGGAUCGAAGAUCAACUACAGGGUAUUGUACUUUUCUUGGAGGUAAUCUGGUAACAUGGAGAAGUAAAAAGUAGAAUUUGGUAGCAAGAUCGUCUGUAGAAUCAAAGUUUAGGGUCAUUGCUCAAGGGUUGUGUGAACUACUUUGGCUGAAGAUUAUUCUAGAUGAUUUGAGAAUCAAGUGGGAUGGUCCUAUGAAACUCUAUUGUGAUAAUAAGUCAACUAUCAAUAUUGCUCAUAACCCUAUACUACACGAUAGGACAAAACAUAAUAAGAUCGAUAGGCAUUUCAUCAAAGAAAAAUUGGAGAAAGGAGUAGUGUGUAUGUCCUAUGUUGCAUCAGAACAUCAAUUAGUUGAUAUCCUAACAAAAGGGCUGAACAGUUCAAUGUUUCACAGUCUUGUAUUCAAGCUGGGAAUGGAAAACAUCUAUUCCUCAGCUUGAGGAGGAGUGUUGAGCUAUAAAUAGAUAGUAGAAUUAUUUUCCUAUUAUGUUAGUUUCCUAUUUAUGUAAAUAGAUAGUUUUAUUAGUUUCCUAAUUCUGUAAAUAGAUAGUUUUAUUACUUUCCUAUUUCUAUAAAUAGAUAGUUUUAUGAUUUAGGAAUAAAUUAGUUUUCUAUUAUGUCUCUUGUUUCCUAUUUCUUCUCUUGUAAUCUCCUAUAUAAACUGUGUAUGGUCAAUAUAAGAAACAAAAAUUAUUAUUUUCCAUCCCAUAUUUCGUAUCAAGAUGCAUGCCAUAAAAAUGGUAAGAUGAACAACAACAAGCCAAGCAACAAAAAAAAAAAAAAUGGAGUUUUUCCACCUUGUCCUCAUUGCAAGAAGACAAAUCAUUCUCCACAAAAAUGUUGGUGGAGACCAGAUGUGAAAUGCAACAAGUGUGGUAAACAAGGACAUGUGGAAAGGAUUUGCAAAAAUCAACAACAAAAAGAAACUAGUGCAGCAGUUGACUAUUGUCAGGAGGAGCAAUUAUUUGCAGCAACGUGUUUUGCUAAUAAAAGCACCUCUGAAAGCUAGCUUGUGGAUAGUAGUUGUACAAACCACAUGACAAAUAAUCAAGAUCUCUUUAGAGAACUUGAUAGAACAGCUAUUUCCUAAGUCAGAAUUGGAAAUGGUGAGUAUAUUCCAAUGAAGGGCAAAUGAACGGUUGCUAUCGAAAGCCAAAUAGGUUUGAAACUCAUUUAUGAUGUUUUGUUUGUGCCUGACGUUGACCAAAACUUACUCAGUGUUGGACAGCUCGUUGAGAAAUGAUUUAAAGUUUAUUUUGAAGAUAGGAAUUGCAUUAUCAAGGAAGCUGAAGGCAAAGAGGUGUUUAACAUAAAAAUGAAGGGCAAGAGUUUUGCCUUGAAUUUACUAGAAGAUGAGCAUGCUGUUGUUUUACAAUAAGAUAGAACAACAAUGCUUUGGCAUAGAAGGUUUGGGCACUUUCAUCAUGAUGUUGUGCUCUACAUGAAGAAAAAUCAAAUAGCUGAAAGACUUCCCGACUUAGAAAAAGAUCUUCCUAUAACUGCUACUUGUUAAUAUGGGAAGCAAACUAAACUUUCCUUUCCAAAGAAAACAUCCUAGAGAGCAACCCAAAAAUUGCAACUAGUGCAUACUGAUAUUGGUGGACCUCAAAAGACGUCAUCCUUGAAAGAGAAUGUAGGCAUUGUUCACCAACUCACUGCACCAUAUAAUCCACAACAAAAUAGAGUCGUGGAGAGGAAAAAUAGAACGAUUUUGGAGAUGACAAAAUGCCUUCUACAUGAAAAAGAUCUACCUAAAGUUUUUUGGGCUGAAGCUACAAGUACAGUAGUAUAUUUGCUGAACAAAUUGCCAACAAAAACGUUAAAGAAGCAGACCCCUUUCGAAGUUUGGUUUGAGUUUCUACGUGGAAGACUUGGAGUUUGCAUCUACUAAGUCAAGAAGGAGUGUUGAAUUUUGACCUAGUAUCUGCUAGAAUUUGAAUUUUGAAGUUAAAUAUUGCAGCUGGAGUCUUGCACAAAAUCUAUAACAUCCAAAUAUUUUUCUUGUUGUUAUUUGGUCAAGAUUUGGUUUCUAUUUUAUAGGAAGUAGUUGUUCAUCAUCUAGUAGCUUGAUUUUCUGCUAUUCUAAUGUCAUUUCAGUUACAAGCUCAUGUAUAAAUUCAACACUCUUCAUCAAUAAAAUGUGUGUUUCAGCAACCCAAAAUAUAUAUUCUGCAUAAGUGUUUAAAUCUUAGACCAACACAUCCUCGUCACUAGUAGUUGUGCCUCUCAGGUUACCUUUUUUAUCUCUCAGCUCAGCUCCACCUUUGCUCUUCGUGACCUUGGUUCCCUUUACUAUUUCUUUGGCAUUGGGGUUACUCAUAGUACUGAUUCUCUUCAUCUCUGCCAACAAAAAUAUGUGCAUGACUUGCUCACUCGUACUGCCAUAACUGAUGCUAAACUUGUUCUUACAUUGGGUUCCUUGGCCAAACCUCUCUCUCUCAUUGAUGGUGAUCUACUUAUAUCGCAACAUUGUUGGCGCAUUACAGUAUGUUACUGUUACAUGUCCAAACCUUUCUUUUGCCGUUAACAAGGUAUGCCAGUUUAUGGCUUCCCAACGACUACCCACUAACUAGAUGUCAAGAAUAUAAAAAGUAGUUAAAAAUAAAAUAAAAAUAUAGAUUUAAAAUAAAAAAUAAAAUAAAUAUGAAUAAUUAAAAAUUUUAAAAAUGAUAAAUAUUUUUUUUUAAAAAAAGUUUUCAAAAAAAUCUCAGAUAUUUUCAGAUAUAUCGGCAAUGUAUCCAAUAUAUCCGAUAUAUCGUCGAUAUAUCUCCAAUAUUUUGAUAGACUUCCUCUAUUGCUUCGCGCGUCGCUUCACACUCGAUUUUUUCGCUGAUUUAUCGAUUUCAAAUUAACCGAAAUGUCAACAUAUUUCGGGGAUUUUUUUGAUAUUCCUCUCGUUCGAUAAUGUUGCUUAAUAUCCUUUCAGGGUUGUCCGAUAUCCGAUAUAUUGGUGAAAUAUCAUCGAUAAAAACCGAUUUUUCAAUCCAUGCUUAAUAGUGGGUUUCCCUUUUGUUUGGCCUCUUGUAGACCCCCAUUUUGGGGCUCGGUUUUUUUUAUCUCUAUUUUCUUUGUAGGUGUCACCAUCCCAGAGAGCCAUGUGUCGCCUCUUUGGUGGUUGAUAGGGAAUCAACAUUGCUUUUCGGGGACUUAUGGUAGGUUGACACGUGGAAGAAUAUUCUGGAGAGCUGAUUUCCAUUAUGGGGGAGCAUAUGAGAGAGGAUAUUCUACAGGCAUUUUGAUUCUCACAUGUGCAUGAUCACCUUGAGUAUUCAUUGAUUUUGGCAUCAAUUGUCACAUAAACUUCAUUUUAUUAGUAGAGACCCGACUUUAAGGACUUAGAGGGGUGCUACGGUCUUUACCGUACCUUCCCGAUAAAUAAUUUGACCCCCGAACUCGAUCCGGUUUUUCACGGACCACCUUUUCCAAAUAAGGAGUCACACUUAGGAUUUUCUUUCUUAUUUUAUUUACCCUUUAAAAAUAAAACAAAAUUAAGUGGCGACUCCAAGUCAUUUUUUUUAAUCAGUAAAAUCAUUUUCAAAAUAAAAAUCGAGCUCACUAUCGAGUGAAAAACGCAUUAGCCGAAAUACGGGGUCCACACCUCUAUUUAUUUAAAAAAAAAAAAAAAAAUCCUUUCCCAUUCUAUGGCCUUGAGUGAGCAUUAUGUAUUUCAACUAUUUUGACAUGUUCAAAAUAAAUUACUAAGAAUUUAAAGGGAAUUUGUUCGACAAGUACUUUUUUUUUAACAUAUUUAUUUAUACAUUAUUUAGUUUAGGUUGCAUUAUUCUAUGUAAAUAAUUUAUUGGGUAUGGGAAUUACUUUUAUAAAUGGCUGAGUAGAUUCAAUUUUAGAUAUUUAUUUAUUGAGCAUGAAAAUUAUUUAUUAAAACAUGGUUUAACGACCAUGCGAUGGAAUCAACCUGUUAAAAAAAAUAAACUAAUACUAUAUUAUUUUAACUUAAAUUAUUUCUUGAUUGUAGCAAUGUUGAAAAAACAAAUAUCAAUAAAAGACUAACCUUAACGGGAAAAUAGUAAUUAACAUAAUUUUAUAUUGACUUGUAAAAUUGGGUCAACAUAUAAAUAUAUUAAUUGUAACAAGAAGACCUACAUUGAUAAUGAAACGUCAAUAUUAGUCUAUAUUGCCAACUUUGAAAUAUUAAUAUAUGUAUAUAGCAGAUGUUUUCAUGAUUAGGAAUUAGAGAAAAUUUUGUAGAAGAUUUUUCCAAAUUUGAAAAUAACUAUGGAAGAAAUUCAACUUAAACACGUUUCUUUGUGGAAGAGUUGCAUUGGCAAGGAAAGCUACACACAUUCAUUGAACAGUCUUAGGCCCAUUUUUCCAAGCAGCCUAGCAAGUUGUCUGAAUUAAACCCCUAUGGAUUGAAAUUGAUUGGAUCCAUUACCCGUCAUGCAUUCAAUCCCAAAGCGUUGAUUAUUCAAACUCUAUGAAAUAUAGGUUUCGCUGAGUAGAGGAGUUCAAAUACAUUAAAUCGAUAUUUUAAGUAAAUAUAAUGUGGAAAAUGAAACCUACUAGAUCGAUAAUGACCACAUUACAAACCGAUCUCCAGGCUAGUUAGGGCAAUCCCCUCAAAAUUCAAAAAAUAAUUAAGUAAAUAAAAUGUAAUUAUUAAUAUUUUUAAAAAGUAGUUAUGGACUCGAAAUGGGUAUUUUUUAUAUAUGAAGUUUAAUCAAGUAGUAGUUCUUAUCCUAGCCACACCUAAUAUUAACAACUUGUUAGGAUAUUCUGAUUGAAUUUAGCCAAAGAGACUCUAGAAGGCCAAUAUUUUUCUUAUCAUCACUCUCUUCCGAGCACAACUCUUCCACACCAUGGGCCCCAAAACUAAACCAAAUUCCACAUACUUUUUAACUACAUACAGCCACUGCAUUCCAGGCUGUCUCUCAUACUCACCAAUUCAUCACUGAAGGUAUAGGACUGUUCUAUCAUUGUUCCAAGUAAUUGGCAUCUCUACUCAAGUCUCAGCAUGUUCCCUAGCCCAAAUUUCUAAACCCAAAAAUCACCCUGUGGCAAGCUUGAAGGUAAUUCAAUGAAAAUAUGCUUAAAGCUCAACGGCUAAUUUACUUAUUUGGAAGUCAUUUUUCUUUAUGUGUUGGAUGAUAAAAUUUGUUGGUCUAGGUUACACGUUCCUGCAAAGAAGAGCAGACGGAGGAUCUGAAAAAUGAAUUGAAACUGGAAUUAAUACAUAGUGUUGAUUAUAUAUUGAUGGAAAUUAGUUUAAAGUUGGAUAUAUUAAUUACUUAGGGAUGUUUGGUAAAACUUAAUACUUAUUAUUUAAUUAUUUGAGUUGACUUUAAAUUAAAUUAUACUUAAAUUACUGACUUAAAACUUAUUAUUUUAAGUAUUAAGAUAUAAAAUUAACUUAAAGUUUAUUUAAAAUCAUUAAGUUGACAUAUUUAUUCUUAUAAAUUAUAAUUAGAAUAGAAAAGGUUGAGUAACAAUAGAACUUAUAGAAUUGUAAAAGAGAUCAUGAAGGUAAUUAAGACAAAUAAAGAUAAAAAGAUAAAAUAAAAAUAUAGAAUUAAAAAUAAAUUAAUUAUUUUUACUUAUUAUUUAAAGUUAUUUUUUACUUUAAAUCAUAUUAUUAAGUUAUUUUAUUAAAUAUACUUAAUUUACUUAAUGACUUAAAUUAAGUUAUUAAAUCAUUUUAAGUUAUUAAAUUGAUUAAUCAAAUUCCUACUUAUUGAAUACAAAUAUAGAAGGAAAUUAGGAAAGCAAAGUAGAUGGGUUAUUAGGUGAAAGCUUAUCAAAUCCGCCUAUCAACAUAUCACACUUUUACCAAAAACCCACCUCAUGCCAAGCCUAUAAGUUGUCAAGUCCUUAUGAUCCAACAACUUUCUUAUGGUUCCCACACGGGUUUCUAUUGUUAUCAAAACAAAAAGUUAUAAUAAAAUAUAUAUAUAUAUAUAUAUAUAUAUAUAUAUAUAUAUAUAUAUAUAUAUAUAUAUAUAUUAUAAUUCAUAGAUAAUCUGACAAUUAAAUAAAAAGAUAAACUCAUUUGUGGAAUAUAAUUAAUAAAAAAAAAAAGAGAAGUGUUAAGAGUUUUAAAUUAUUAUUAUUUUAUUAACAAUUUUAUUAUAUUUUCAUUUUAACUUAAGAAUCUAUUGAAAUAGUGACUUACUCUCUAUUAAAGAUUCAAAGUUAUUUUUCAAUCAAUCGAACUAUCAGGUAAGUAUGAAAAUGAUCGAGUAAAGACAAGUUAAUUGUCACAAAUAAGUGUGAAAAGGAUCGAGUAAAGACAAAGGGUUGAAUUGAAAAUUUUAAUUUGCAUAAAAUGUUUUAAUUAAUUUGAAAAGAAUUUUAAAUUGAGAAUUUGAAAAAAAAAAUUCCAAAUAAUAAAAAUAAUUUGGAAAUGAAUUUUAAAUUAAGGAUUGAAAAUUUAAAAUUUGUAAAAGGAAAAUUUUUAUAAAUCUUUUCUAAUUUUAAAUAUGAAAUAUUUCCAAAUCUUUUUAAAACUCUUAAGUUUCUAAAUUGUUUUCCAUAAAAUAUAAUCUUUAAAUUAAUUGCAACUAUAUAAAGUUUUCUCCUAUAUAUAUCCUACCUAAAUGUAUAUUUGAUGAGGGUCUGACUUGUUUUUCCAUUCUUAAUCUCUAAAGAAAGAAUUCAUUACAAGUACCUACAUCCCUUCAUAAGCUUAGAGGAGUUAGAGCAUUUGGAGGUACUACAUUGUGGAUGUGGAUUAAGGUGUAGGUGCUAGCUAGUUAAUCAUUAAGGUAAAACGGUUAUUAAAUAUGUGUACUUUAAUUUCAAAUAGUGGAUUAUAAAGGGAGAAUUAUGUUUUGGGGGUAGAUGGGCCCCCAAAUUAACAAAAGGUCCAUGUAACUCUUUAAAUUGAGCCCAAGACCCAAUAAAAGUAUGAAAAUUGAGUUGAAGGAUAUCAUCCUUCAGUAUUUCCAAAAAUGUCAUUUGUUGAUUUUGAGAAAAAAAAAUUAAUAUUUUUGAAAAAUACUUUUAUAUAAUUUAAUAUUUUUUAUUUAAUUUAAUAUUUUUAAAAAAAUACUUUUAUGUAAUUUAAUAUUUUUUUAAAUACUUUUAUUUAAUUAAAUAUUUUUUAAAAAUAAAUUUAUUUAAUUUAAUAUUUUAAAAAAAUAUUUAAUUUAAUAUUUUUUAAAAUACUUUAAUUUAAUUUAAUAUUUUUGAAAAAAAAUUAUUUAAUUUAAUAUUUUUGAAAACUACUUUUAUUUAAUUUAGUAUUUUUGAAAAAAAAUUAUUGAAAAAAAAAUAUUUAACUUAAUUUUAUAAAAUAUUUUAUAUGUGUUCUUAAAGGGUAUACUUGUCCGUUACUAUUUCAUAUCCUUCAACUCAAUUUGAAGAGUUAUAUGGACCUUUUGUUAAUUUGGGGACCCAUCUACCCCCAAAACAUAAUUCUCCCGAUUAUAAAUUAGAGGUUUUAAAUCUUGUGAUUUUUUAUGCCCACAAUUAGCAUUGAUAUUUUCAAAUUAAAAUUUCUUGUGUCCCUUAUUUGAUUAUUUUUAUUAUUUUGAUCUUUAAUUAUUUUGAUUAUCCCUAUUAUCUCUUAGUUUAAAUUGAGUUAAUAUUAUUUAACUCUUAUAUUAUUAUCUUUAAAAAUCACCCCACUCUCAAUGUCAUCCUCUUGGACAAAAGCGUAUAUAUAUAUAUAUAUAUAUAUAUAUAUAUAUAUAUAUAUAUAUAUAUAUAUAUAUAUAUAUAUAUAUAUAUAUAAUUCACAAAUCUUGAAAAUAUAUUUAAUAUUAAAAUAUCAUUCCAUGUAAUUUGGAAGUAUUCAAAGAUGUAAAAGAUAUGAUAAUAUAUGUAUAAUUAUUUUUUAUUUAAAAAUCUUAAUAAUUACAUUUGCAACUUUAUUUUGUCCUCAUUAUUUAAUUAAUAUACAAAAAGAUAUGGGAAUAGAAUUAUCAAAAGAAUUGUCAUAAUAAAGCUUUAUAUUCUUAAUAAUAAGUUAAAUUAAGGUGGCAUUUAUUUAUUUUUACUUAAAUCUAAAUGAAAAUUAAUUUAACUUAAUUGUAAAUAUAACUUAAUAGAAUUAAUUAUUAUAUUUUUUUGUUUUUUAUAAUUUUAUUUUUGUUAAGCGUUAAAUAUUAAUUGGGUGAGAGUCCUACUAAGGUUGUGCUUUGACUGAUUCAAAAAAUUAUUUUUAGUAAUGAGCAAAAAGUUAAAUAUUUUACUUUUAUCUAUUCAUUAAAAAAAUCUUAAAAAUUAAAUUUUUUUUUUGUUUUAUUCAAAAUAGUGAAUGGAGUUUGAGUCGAAUUUUAAUUAUUUGGUAAAAUAAUAAAAUUAGUUUUUUAUUUAAAAGAAAAAAUAAAGGUAAGUCAAAGAUAUAAAGAUAAUUAUUUUAUUUUAAAUAAGAAAGAUUCAAAAAAAAAAAAAAAGAUAAAUGAGCUACAAAUUUUAGGAUUAAUUGAUUAAAAUGGAUGAAAAGAUUUCAAAUUUGUAAAACUAAUCUCUUCCAUUUUUUAACUUGAAAGUAACACUUGUUUGACAUAAAUACCCUUUAACAUUUUCAUUAUUUACAUAUGUAUUUUAAAAGAAAAUGUUAUUUUUGUAAGAAAAAAGUGAGAGUAUUCUUAUGUAUUUUUUGGAUGAAAAAAAAUGGUUUGCAAUUUGAUAUUUCUUUCGUCCUUUUUAAUCGGUUAUCCCCAAAUUUUUUUUACGGAAAAUACAAAUUCUAAAAAUAUUUGGUUUUAUUGCUAUUUUUAAAUUUAAAUAUAUUUUUACCUUAAUUAUAUUUUUAUUUCAAAAUAAUUGAUGAUGAUUUAGUUGAAUUCUAACAUUUAAUGGAGUUUUAGUUGAAUUCUAACACUAUAAUAUAAAGUGACCCGAUAAAAUUAUAAAAUCAAUUUUAUUUAAAAAUAAAUAAAGUUGAGUUAAAAAUAGUAUUAAAUGAAUUAAAAUUUAAAAAUAAAAAUGAAUAGUUUUACCUUAAAUAAAAAAUAUUAAAAGAAAAAAUAAUUAGAUAGAUAGGCUUUAAAUUUUAUUAAGAGAAACAUAAUUUUUUUUAAAAAAAUUGUUUUUAUUUAUUUUCAAUUUUAAAAUUUUAUUUCUAUUUUUUAUUUAAAUGUAUUGUCAAAUUUUAUCUAAAAAUAGUUAAUAGAGUUUUGGUUGAAUUUUAAGACUAUAAGAUAAGCGAAUAGUUGAAAUUAUAAAAUGAAAUUUUUUAUUAAAAUGAAAAGAAAGUUAAGUUAAAGAUACUAUAAAUUAUGAUUAGAAGAAUGAAAAUCAAUAUAAAAAAAAAGUGGUUUUAUCUUAAAUUAGAAAUACUAAAAAAAAAAAAAAGGAAUAAUGUAUUGAAAAAUAUAACUGUGGUAGAAGAGCAAUGACUAUGCUCUUUUGAAUACCCUAGUUUAUGUUCAUUUUUUAAAAUUUAAAAAGAAUAAACAUCUUUUAGAUAUUAACAAAAAUAAAUUUAAAUAGAUUCUUAACAUAAAACCUAAAAAACAUUUGUUGUUGGCCAAAAAAUCCAACUAUGAGCCCUUUUAUGACAAGUGAAACUUCCAAAUCUUCUGAAGAGUUUUUUAUCUUAGUAUUAAAAUCUAAAAGCAGAAUAUUUAUACUAUGAGUUGCCUUUUUAACAACUAAUUUAUUUUAUUUAAUGUAAUAAUAUACAUUAAUAUAAAUUAUAGUUGAGUUUUUUUAUAAAAAAAAAUUGGCAUAUGCUUGUAUUACUUUGUUAGCUUGGAGGACGAAAAGCCUAUACAAAUAAUGAGUUGAAUGAAAUAAGAAGCGAGUAAAUUACAUGUAUCAAUGAAAUUGUAAUUUUUAGAUUACAGAAAUGAGUACAUGCAUUAAUAUAUAUGAAAAUAUAUAGUGAUUAUGAGAUUUGAGAAUCUAUUUAUUUUGAAUGAUGGGAAUUAAACUUCGUAAAAUUUCAAUGUAGAUCGGAAGUAAAUUUUUUUGUUACUUGAAAUAUUUACAACUUCUUUCCAGUAGUGAUGUUAUUUUGUAAUAGAACUUCCCUGGACAAUCGUUUUCAUGACUGGGAAUUGAAAUAGAGAAAAUUUUGUAGAAGAUUUUUUCAAAUUUGGAAAAAUCGCAUGUAGAAGAGUUGAAUUGGCAAGGAAAUCUACACUCAUUGAACAGUCUAUGCCCACUUUUCCAAUCAGCCUAGCACGUUUUUUUGAAUUGAAUAACCACGGAUUGAUAUUGAUUGGAUCCAUUAUCAGUCAUUCAAUCCUAAAACAUUCAUUUGUCAAACUCCAUGGAAUAUAGGUUUGGCCGAGUGGACAUUUCAAUACUAAACUUGUCCAAAUACAUUAAAUUGAUAUUUUUAGUAAAUAUGAUGCGCAAAAUGAAACCCACUAGGUCGAUAAUGACCUAGUGGUUAGGGCAAUCCCUCAAAAUUCAUAAAAAAAGAAGAAGCAAAUAGAAUCAAAUAGUAGUUCUUAUGUUAUUUUUUCAAAAAAUAGUUAUCGAGUCUGGAAAUGGGUAUUUUUCAUUUACGAAGCUUAAUCCUAUGGGAUUUAAUUUUCAUCGACUAGGAGAAUAAUUUGAUCCUAGCCACACCUAAUGUUAACGACUUGUUUAGGUAUUCUGAGUGAAGAGGACAACGGUUCCACACCGUGGGCCCCAAAACUAAACCAAAUCCCUCAUACUAUUCAACUACAUACUACCACUGCAUGCCAAGCCGUCUCUCUCAUACUUACCAAUUCUUUCUCUAGUCCAGAUUCUUAAACCCCAACAUUUGGGGUGACCAAUUUAUUACCUACACUCCCGAAGAAAGUUAAUUCAAUGAAAUUAUGUUUAUAUACUUAUUUGGAAGUUAUUUUUCUUAGGAUGAUAAAAUUUGCUGGUCUAGGUUACAAGUGCCUACAAAGAGGAGCAGAUUGAGGAUCUGAAAAAUGAAUUGAAAAUGGAAUUAUACAUUUUCAUGGACAAGGGAAAGGAACAAGGGAAAGUUGUGUUUUCAUGGACCAAUAUGGUAAUAAUAUUGUUUUUGGAACCCAGGUUUGUGAAAGUAGAAAAACAUCUGUUAAUGUGAAACUUAUAUCAGAUUCAUGCACUUUGAGCCGGUUAUAUUUUUUCUACAUAAAAAAUAAAAAUAAAUAAAAUACAAAAUAAAUCUAUUAGAAGGCGUCUGUCUAUUCUCUGCACCCUCACCGCCAAAGAGUAGAUGAGUUGGCGAGUGUGUUCGCUCCGGAGUCUUUACGCGCCGAAGAUGCCUCUUCUCCGAUCACCUCUGUUCUUCUUUGUUUGAAGCCGCCGACUGUUCGGUACCACGUGCUCCGUUUCGGGCACUAAGAAGAAGAACAAGGAGAAGGUGAUAGUGAUAUCCGGUCCCACCGGCGUCGGAAAGAGUAGGCUUGCAUUGGAGCUGGCGAAGCGCGUCAAUGGAGAAAUUAUCAGUGCGGACUCGGUCCAGGUAAGGCACCGAGUUCUUUUACCGUUUUCCUCUUGGAUUGCCCUCUGUUUGGUUGCCGAGAAAGAAAGGGAAGGACAAUGGGAAGGGAAUUAUGUCUUGUGUUGUUGAUUUGGGUGUUUAGGUUUUGUUUUUUGUUUUCUUGUUUGUUUUUUUUUUUUUCUCUUUCAUUUGUUUGGUUGCUGAGAAAAUAGAGGAUUCAGUCUUCUUUAGAAUGUUCUAUGCUUCUGUUUUUCAAUAGGAAGCUAAUGUUUAUGAAAAUUGUGACGAGGGGCUCAUGGAGAUAUGAUAAUGUUGGAGAAAAGUAGAUAAUCUAUAUAGAAAGUUCAAAACUUCAAGCAAAGUUACUCAAGGGACUAAACCUUUAGCAACAAUUUCUCCCAAGUAUUUUGUUGGUUAGUUACUCAAAAAGGUAAUUUUUUUAAGGGGGAAGAAAAUGACAAUUUGCAUUUUAUUUUUUGGUGAUAGGCAAAUGAGAAAAUAUUUAAAAGCUCCUAAAAGGAGCUGCAACAACUUACAGAUGAUGUAUACAGUAGUCACAUAGUUUAGUCAAGAAGAAGAUAAACAAAAGAAAAAUCCUCUCCUUACUCAAAACUUAUCCAAUCUACAAAGUCUAUCAUAGAUAUUGAGUGGUCCACCUUGUACAUUCUAACCCAAUUUACAAAGUAUAUAUAAAGUCGGAUUUGAUUGCUUGGUUUGACUGCUUAGCUUCAUUCAAAGCUCUCCCUUUUUUUUUUCUUCCAAAGAGUAGAAAAAAAGCAUAAGGGUAUAGUCCUCCAGCAUUUUUUUCAUUGCUUCCCCAUGGAAGAGCCAUGCAAACCCAAAAGGAUCCUUCUACUGAAAAACACAUCCCCAAAACCACUCCAAAGAGAAAAGGAUCAACUACCAAACAUAAUUGCUUUGGCACAGUAGAGAAGCAAGUAAUCUGUCAUUUCUUCCUCGCAUUUGCACAAAUAAACUUAUUAAGCAGAGUCCAUACCAUCUUUUUGGUGCCCAUGUGCUCCACACUACACCUGUUGGGAAAGCUCUCUAUCUCCCUUGGCCAAGGAAGAUUAAAGGGAUCUAAUUGAAAAAUUGCUGCUCUUGGACUCAUUUCAUCUCAAUUCGCCCUCCUUUUCCUUUUUAAUUGACAAUGAUUGCAAAUUCAAUUGGAAAAUCUCCACUUCAUCAAGCUCUCAAUCAUUAAACUGUCUUGAAAAGUGGUGGCUCCAUCCACCCUCUUUCCCAACUUGGUCCCACUCCUCCGCUACCCAUCCAUCUCUGUUGGAUGCAAUAGAGAAUAAGUUAGAGAAGACUUGCUUUUUAUUCCCUUCCACUCAUUUUUUAUGGUUUUCCACACCUCCACUCCAUACCCUUCUCUCAUCCUUCUUGAAGACCACCUGCUUCCUCUUCUCCGAACUUUCCUAUUAUGAUUUGUUUUGAUAAGGACUCCUUGUUAGUAACAAAUCUUCAAUCCUACUUACCAAGCAAGGCCUUGUUAAAGGUUGAAAGAUUGUGAAUACCAAGAUCCCCUUCCUUCCUUGCCAAGUAGACUGUAGUCUAAUCAAUAAAAUGAGGUCUUUUCUCUAGUGCACCUCCUCCUCAUAAAAUGUUUCUUUGGAUCUUCCUGAGUCUUGAAUUGACCUUUCUUGAAAUGACAAAAAGGAUAUAUAAAUUGGAAGGCUUAAUAAUGUGCUUUUAUCAAGGUAAGUCUCCCUUCGAAAUGUAUGGGUGGUAUGGAGUUAUCAUUAAGGUAUGCCUAGCAAUUUUUUUUUUUAAACCAUGUACAGACUCCAGCUACUGCUGCAACUAGUGCUCAAUGAACGCAACAGUGUCAGAGAUACAAUUCUGGCCGCAUGCCAUUUGUGACUUCAUAGUUCAUGAUAAGUUUCUUCCUAUCUGCUGCUACAUACCAAAAUGACCAAGGGUUGAUUCUAGUUUGUCCAAAAUUUAUUAAUUCAUAUCAUGUUGUGUGCUGAUGUGAUUUGUUCCAAUUGUAAAACCAUUAUUUAUGUUCUAUAUGUGAUGUAUCUGAUGAAGUAUUCCACUUCCCAUUGUAACAGUGGCAGUUGGGUUAUGCUGAAUAUGAGGACUUUAUGUACAAGAAUGACCAACAUGUAAGGGAAAGGAAGAGUACCUGGUGAUGCUGCUGCUGGAGCAUAUGGGACGCAGUAACAACAGUGUAAUAGGGCUGUUCAUUUUUCCUUCAAUAUUGUAAAGGAAGGGAGUAGGAACAUGGACAACACUCAGUAUUUGUUCUUUUAUUAUAGUUAAGGGUGCUGGUUAGUGUUGUAUUGGCGAUUGAUUGGACAACAACUAUGAUUGUAAGAUGUGAUCCAAAGUGAUAGGUUUAUUAUGGGGUAUGGUACUAAUUUCAUAAGAGAACAACAAACAUAGACUGUAACUUAUUUGUUUGUACACUGAUGCAGUUUCAGUUUAUCCUUCUAUACUCACAUUAGUAAAUUGUUUGACGGCUUUCCUUUCAUAUUUAGUUAUUGUGUAAGCUUUUACAUAGCAUCUUCUAUUAAUGUUAUUGGUAAGUUGGGAGGUUUGUUUGGUUUGAUUUACUACAUUAGAAACAGUUUGCUGGUAUACCAAUAGUUUGCAAUGGCGCCCUUCAAAUCCUGAUCUACCGGGGUUCAGGACUAUUGCUCAUCCUCAUUGGCAAGGGCUACUCAGGGUUCCUAAAUGAUUGUGCAUUUUGCUAAUUUUGUGUUUCAAACCAUGUACAGGUUGUUAUAGAAAAAAUAAAUGUGGUAGAAAACCAAUAAAUAUUUGCUUCGCAUGAUCACCUUCCAUAUCCAACCAAAACCAUCAUAACUUGACAUAACCAGAAAAAUGAGAAAACAACAGUAUGAUUAAAUAAAUACUGAGGGUGAAAAAUUGUCGGGAGAGCAAAAUUUAUCGAAUAUGGUUUAAGAUAGUGUCAUGCUGCAAUAAGUAAUGAAAUUAACUAAUAAAAAUCUGAAGCCACAGAAUGGCUACAUUUCUCGCAGGUGCGUUAAGGUAAUACUUGAGGUACAUUAAGGUAGUACCUGAAGACCAUUAAGGUAGUACCUUAUGUGCAUUAACGCAGUACCUGACAUUUCUUAUGAUUACAUAAGGUAUAGUUGGAGUAACCUAUAAGAACAUAACAAUGUCAUGCUGUAAUAGGUAAUGAAAUUAACUAAUAAAAAUCUGAAGCCACAGAAUGGCUACAUUUCUCGCAGGUGCGUUAAGGUAGUACCUGAGGUACAUUAAGGUAGUACUUGAAGACCAUUAAGGUAGUACCUUAUGUGCAUUAAGGUAGUACCUGAAAUUUCUUAUGAUUACAUCAGGUCGAUGGAGUCACCUAUGACAACAUAACAACGUCAUGCUACAAUAGGUAAUGAAAUGAACUAAUAAAAAUCUGAAGUCACAUAAUAGCUACAUUUCUCGCAGGUGCGUUAAGGUAGUACUUGAGGUACAUUAAGGUAGUACUUGAAGACCAUUACGGUAGUACCUUAAGUGCAUUAAGGUAGUACCUGAAAUUUCUUAUGAUUACAUAAGCUACCGAUGGAGUCGCCUAUGACAACAUAACAACGUCAUGCUACAAUAGGUAAUGAAAUGAACUAAUUGUGUUUGAAGUCAUAGAAGAGCUACAUUUCUCGCAGGUGCAUUAAGGUAGUACCAGAUGUACAUUAAUGUAGUACCUCAGGACCAUUAAGGUAGUACCUGAGGUGCAUUAAGGUAGUACAUGAAAUUUGUUAUGAUUACAUACGCCACCGAUGGAGUAACCUAUGAGAACAUAACAAUGUCAUGCUGCAAUGUGUAAUGAAAUGAACUAAUUGUGUCUUAAGUCACACAACAACAACAUUUCUCAAAUAUGCACUAAGAUAGUACCUGAUGUACAUUAAUAUAGUACCUCAAGACCAUUAAGGUGGUACAUGUUUUGCAUUAAGGUAGUACCUGAUGCGAUGAAACAAUUAUGUCUUCGUUGACAAAAGAUGUACACUACAAAUUCCAACAAACAUUACAAAUUCACAAACACUAACAACAAUUUCUACUAACCAACACAUAAUUUAUGCAUUUUAAUUUUUAUUAUUAUUAUAAUUUUUAUUUUUAUUCUCAAUAUAUAUGAUUGAAUUAUCAAGUUUUUCGUCAAUAUAUGAUAUUGCCUAAUUAUAUUCAUCAAUCUGAAUAAAUACAUAAGUUUUCCACCCAAUUUCUAAAUAUGUCCACAACAUUUUUCCAUUUCAUGAGUCUCCAAUACACAAAAAUAUUGAGAUCGAACAACCGCUCAUGCUAUCCAAAAUCGACAUUUGCCUCAACCUAUGCCCUCACCAAUGGAGGAAAAAUUGCAAAUACAACAACCACUCGAAAAUCACUCUUCUGCUCCAUUUUAAACAAAAAAAUUAUUAAAAAAACAACCCUAAAUACAAAUUAAUUACCUUCACAUUUGAUGUGAAGGUUACAGAAAAAUGUGAUCCAAUGAGAAGAACACGAGAUUUCUUCUUCAUGAACCCAAUAUAUCAGAGUUGUCGUUUCCAUUCUGAUUCGCUAUCCUAAACCAGAUUUUCAGUCAACACGUACCCGCCUCAAGCCGUCUUCUUAACUCGACCUUGUUUCAAUGAAGUGCUCCAUUUGGUUCUUCACAAUUACCACAGGCAACAAAAAUUUUGAUUCAGGUUUUCAAGUAAAGGUUUAUACUUUCAAAUGUGUGAAAUUUUGCAAAUUUUCACACCCUCUUCGAUCCGGAGGGGUGACGAAAUUGGGAUGAUCGGGUCCAAAUGGUUAGGACUUUGAGAGGAGAAGGGGCUGAAGAUAGAAAACUAGAUUGGAGUUUGGGAUUAAAGGCUUCAGAAAUUAAAUGAGAGAAAUUGUUGAAAUAUACAAGAUUCUCUGCUUUGCCUCGGUGACGGAGUGAAGACAGAUGAGAGGAAUGGCUGACAAAAUGAGAGAGAGGGAAGAAAGAACGGCUGAACGCUAGGGUUUUCUUGUGGGAACCUCUGCUUCGCCUCCAUGACAGAGUGUAGAAAGAUGAGAGGAAUGGGUACCAAAUGAGACAGAGGGAGGAACAACGGUCAGUCGCCUAGGGUGUUUUUUGGUGAGAUGGGCUGCUGACGUGGAUACCUGGAGGGGCAAGCUCGGUAGAAAAAACACAGCCGACUCAGAGUGCAUGAAUCUGAUAUAAGUUUCCACAUUAACAUAUGUUUUUCAUCUUUCACAAACCUGGGUUCCAAAAACAAUAUUAUUACCAUAUUGGCCCAUGAAAACACAACUUUCCCUUUUUUAUAUUAGUAUUAAAAUCUAAAAGCAAAAUAUAUAUAUAUAUAUAUAUAUAUAUAUAUAUAUCAUGAGUUACCUUUUUAAUAACUUAUUUAUUUUAUUUAAUGUAAUAAUAUACAUUAAUAUAAAUUAUAGUUGACUUGAGUUUUUUUUUUCUUUUUCUUUUUUAAUUUGGCAUAUGCGUGUAUUACUUUGUUAGCUUAGAGGACGAAAAACCUAUACAAAUAAUUAGUUGAAUGAAAUAAGAAGAAUGAAAUUGUAAUUUUUAGAUUACAAAAAUGAGUACAUACAUUAAUAUAUAUGAAAAUAUAUAGUGAUUAUGACAUUUGAGAACCUAUUUAUUGGAUCCAUUAUCAGUCAUUCAAUCCUAAGGCAUUCAUUUGUCGAACUCCAUGAAAUAUAGGUUUGGCCGAGUGGACAUUUCAAUACUAAACUUGUCCAAAUACAUUAAAUUGAUAUUUUUAGUAAAUGUGAUGCGCAAAAUGAAACCCACUAGGUCGAUAAUUGCCACAUUACAAACUGAUCUGCAGGCUAGUUAGGGCAAUCCCUCAAAAUUCAAAAAAAAAAAAAAAAAAAAAAAAAGAAAUAAAAAAGUGAAGCAAAUGUUAUUUUUUCAAAAAAUAAUUAUCGAGUCUGGAAAUGGUUAUUUUUCAUUUACGAAGUUUAAUCCUAUGGAAUUUAAUUUUCAUCGACUAGGAGAAUUAUUUGAUCGUAGCCACACCUAAUCUUAACGACUGUUCCACACUGUGGGCCCCAAAACUAAACCAAAUCCCUCCUGCUAUUCAACUACAUACAACCACUGCAUGCCAAGCUGUGUCUCUCAUACUUACCAAUUCUUUCUCUAGUCCAAAUUCCUAAACCCCAACAUUUGGGAUGACCAAUUUAUUACCUACACUCCUGAAGACAAGGUAAUUCAAUGAAAAUAUUUGGAAGUUAUUUUUCUUAAUUUGUUGGAUGAUAAAAUUUGUUGGUCUAGGUUACAAGUGCCUACAAAGAGGAGCAGAUUGAGAUCUGAAAAAUGAAUUGAAAAUGGAAUUAUACAUAGUGUUGACUAUAAGAAUUAGGUAUGCACAAAAUGACAAGGGACUCAAAAUUGGAUACAUUAAAUAAAAGGAAAAAGAAAGAAAAAACCCCAAUUUAUACCUUUUCCUUUCACGUCAUCAAUCCCUUUCCCUUUCACGUCAUCAAUCCCUUUCAUACAUUACUUUCAACAUUAUUGUUUUACAUUAUUUUCAACAAUAUACAAUUUCUGAAGGCCAUUGCUACCCUAUUAAUGCAAUGGAGCUUCCCAAGCUUUUGCACUCAUACUUACCAAGUCAGCUUUCAAAGUAGUGUUCUACUACCGUUCCAAAAAAUUAUCAUGGCGAGUCAAGUCUUAUCAAGCCCUCUAGGCCAAUUUUCUAAACUGGAAAAUCGUCCAGUGGCCAAUUAUCACCCUACCAUUUGGGGUGACCAGUUCAUAUCCUACACUCCUGAAGACGAGGUAAUUGAAUUAAAAUAUGUGUUAAAUCUUAUAUGGCUUAUAAAUGCCUAUAUAUUCGAAAGUUGCUUUUCUUAAUGUGUUGUUUAGUAAAAUUACUUGGUUGCCACAGGCAACACGUGCCUGCAAAGAGAAGCAGGUUGAAGAUCUGAAAGAGGAAAUUUGAAGGAAGCUAAUGAAUGCAGCUGGUAACACUUUCCAACAGCUGAAAUUUAUCGAUGCUGUGCAACGUCUUGGGGUGGCAUACCACUUUGAAAGAGAGAUAGAAGAAGUGUUACAACAUAUUUAUGAUAGCUAUCCUGAUGGUGAUGAUAUGGAAGGUGAUAUCUAUAAUGUUGCUCUUCAAUUUCGGUAACUAAGGCAAGCUGGGUUCAAUAUUUCAUGUGGUAAGAGCCCAAAGAAUGAUCAUGUGUGAGCUAAAAUCCAUCCUUCUCAUAAUUCCAAUCUUAUGUUUAAAUUAUGGUAUUUAUGUAGGCAUGUUCAAUGAGUUCAAGGAUGAAAAGGGUAACUUCAAGAAAGCUUUGGUCAGCGACGUAAGAGGCAUGCUGGGCUUGUAUGAGGCUGUGCAUCUCAGAGUUAAUGGAGAAGACAUACUGGAUGAAGCACUUGCUUUCACCACCACCCAUCUAAGGUCCAUGGUAGAACAUUUAGAAUAUCCUCUUGCGGAAGAAGUUGCUCAUGCACUAAAGCAGCCCAUUAGAAAAGGUUUAGAGAGGCUAGAGGCAAGGUGGUUUAUGUCUAUCUACUAGGAUGCACAACUCUACUAAAGCUGGCCAAGCUAGAUUUCAAUCUAGUGCAGUCCCUACACAAGGAGGAGCUAAGCAAUAUUGCUAGGUUUGCUUUCAAAUCACUAGCAGAUAUACCUAGUCACCUUCUCAUUUUACCAUGAGCUAAUUGUUUUAAUGAAUUUUAGGUGGUGGAAAGAAUUAGACUUUGCUACAAAGCUACCUUUUGCGCGAGAUAGAUUCGUGGAAGGCUACUUUUGGAUAUUUGGGGUGUACCAGGGUUCAAAGUAUUAGCCGAGUCCCAUACGACUCGACCGAGUCGUAUCUGCCUCGACACUUACCACGAUGAGUCCGAUACCAGGUACAAUCCUAUGCACUAACUCAACAUUAAAUCAGUAGGACUCAAUUGGCUUGGCUCAAAUUCCGAGUUAACUUGGUUGAAUCGGUUAAAUUACAAAAUUUUUUCUGAUUCAAAUCAGUGAUUUUUUUUCCCUUUCAAAUUAGAACAUAAAGAUCAUAAAAUUUUCCAAAAAAAUCAAAGGAAGAAGAAACAUUGAAAUUUAAUCGAGCCGUGACUUCUUUUUAAGUCUAGAAGAGGAGAGAUCAGGCAGAUGAGGGCUCACUUACCUCACCACAAUCGACGGAGCAUGAGAGUUUUGGGACCGAUGGAUCACUCCUCAGCGUCGAUUUCAGUGAACUAAGCAUUGGAUACCUUUUCCGGUGACGACGACCAUUCGGGGAGAGCUUUUAUCGCAAGUUUGCAAACUUGUAGUCAAAACAAUAUUUGGGAAAGUAAAUUAAAACUAGAAUGUUAUGAUUUAUAUGCACUAUGAGAUUUAAUGAGAAUAACUUGGAUGGCAUUUUAAUAUUUUUAAUUUAUUAUAUAAUCUAAAUUUUUUGUCUUAUAACAUUCCAAAUUAAAGUAGAAAAUCAAUAAUUAUUUAAAAAAUAUAUUUUUAAAAGAAUCAUAAUUAUAAAAACAACAUUUUAAUAAUAGGUUUAUAUUAGGGAAUCAAUAAUUAUUUUUGUAUGUUAUAAAGAUUACAUUUAUACUUGAAUUAUUUUUAAUUUUUUAUAUCAUAUAAAUUUUUUAUCUUAUAAUAUUGUAAAUUUUAAUUAUAUUAGGAAAUCAAUGAAUGAUUUUAUAACUAUUUAAAUGAUGUUAGUUAUGAGAUAAUUUUUUUUUAUAUUAUUUUUUACCUUAUUUACUUACUUGUACCUAUUUUUUUAAAAUAAUUUACAUAAUAUUUUUAAAAUUUUUAAAAUUUUCUAAUUAUCAUAUUUUGCGUAUCUUCCGAUACCAAACCGAUACACUGAGAUCGAUGUGCCUCAAGAUCGUCCGAGUCAAUGAUCGAUACUGCGACUUUGAAUCAUGAGGUGUACUUUGAGCCUCAAUAUGUCCGGGCUAGAUGAAUUCUAACCAAAACAAUUUCCAUGACAUCCAUUAUAGAUGAUAUAUAUGACACAUAUGGCACAUUUGAAAAACUCGAGCUCUUCACCGAGGCCAUUGAGAGGUUUGAUUGAUGCAAAUUACCAACCUUCAUCAUUUAUAUUGUAUGUGAUACUUAAAUCAAGCCUGGUUUUAUUUUCAGGUGGGAUAUUAACAGCAUAGAUCACCUUCCAGAAUACAUGAAACACUGCUAUGUGGCACUCUUAGAUGUGUACAAGAGAUGGAGAAAAAAGGAAACCAAUAUCGGGUUCAAAAUGCGAUAGAAGCAGUAGGACAUUCUGCAUUGACUUUGUUUUGUAUAGUAACAUAUCGUAAGGAUAUGGAUGUAACUUGAUUGAAUGUUUGACAGAUGAAAAACCUAGUUAGAGCUUAUUUUCAUGAGGCUAAUUGGUUCCAUGAAGGAAGCAUACCAACAAUGGAAGAGUAUAUGAGGAUAGCACUGGUAACCUCAGGUUACUACAUGCUUACAACCAUGUCUUUCAUUGGUAUGGGAGAAAUUGUAACAAAGGAGGCCUUUGAUUGGGUGAUCAGUGACCCUAAGAUUAUCACAGCAUCAGCUGUAAUUUGUAGGCUCAUGGAUGACAUCAGUUCACAUAAGGUAUUGUGAAUAUAGUAUUUCUUGUUAAGCUAUAAUUUGACCUUGACCUUAAAGCUCAAUCAAUUAAACAUAUUUACUGUACUCUUCUUCUAAACUAUAUAUGCAGUUUGAGCAAAAGAGAGGGCAUGUUGCCUCAGGCAUUGAAUGUUACAUGAAGCAAUAUGGUGCCUCUGAGGAAGAGGCAUACGAUGAGUUUCAGAAGCAAGUUGUGGAUGCAUGGAGGGAUAUUAACGAGGAGUUCCUACGACCUACAGUUGUUCCGAUGCCUCUCCUAAUGCGUGUGCUUAAUCUUUCUCGAGUGAUGGAUGUGAUCUACACGGGGGGAGAUGGGUACACUCAUGUUGGAAAAGUGAUGAAGAACAAUGUUGCAUCACUGCUCAUUCACCCUAUUGUAUGACCAAAUGGAUCAAGUUGAUCACCAUCUACAUAUUCUGCCUUACCUAGGGAGUAGGAUGAAUAAAAAUUAUUGUAAUAGUAUGGGAGAGACCUAUAAUGCUGUGACCCUAAGAUUAUCACAGCAUCAGCUGUAAUUUGUAGGCUCAUGGAUGACAUCAGUUCAUAUAAGGUAUUGUGAACAUAGUAUUUCUUGUUAAGCUAUAAUUUGACCUUGACCUUAAAGCUCAAUCAAUUAAACAUAUUUACUGCACUCAUUUGUGCGAUUCUUUUUCUUGGUAUCCAUGAUUAAUUAAUUAAUUGUCAUAAUUCUCUUAAUUCGUUUUGUAGAGAUCAUAUGUAUACGGACUUCAAAGGGUGCUACGGCUCACCAUUGUACAUUCCCAAGUAACCUGAUAAUCGGAUCUAGAUUCGAUUUUUGUAAACAUGUAUUUUUCAAAUAAGAAGUCACACAUGAUUUUCUUUUUAUUUUGUUUUUCCUUAAAAAAAAACUAAAAUAAAUAGCGACUAACUUUUCAAAAAUCAAUUUUUCACAAUGAAAAAGCGAGUCUCGCCAUUUUAAGUGGGGACACACAUGAAAAAUGCGGGUCCAUAAUGAGUUUAAUUAUUUCUAAAUUCAAAGGAUUAUAAAAAUUUAUUUAUAUAAAAAAAGGAUAUUCCAUUUUGAUGAUUCCAAUCUAUUUUAAGUACCAAAGAAAGUUUUGAUUUUUUUUCUUAUUUACAAAAAAAUGCUUCAAAGUUCUUAAUUUUCACAAAUUUUAUUUACCAACAUUCCAAUUUGAUUUUCAUACAGAAAGAAACUAUUUUUAUAAUUUUUAUUAAAAUAUGAUUUUUUUUUCAAUUUUUUUAAAAAAGUAUCUAAAUCUAAUCUUAUGUCCAUGAGAAUACUUUUACAAAUUCUUUAAGAAACGGAUUUUAAAAAUUUAUUUUUAAAAAAAAUUACAAUUUUAUUUAGAAAAUAAUAAAUAUUCGGAUCCAAUUUUAAUUACAUAAAAAAAUUAUUUUUUUAGUUUUUAUUGAAAAUAAGAUUUUUACAAUUUUAUUUACAUAAGUAUGAAAAUCCAAUUCCAUAUUAUUUACUAAAAUGCAUUUUUUUUUUUACUAUUUUUAAUAAGACAUGAUUUUUACAAUUUUUUUUUAAAGUUUACGAUUUUUAUUAAAAAAAAAAAAGUCUUUGCAAUUUUUUUUAACAAAUUUUUUAAUGUUUUAUUAAAACAAAAUGAUUUCUAGAUUUUAUUUUUUUUUAAAAUGAUUUUCAAAAGUUUAAAAAAAAAAAAAAACCUUUACAGUUUUAUUUAAAAAAAAAAAAACGAUUUUCCAACUGUAUUUACAAUUUAUUUAAAAACGGAUUUUACAGUUUAAAAAAAAAUACAUUUUAUUGUUUUAUUUCAAUCUUACUGUUGUUUUUAUUUUUUUGGAAAAAAAAAAAAAAAAAGAGAAGCUCAAAUUUAUUUUUCUCCUCUCUCUCUCUCUCCCUCCACACGCUCAUUAACUUUAAUGUCAAGGUAUCAGCCCAAUUGACUUGAUUUAUAUUAACUUAAAACUUUUGUUCUAAUAGGUACCUUCAUAUAACGGCAAAGCCUUUGAUUUAUAUAGGAAGUCAUGGAGGUGAACUGUGAACCUUAGUGAUGCGUACCCAAACCCUACCAUUUAUUUGUAAUAUAGUCAUCAUAAUAUUUAAAUUAAACAUUUAAAAUAUGUUUUUUGUUCUCUUAGAAAUACGAAAAGUGUAUCUUAUUCCCUUAAUAAUUCUCAACAUUCAACCAGCCGCCAAACAGUGAUUAAGACUUUUUCACGUGAAGAUAAAACUUAUGAUUGAUCUUAUUUUUAUAAAAACACUAAAAAACGAUUUUUUUUAUCUUUAACUUAAAAAUGGUUUUUAAAAAUAAUUUUUAGAAAACAUAAAUUAAACAGACUCUUAGGGUUUCAUUUGAGAAAUAAAUGAAGAAGAUUACAAAAAAAUUGAAAAUAAAUAAAGAAGAUGAUAUUUUAAUUUUUAUUUAAUAUCUUAAUUUUUAUUAUCUAAAAUUAUUUAAUUAUUCUAAUUAAUGAUAUUUUGAGUUUAAUUAUGAUUAAAAUAUAUAAAAGUCUUAAAUUGAGAUAAGUUGCUUAAAUGAUUGAUUGUGGAUUGAAAUUUUACUCACAAAAUAUGCAUGUGGCUUUCGCUUGAAAAGGCAUAUGUUGGGAAGCAGUUAUGCUUGGUUACGAGUUCUAUAAGCUUACGAUUUUAGAUUUGCAUGAUUAUCUUAAUUUGGAUUAGACAGCUACGGAGAAGGGGCCUUUAUUCAAACUGUUUGUCUUAUUCUCAACAAAGGAAGCAUUUUAUUUAAAACAGAACACUCUAAGAAAAACUAACAGCCAAAUUAAAACAAUUAGGCCAUGUUUGGUACGAAGCCAAAGCAAUUAGGUCAUGUUUAGCAUGAAGCCAAAUCACGACCAUGUUUGGUAUAUAGAAAUGAAGAGUAAGAAUAGAUAUGUUAUUUAUUUUCUCAUUCAUUUUCAUAUUUGGAUGAUUUAAGUAUAGUAAAAAUAAAAUAAAAAAUAAUUUCAAAGAAAUGAAACAAGUUAUUCUUAAAAACACUUUUUAAAAGUUAAAAAUCAAAAACUUUUUUAGAUAAGUCCGUUUUAAAAAUAAUUUUUUAUUUUGAUUUUGUAAAAAAGAAAUUAUAAAUUCAAUUUAUAUAAUAUAAAAUUAAUUUAAUUCAAGUCUUAUAAAAAAUAAAAAUAACUUUGUAAUUAUAAAUACAUUUUUAAAUUAAAUAUUUUUUAAUAAAAUAUGAAUAGGAUUAUCAUAAUAUAAUCAUAAAUUAUAUUUUUAAUAAAUAUUAUAAAAAAUAUGGAUAUUAACCUCUUAUAAAAGCAUAAUUGAUUUAUUUUGUUAAAAAUAAAUAAUAAUGAUUUAAAAUUAAUAAUUACUAAUACUAUUUUUUAAAAUUAUUAUACUUACUACUUUGUUUUAAAAAAUUAUUUCUCAAGAACAAUAAUCGAUAGUGGUAUUAAUUUUUAAAAACAAUUUUAUUUUUAAAUGAAAAGCCUAAACAGGUUUUUAUUAUUUAGCAAAAAAAAAAAAAAAAAACACUGUCAAACAUUUUUUUAAAAUGAAAAUAAAAAAAUUAUUUAAAAUGAUGUAUUGUGUAAGAGAUUUUUUUUAAAAUAAAAAUAAAAGAUUAAAGAUACUAUAAAUUAUGAUUAAAAUAAUGAAAAUUAAUAAAAUGAUAUUGGCUUUUUUUUUUAAAUACAUUCGAAAUAUUAAUCUAAAAAAAGAAGAUAAAUGAAUAAUAUAUUGAAAAAUAUAACUUUGUCUUUUUUCUUACAAUAAUUUUCAUAGCUUUAAAAAUAGUGAUCUUUAAUUUUCUUGCUAUUAUUUAUUAUUAGCUGAGUUGUAUAAAUUACAUUGUUAUAGUUUCCUUUAAAACCAAAAUAAAAAUCAAUCCAUGUGGUUCAAUGACAAUAUUGGCUGAAAAAAAAAAAUCACUUAAUUUUCAUCUACUAGAUCCUAGCCGCCACCUAAUAUUUAUGACUUGUUUGGAUAUUUUGAGUGAAUUUAACCAAAGAGACACUAGAAGGCCAAUAGUUUUCUUGCCAUCAGUCUCUUCCAUGCACUACCCUUUCAAAUCAUGGGCCCCAAAACCAAACCAAAUUCCACAUACUUUUCAACUACAUACAACCAAUGAAUGCCAAUGCUGCCCUAUAAAUAUGGAGCUUGCCAAGCUAUUUCUCUCAUACUUACUGUAACGCCGAAGUAUUUUUUUAAGGGUAAUUUAGGAAAUUACUAAUAAUAAUUCAAUUAGUUAAUUAAUUAAUUUAAUAAAGUGGAAGAUGGGUAAAAGUGUAAUUUUAUGAAUAAAUACCCUAGGUAUAAAUUAGAAAUUCUAUUUCUUCCUGUUCUUUUCUGAAUAGAAUUCCUGUUCGCAGAAUUUCAGAGAACGUAGAUUGAAGUUAGAUUUCAGGGUUGAAGAACAGAUCUCUAUAGGUAAGAUUCAGUUUAAUAUUUUAGAUUCAUUGAUUAAUUUCAAACACAUUAGAUAUCUUUUGGAAAACCCAAAUCUAGAUUAGGGUUAGUUUAUUUUAUUUUUUUUAAUUCGUUUUCAUAUCAAUAGUAAAAAAAUAAAAAAAAUAAAAAAAUAAAAAUAAAAAUUUAAGAUUUUGAUUUAUUGUUGGUAUUUAGGAGAUCUUAAGUUUUAUUAGAUGAAAAACAAAAAAAAGGUUCCUUGGAAGGUUUCGAUUUUAUAUUAGGGUUAAUUUUAUUAAAAAAAGAAAAAGGGCGUGCGCCAAAUGAAAGGAAGCCUUAUAUAUAUAUAUAAUGAAUCAUGAUGAUGGCAAUGGAAAAAAAAAAACUUGCUUUUUGGUUUGGUGUACCCGAGACAACUAGGUAAUGGUUGAGUGACUUUUGAAUUGGUUAAUUAAAAUAAUAAUAUUUAGUUUAAGAUUCAUAAUUAAGAUAAUAGUAAUAAUAGUCUUCUUUUUUUUGUAAUAAAUAGAAUGAGAGAUUUAGCAAAAUAUAUAUAUAUAUAUAUAUAUAUAUAUAUAGAAUUUUAUAAUGAAAUAAAAUUGUAAUUUAAUUAAAUUAGUAAUGUGUUAUUAGAAACAAAUUGAGAAUUUAUUAAUUUUAUUUAAAUAAGGAAUAGAUUAGUUAAAUUAUAGAUAAAUAGUAAUAAUUAUUUAUCUUAUGUUAUAUUAGGAGAAGAGUAGAUUUUUCCAGAAUUAUUUUUCUCCCAAGCUUUCAAGGUCUUUGCAUAAUUUGAGGUAAGGGAAGUUAAUGCAAUAUUUAUAAAAUUUAAAUUAUUUUAUAUGUUAUUUUGAAUUGUGGAAAAGAAAAUGAUAUUUUGUUACCAUGCAUGGAUCAAAUUGUUUUGCACUAAAUAUUAUGUUGGAAUAUUUUGUUUUAUUUAUGACACAAAAUAUGGAGAUAUUAUGUUGUGUAAAUUUGAAUACUUGAACAAAAACAUCACUCUGGUUUAUUUGACCCUUGUCAACGAGAUAUAAUAGUUGACUAUUCGGCCCUGUCAACAGGAUAUAAUAGUUGACCUUUACAUUUCAUGGUAAGAAUGUAAUUGAUUUGGACCCCAGCCUCUAGGGGUUUGGUUAGAGGUUACUAGUAGUAGUAGUGUUUGGUUCCGUCCACCAGGAACAACUUGAGGCUAGCCACCCAUUUGAAAAGUCCCACCUAACUGGGCAUUUGAUAUUUGAUAACCAGAGUAAUGAAAAUUGAAUGGAUUUGAUUGAAUCUUAUGUGAAAGUGUUUGAAUUUGAUAUGAAAAUGGUUGGUUGAAUUUUGAAUAUAUUGGUAUUUUUGAAACUCUGAUAUUUGAUGAGAAAAAAAAAUGAUAUCUCCUAUUUGAAAUGAAAAUAUUUUUCCAUGAACUGCAUUAAUAUUCCUUACUGGGCUGUGAGCUCAUUCCCAAUUGUUGAAAACUUUUCAGGUACUCUUAGUUCGGGUGAGGAGUGAUGGCUAGGAUGAGGAAUGGUCAUCAUUAGGAUUUGACUUAGGAUUUUAUGUUGGAUUUUGUUUAACUGUUAGUUAUGUUCAUUUGGACCCUUUGGUAUUUGGAAGUUAUUUGGAUAUUGAUCCUUCAAAUUUUAUGUUAGAUCAAAGUUGAGUUUUGGAGAUUUUGAAAUUUGUUCUAGUACUUGAAUUGUUUAAGUUUGCAAAUAUUUGGAUAAUGGAUUUUGGAUAGUGGAUGUUUUAGUUUUGAAAUUGAAUUUUGAGGAUUUUAGAUUUUGUUCCGCUACUCUGAAUAGGUAUUUGGUAAUUAGUAACUUCCGAUUACAAGAUAAUUGUUUGGGUCGGGUUACACUGUAAGCCUUCGGGUUUGAAGUGUGAAAUGACCGUCACGCUCUUGGAGUGGGUCUUGGGGCGUGACAGAGUGGUAUCAGAGCACUAGGUUUUGAUCUUGAUGGGAAUUUGAAUUGGUUUAGAUUGGGGAUAGAUGAGUGACGCAUUUGUUUAAGUUUUAGUUUCAUUUAGUAUAAAUUCCAAUUCUUUCUUUAUUUGUAAAUUUUCUAAUUGGUUCUUUAGUGACUAAAUUAGUUAUGCCUUAUUAUUUUAGGACAUCAUGCCACCAAGAAGAGCAACUUCUUCACAAAAUAGUCAGAUUAAUGAUGAUGUACCUCCAGUUGAGGGUUUGCCUCCCGUGAGUGCAAAAGGGAUCUAUAGGUAUCUUGGGACACUAGCUGGUUUAGUUGAACGCCAAGCUCGAGCUGUUGGGACUAAUGUUCAGGGACAGACUUCAUCUUCUAGGGGUAACUCUUUUGAUGACUUCAAGAAAUUGGGUCCUCCUUACUUUUCUGGUGCUACAGAUCCCACAGAGGCAGAGGCUUGGAUCCUUAAGGUGGAGAAAUUCUUUGGUGUCAUAGAUUGCUCUGAGGAGCAAAAAGCCUCUUAUGCAGCUUUUAUGUUAGAUAAAGAGGCAGAUCAUUGGUGGCGUAUGACUAGGAGACUUUUGGAGGAUCAGGGACCCAUAACAUGGAGACAAUUUAAGGAGGCUUUCUACAAGAAGUAUUUCCCUGACAGUGUUAGGCGGCAGAAGGUGGGAGAGUUUAUUCAUUUGGAACGGGGAGAUAUGACUGUGGCUCAAUAUGAGGCCAAAUUUACAGAGUUAUCAUGUUUUUCCCCACAGUUGAUUGCUACAGAGGAGGAAAAGGCAUUAAAGUUUCAGGAUGGAUUGAAGCCUUAUUUGAAGAACAAGAUAUCUAUUCUGAAGCUUGGUGUCUAUUCAGAGGUUGUUGACAGAGCCCUUAUAGCAGAGAAAGAUAAUGAGGAGCUUCAUCAGUAUAGGGAACAACAAAGGAAGUGAAAUAGGAGUGAUAGUGCUCAUGGUAAUCAAGCACAGCGAAGGUCUACAUCAGGAAGAAAUCAGAAUAAAGGGAAUGCAACGCAUUAUUUAGAUGGGGCUUGUCCUACUUGUGGUAAGAAGCAUGGGGGUAGGCCAUGCUAUAGAGAGACUGGAGCUUGCUUUGGUUGUGGGAAGCAAGGACAUUUGAUCAGAGAUUGUCUAGAGAAUAGGAAGUUCAUCAAUGGGAAGCCUAAAGAGGAAAAUAAGGAGGAUAAACAGAAACCCAAAGCCCAAGAACGGGUGUUUUCUUUGACUCAUCGAGAUGCUCAGGCCACUUCUGAUGUGGUAACAGGUACUCUCCGAAUCCACACCUUAUUUGCUAGAGUCUUGAUUGAUCCUGGAUCAACACACUCUUUUGUUUCAGUAUCUUUUGCCAGUUUGUUGGGUUUGCCUGUUGCUAGCAUGGACUUUGAUUUGAUUGUUACUACUCUUGUGGGAGAUUCUGUUGUGGUCAGUAGAAUGCUUAGAAAUUGUAUUGUGAUGAUUGGUUAUAGGGAAAUGCCAGUUGACUUAGUACUCCUUGAUCUUUAGGAUUUUGAUGUGAUUUUGGGGAUGGAUUGGUUAGCUUCCUACCAUGCCUCUGUUGACUAUUUUGAGAAAAUGGUGACGUUUAGUAUUCCUGGUCAGCCUAAGUUUAGCUUUGAAGGGAAGCAUGUGGACAGACCACUGCGUAUGAUCUCAGCCUUGCGAGCUAGUAGCUUGCUCAAGAAGGGUUGCCAAGGAUUUUUGGCUAGUGUGAUGAGUAAUGAAAGUGAUUUGAAGUUGGAAAACAUACCCAUAGUAAGGGAGUAUGUUGAUGUCUUUCCAGAGGAUUUGCCUGGCUUGCCACCAGAGAGAGAGGUGGAGUUUACCAUCGAUUUGGUACCAGGAACAGGUCCUAUGUCUAAGGCCCCAUACAAGAUAGCACCUGUGGAGCUUAAGGAGUUGAAAGUUCAGCUUCAAGAGUUAUUAGACAAGGGUUUUAUCAGGCCUAGUGUUUCACCUUGGGGAGCUCCUGUUCUAUUUGUAAAAAAGAAGGAUGGCUCAAGGAGACUUUGCAUUGACUAUAGGGAGUUGAAUAAGGUGACAGUGAAGAACAAGUAUCCCCUUCCUCGGAUUGAUGAUUUGUUUGAUCAGCUAUAAGGUGCUUGUGUGUUCUCUAAGAUAGAUCUUCAAUCGGGUUAUCACCAGUUGAGGGUUAGAGGGGAAGAUGUACCCAAGACUGCUUUUCGAACUAGGUAUGGGCACUAUGAGUUUCUUGUUAUGCCUUUUGGUUUGACUAAUGCACCUGCUACUUUUAUGGACUUGAUGAAUAGGGUAUUCAAACCCUAUUUAGAUCAGUUUGUGGUGGUUUUUGUAGAUGACAUCUUGGUAUACUCAAGAAGUAGAGAGGAGCAUGAGGGCCAUUUGAGUAUUGUAUUACAGACCCUCAGAGAUAAGCAGUUGUAUGCUAAACUGAAGAAGUGUGAGUUUUGGUUAGACCGAAUUNNNNNNNNNNNNNNNNNNNNNNNNNNNNNNNNNNNNNNNNNNNNNNNNNNNNNNNNNNNNNNNNNNNNNNNNNNNNNNNNNNNNNNNNNNNNNNNNNNNNAACGAAGAAGUUGCAGCCAUUACAAGCCAGUCACUCUAAAGUGUUGCGGAAUCAGCCUUUUGUUGCGAGAAUUUCGCAGCACUUUUGUACAGUAAGGUGUUUCUCCUUCUGACGAUGCACGAACCAUGCCGCGAGAAGGGAGCUGGAAACUUCAAGAUGGAAGCCAACUUUGCAGCCUAGUGAAGAUAGCUCGGUCUUGCAAGAUAAUUUCGCAGCCCUCUUGGGUGUCUGCGAAAUUUCGCAGGCCCCACUUUUCACCUGCGAAAUGGCUCCUGAAGCCUCCCGAAGCUUGCUACCGACAUUGGGAGAUAUUUUCCAUUAGAUUUUUGUUGUCUAAAUCCCAAAAUACUCCUUGUAAACCACCAAUUACAUGAUUCCUUAGUUUUUAGGUUAGUAAAAAGACCAAAUAUCUUUGUAAGAAUUAGUUUUAUAUUAGUUUGAUAUAAAUACCUCUCGGGAGCCUGUUCUCGGGGAGGAGUUCCUUCUGUAAACAUUUGGUAAGGAAGUAAAGGUCUUUUCUUUCUACUGCCUUACCUUCUCACUUUGUAUUUUCAUUAUAUUUCUAAGUUAUGAAUUCUCUGAGGAGUUUUCCCCAGAGAAUGAGUAACUAAACCUCCAAUUCCUUGGAGCUAAGGUUGCCGGGGAAGGUUCCAAGUGCAAAAAUGCAAAGCUCUGUGGUUUUAGCUAGUAAUGAAGAGGAAGUGAAAUCCUUUAGUGAUUUCAAUGUUUUUAGUUAACUUAAAACACCUUGGAGUCACCUGGGCCAACACUUGGUAAGGCAAGUGAUUUCCAACCGUGGAAAUGCACUAGUUUACCCCUUGCGAGCCUCUGGUAGGUGACUUCAAGGUAGGAUUUUCCGGAAUUACCAACACUUGGUAAGCUUUUGGACUCCUAGGAGACAUCCAUUAGUUAUCUCUUGCGAGUUUGUGAAGGGAAGUCCAAGGUUAAAGAUCACCUUGAAUGGUAAGUGCUCGUGAGAGGCAUGAACCAUUGCAAGGUGCAUCAGUGAGAGAAUUAAAGUGAAAUCUAAUUGAAGGAGUCUCUGUACAUCACCGGUUAGAGACUUGACUCUAAGUUGAAUCUCUAAUGCGAGGAAAUGAACCAUCUGACCAGAGCUAUGUCUUUUGCAUGAGGAACCACCCCAGUGAACCUAAAUCUCCNNNNNNNNNNNNNNNNNNNNNNNNNNNNNNNNNNNNNNNNNNNNNNNNNNNNNNNNNNNNNNNNNNNNNNNNNNNNNNNNNNNNNNNNNNNNNNNNNNNNAAAUCAAAGUUUGUGUUUUAUUUCUUAAACUAACCGUGAAAUGAAACAAAACCAAUUCACUUGGAAUUGGUAUCCUUGAUUGCUUGCAAAUCAUUCCUAGUGAACGAUCCUUAGAGCCACUAUACUAUAGUAGCUUUGUAUUUGCUACCCUAGUGUAUGGUGUUAUAGGUAUAAAUUUUGUUGAUCACUUCCUCAAUCAAGGAGCACCAGCUGAACACAAAUCAGCUGAGACACCAAUUGGGCAUGAGUCAGAGAUCUUGAGAUUUGGGACUAGACUUUGUGUCCCAAAUGAUGAAGACUUAAGAAGGGAGCUUUUAGAGGAAGCUCAUUGUUCCAAGUUUGCAAUCCACCCAAGAGGGACAAAGAUGUACAAGGAUUUGAGGCAAAACUAUUGGUGGUCAGGUAUGAAGCAUGAUAUUGCACAAUUUGUGGCUCAGUGUUUAGUGUGUCAACAGGUGAAGGCUGAGCAUCAGCGACCAGCAGGGUCUUUGCAGCCACUUGCUAUUCCUGAGUGGAAGUGGGAGCAUAUUACCAUGGAUUUUGUGAUAGGAUUGCCAAGAACCUUAGGGAGUAAUAAUGCUAUUUGAGUGGUUGUUGAUCGGUUGACAAAGUCUGCUCACUUUUUGCCUAUGAAAGUCAACUUUUCUUUAGAUCGUUUAGCUUUUCUUUAUGUGAAGGAGAUUGUGAGAAUGCAUGGAGUACUAGUUUCUAUAGUGUCUGAUAGAGAUCCUCGUUUCACUUCUAGAUUCUGGCAUAGUCUAUAAAAAGCUUUGGGCACUAAGUUGAGUUUUAGUACUGCUUUCCAUCCUCAAACUGAUGGUCAAUCAGAAAGGGUAAUUCAGGUUUUAGAAGACUUGUUGAGAGCUUGUAUUUUGGACUUGCAAGGUAAUUGGGAUGAUCAUUUACCUUUAGUAGAGUUUGCCUAUAACAAUAGUUUUCAAGCUAGCAUUGGGAUGUUACCUUUUGAGGCAUUGUAUGGUAGGAAAUGUCGAUCUCCUAUCUGUUGGAAUGAUGUUGGAGAAAGGAAACUUUUGGGGCCUGAACUUGUGCAGUUGAUUGUUGAAAAAGUUGCUUUGAUUAAAGAAAGAUUAAAAGCAGCUCAAAGUAGACAUAAGAGUUAUGCUAAUCAUCGUAGGCGAGAUUUGGAGUUUGAGGUGGGUGAUAUGUGUUCUUGAAAGUUUCACCUAUGAAGUCUGUGAUGAGAUUUGGGAGAAAAGAAAAACUUAGUCCUCGUUUUGUGGGUUCGUUUGAAAUAUUAGAAAGAGUAGGCACUUUGGCAUAUAAAGUAGCCUUGCCCCCAAGUCUAUCUAAGAUUCAUAAUGUUUUCCAUGUUUCAACCUUGAGGAAGUAUAUUUAUAAUCCAUCUCAUGUUGUGGAGUUGGAGCCUAUUCAAAUUUCGGAGGACUUGACCUAUGAAGAGGUACCCGUUCAAAUUGUGGAUGUGAUGGAUAAGGUACUGCGACAUGUUGUUGUCAAGUUGGUAAAGGUCCAGUGGAGCAAUCAUAGUAUCCGAGAGGCCACUUGGGAGUUAGAAGAAGAGAUGAGAGAAAAACAUCCUCAAUUAUUUCAAGACUCAAGUAUGUCAAGUUUAGAAGACUAAACUUUUGUUAAGAAGGGGAGGAUGUAACGCCCAAGUAUUUUUUUAAGGGUAAUUUAGGAAAUUACUAAUAAUAAUUCAAUUAGUUAAUUAAUUAAUUUAAUAAAGUGGAAGAGGGGUAAAAGUGUAAUUUACAAAUAAAUACCCUAGGUAUAAAUUAGAAAUUCUAUUUCUUCUUGUUCUUUUCUGAAUAGAGUUCCUGUUCGCAUGAAUUUCAGAGAACAUAGGUUGGAGUCAGAUUUCAAGGUUGAAGAACAGAUCUCUAUACGUAAGAUUUUAACCCCUAGUUUAAUAUUUUAGAUUCAUUGAUUAAUUUCAAACACAUUAGAUAUCUUUUGGAAAACCCAAAUCUAGAUUAGGGUUAGUUUUUAUUUUUUUUUUAUUUUUUUUUUUUAAUUCGUUCUAAUAUCAAUAGUAAAAAUAAUAAUAAUAAUAAUAAAAAUUUAAAAAAAAUUUAAGAUUUUGAUUUAUUGUUGGUAUUUGGGAGAUCUUAAGUUUUAUUAGAUGAAAAAAAAAAAAGGUUCCUUGGAAGGUUUCAAUUUUAUAUUAGGGUUAAUUUUAUUAAAAAAAGAAAAGGGGCGUGUGCCAAAUGGAAGGAAGCCUUAUAUAUAUAUAUAUAUAUAUAUAUAAUGAAUCAUGAUGAUGGCAAUGGAAAAAAAAAAAAAAACUUGCUUUUUGGUUUGGUGUACCCAAGACAACUAGGUAAUGGUUGAGUGGCUUUUGAAUUGGUUAAUUAAAAUAAUAAUAUUUAGUUUUAGAUUAAUAAUUAAGAUAAUAGUAAUAAUAGUCUUUUUUUUUUUUGUAAUAAAUAGAAUGAGAGAUUUAGCAAUAUAUAUAUAGAAUUUUAUAAUGAAAUAAAAUUGUAAUUUAAUUAAAUUAGUACUGUGUUAUUAGAAACAAAUUGAGAAUUUAUUAAUUUUAUUUAAAUAAGGAAUAGAUUAGUUAAAUUAUAGAUAAAUAGUAAUAAUUAUUUCUCUUAUGUUAUAUUAGGAGAAGAAUAGAUUUUUCCUGAAUUAUUUUUCUCCCAAGCUUUCAAGGUCUUUGCAUAAUUUGAGGUAAGGGAAGUUAAUGCAAUAUUUAUAAAAUUUAAAUUAUUUUAUAUGUUAUUUUGAAUUGUGGAAAAGAAAAUGAUAUUUUGUUACCAUGCAUGGAUCAAAUUGUUUUGCACUAAAUAUUAUGUUGGAAUAUUUUGUUUUAUUUAUGACACAAAAUAUGAAGAUAUUAUGUUGUGUAAAUUUGAAUACUUGAACAAAAACAUCACUCUGGUUUAUUUGACCCUUGUCAACGAGAUAUAAUAGUUGACUAUUCGGCCCUGUCAACGGGAUAUAAUAGUUGACCUUUACAUUUCAUGGUAAGAAUGUAAUUGAUUUGGACCCCAACCUCUAGGGGUUUGGUUAGAGGUUACUAGUAGUAAUAGUAUUUGGUUCCGUCCACCAAGAACAAUUUGAGGCUAGCCACCCAUUUGAAAAGUCCCACCUAACUGGGCAUUUGAUAUUUGAUAACUAGAGUAAUGAAAAUUGAAUGGAUUUGAUUGAAUCUUAUGUGAAAGUGUUUGAAUUUGAUAUGAAAAUGGUUGGUUGAAUUUUGAAUAUAUUGGUAUUUUUGAAACUCUGAUAUUUGAUGAGAAAAAAAAAAUGAUAUCUCCUAUUUGAAAUGAAAAUAUUUGAUCCAUGAACUGCAUUAAUAUUCCUUAUUGGGUUGUGAGCUCAUUCCCAAUUGUUGAAAAAUUUUCAGGUACUCUUAGUUCGGGUGAGGAAUGAUGGCUAAGCUGAGGAAUGGUCAUCAUUAGGAUUUGACUUAGGAUUUUAUGUUGGAUUUUGUUUAACUGUUUGUUAUGUUCAUUUGGACCCUUUGGUAUUUGGAAGUUAUUUGGAUAUUGAUCCUUCAAAUUUUAUGUUAGACCAAAGGUGAGAUUUGGAGAUUUUGAAAUUUGUUCUAGUACUUGAAUUGUUUAAGUUUGCAAAUAUUUGGACAAUGGAUUUUGGAUAGUGGAUGUUUUAGUUUUGAAAUUGAAUUUUGAGGAUUUUAGAUUUUGUUCCGCUACUCUGAACAGGUAUUUGGUAAUUGGUAACUUCCGAUUACAAGAUAAUUGUUUGGGUCAGGUUACACUGUAAGCCUUCGGGUUUGAAGUGUGAAAUGACCGUCAUGCCCUUGGAGUGGGUCUUGAGGCGUGACACUUACCGAUUCAUCAUUCAAGGUAUAGAACUGUUCUAUCAUUGAUCCAAGGAAUUAACAUGUCUACUCAAGUCUCAGCAUCUUCUCUAGCCCAGAUUCCCAAACCCAAAAAUCGUCCUGGCAAACUUUCACCCCAACAUUUGGGGUGACCAAUUUAUCACCUGCACUCCUGAAGACUAUGCAUCAAUUAUAAAUUUGACAGUUAUUUUUCUUAAUAUGUUGGAUGAUAAAAUUUGUUGGUCAAGGUUACACGUGCUUGCAAAGAGGAGCAGAUUGAGGAUCUGAAAAAGGAAGUGAAAAGGGAAUUAACGGUUGUUGUUGUUGCUAACCCUUCCCAAUUGCUGAACUUCAUUGAUGCAUACCACUUUGAGCAAGAGAUAGAAGAAGCAUUACAACAAAUUUGUAAUAGUUUUCAUGAUUGCAAUGAUAUGGAUGGUGAUCUCUACAAUAUUGCUCUUGGAUUUCGACUACUAAGGCAACAAGGGUACAGUAUUUCAUGUUGUAAGAGACUAAGAAAAAAUUGUUAUGUUAAACCUUCUUAUCAUUCAAAAUCUUAUGUUCAAGUGGUGAUGUUUAUGUAGGUAUAUUGAACAAGUUUACGGAUGAAUGAGGUAGAUUCAAGGAAGCUUUGAUCAACGAUGUAAGAGGCAUGCUAGGCUUGUAUGAAGCUGCACAUCUGAGGGUUCAUGGUGAGGACAUACUUGCAGAAGCACUUACUUUCACCACCACUCACCUCGAGGCCAUGGUAGAAAGUUUAGGAUAUCCUCUUGCAGAACAAGUUGCCCAUGCCCUGAACCGACCAUUAGAAAAGGUUUGGAGAGGUUAGAGGCAAGAUGGUAUUUAUCUGUCUACCAAGUGUUGGUUUAAGGGUAUGGAAACAAAGGACUAACUCAAAAGACACAAACAAAAAACAUAAUGAAUAGUAAGAAAAACUUAUUAGUUGAGGCGUGACAAACACUGUUCUUGAAAUAGAUCCACCCUCUUCGAAAACGAACUGAAUGCACUAAGGUGCCAGUGGUCUACCUCCAGGAUUCAAUAGCCAGAUCUUGCCUUGGGUGCACUCUAUAAGUGAGACAUGUACAACUUGGUUUUGAAAAAAUUCCUCCAAAAAGAUGUAUGAAAGACUCUCUGAAAAAUUGGUAUUCAAAGAGUAAAAGGUGACCUGCUUUUAUAGGUCACCAACACAGUCCUAAUGGGACUCUACUUGUAAUCAGAGGACUCAAAGUGGAAUGAGAUUCUACUUAUAAGUGAAACAGGACUCUAUUAGCACAAUCCCAAUGGGAUUCUUCCCAAAGGUAAAAGACUAAGUCAAAUGGAAUAAAAAUUAAAUAAAAAAAAUUGAAUUUUGUAAAAAUUAGUCAAAUUCGCUAAAACACUUUUUCACAUUUACACUCUUCCUACACCAAGAUGAAGCUUUCCAUGAUAAAACUUUACCAGAGCUAGC